UCCUUUGCUGGAAAAACAAUGCCGCAGGAAGCACCCUCAAAUUUGGCCUAAAAUAUCCCACAUCCGUCACAUUAAAGUUGACAAUAGAUGGAUUUAGUGACCAAGGAUGAGCACCGGGGUAAUUCUCCUUCUUUGACCUACUUCAUCGUCUUCUAAGUCUAACCAAACAAAACUAUUUCAGUCAAGGAUAUCUUUCUUUUCAUGUCUUUUUAUUCUCACAGUUAAUUUAUUCAUUUCAUUCAACAAGUGUUAUUACCCUGAAGAAAUGUUAUUAAUCAAUGCCAUUGUAUUUGAACUUUCUCAAUAUAUCGGCAAUCAUGGUGGUUGUUUCAUCUUGUUACAUUCUCUGUCAGUGUUCAAAGUGUAAUUGGGUGUACUUUGUUUUUCAGAGAUGAUAGAUUGUCCUGUAGAAACUGCACCUGUCAAUGGAUAUGAAUUCAACUUUGACGUGACACCAGAAAGCUCAUAUUUAUGCGUGUAAAGCUGAUCUUCCAGGGCAAAAGGAGGAGGAAGCGAUGGCGCAGUCAGCUGAUGGCAAAGUGUUUAAGAUUGUUCCAUGUCACCAUCUGGAGCAUAGCACCAGCAACUCCCUGAGCAUACGGGCCUUAAGCCAUGACUUGACUGGUUCAGAUAGGUAAUAAUUACUGAAUUCAAGACACUAAUGCUUCUUAUUCUAUGAGGGUUCAUAUAAAAUUGACAAGGGUUUAGAUCUUGCUAGUAAUACCAAGGAUUCGUGAACCAACUUAACAAUCACACCAUGGAUGAUUUGAAAUAACAAAAUAAAUUGCAGUUCCUGUCUAACAUCUCUAGGAAAUUUUCCAGAACAUAAGUUCAACAAGGAAAACAAAGAAGAUAGAAAAAAUAAGACAAUGUUGUUUUCUUCUUAAUCUUAUAUUUUAUUGUUCCUCCCAUGCCUUGCAUCAAUUUUGUAACCUAUGUGAAACUUGGAUGAUUUAAAACACAAUAAUUACAAUGAACAAGGAAUAGAAACUAGAUCGUCUUGGGUAGGAGAUUGUGGUCUAUCUGAGAAGCAAAGUCCUGAUUUCAGUCUUUAACUAGAAUUCAUCAAGCUUAUCAUUCUCUAAGCUGAUUUAUUAGGCAAUUGUCUUUGUUCUUUCUCAUUCUUGUUUCUUACUUUCCUCUAAAUUGGGCUCAGAGCUUUGUUCUUACUCAUUGUUUCUUAUUUUCCUUUAGAUCAUAUUUUCUAAAGUUGUUCAUGUCAUUGCAUGCAAUGUUUGCUUUCACCCAAAGGGGUGGCUUUGAUCAAAUUGACAAGGAUGAUUCCAACCUACCUCUGGAUACAGCUCCUAUUAAGCAUGUCACGCAGGUAUGCUGUCACAUAAUUGAAAAGUGUUAUCAUGGCUCUAACUACUUGUUAUAAAUUCUCUGCCACUACAAGUUUUCAUCCGAGUUGGGUUAUUAUCUUUUUUAUCUUUCAUCUUUUGUGAAUUUUCGUUUUUAGUUUCAUGAUUUUUUUGUCUUUUUUUAGUCGCAAAAAAAAUAUUGUUUUAUUUUUUGUUCUGAAUAUAUGUAGAAUUUUUUAGGGACUAAAAAUGAAACAAAAAAAUUGAGGGACUAUAAACGAAAAAAAAAAUUUAUAGACUAAGACCAGUCAAAAGAUUAAAAAGGACUAAAACAGUCACAAAAGACGAGAGACUAGCAAGUUAAAUAAAUCCUAUUGAUAUUAUUUUAUUAAUAUUGUGCUACAGGAAAUUUUAAAUUUACAAUUUAUAUUAUAAUACAAAAAUAUUUAUCUUUAUUUAUAUUCUUUUGAAAAUAUUAAAAUUUAAUUUAAAAAUAAGUAUGAAAAUGAAAAAUUAAACAGAGAUAAAAGUUUUAUAAAAAAAUUUAAAAUAUCUUGUUGAAAAAAAAACUAAAAAUACUUUAGUUGAAGAAUAACUCUUAAAAAAAUAUUUUCCGAUACAAGAAACUCAUUUCAUUUCAGAUAAAACUAUAAAAUUUACUAUAAAAAAAGGCAACUAAUGUGUUUAUCCGUUACUCACAACACAAUUAAAAUAUAGCUGUGGACUUAAGUUUUUCGAUUCGACAUUAACUACAAAUAAAAAACAGUAUUAGUUAGAUAACGAUCAUUUUAAUCUAAAAUAGAACUGAGCCAGUUUAAAUACUUAACUUACAAUCCAAAUUAAGUCUGUGGUGACAAUUGCAAACAAAUUAAAAACUGAAAUACUACUACACAUAAAAGACAAAGCCCCAACAUUUUUUUAAAUUUCAAUUCAAGGUUUAAUCAUCCAAUUUUUCUCAUAAACGCAGACUUCUUCCUUGCAUGCAUGCAAUUUUUCCUUCCCUUGUUUUCUAUAGGACAAAAGUUAUCACAGUGCAUACGUGACAAUCUACCCUCAAAACUCUCAGCAUCAAUCAAACAGUCACAAGAAAAGGCCAUAAAACACUACGAUGCUAAUGCCACAAAAUGGUGGCAGUCGUGGUGAUGUCCAUGUUGAGGAUAACCAAAACAUGUCCUUUCCGUGGUGGGAGGGAACCUUUAUGAGGUGCUUCACUGCAAUAGAUGAAAAGCUUGCUAAGAACAUUGACACUGAUGGAUUUCAUGGCGGUAGCACUUCUGUAUCUGUACUCAAACAGGUAUAACUAGACCUUCACAAUUACAUUACCUUCUUGCCAAUGUUGCUUUUGCAAUUAUGUUUUUUCUUUUUUUGUGAAUACUUUUGCAACAAUGUUAUAACCACAUCUUUUUCCCCCUUUAAAUUUCAGGGUGACCAAGUAAUAAUUGGCAAUGUGAGGGAUUCUCGUGCAGUUCUUUGCAGAAGAGCACCUGACAAUCGCCUUAUUCCUGUUCAACUUACUGUUGACUUGACUCCAGAUAUUCCAAGUAUGUUUUGGUAUUACCUAUUCUUAGUUUCCAAAUCUUACAACCCUUUUGAGUUUAUUUGGUUAAAUUGUCUAAUUAAGCCAUAUUCAUUAAGAACUUAUUAGAUGAGAGCUUCUUUCAGGACUUGUUUGGGUAAGUUUAUCCAAAACCACUUAUGCACAUACUAGUUUGUAAAAGCUCUCUCAUCUUUUAGAGAAACUAUACAAGAGAGUUUCUACAAUUUAGCUUAUGGAGAAACUCAUUUCAUUUCUUUUUCUUAUUUUAUUUCUCCUAAAAGUGCUUCCAGAUAAGUUUAUCCAAACAGACCCUAAAAGCUUGAUUGUAUAACUUAGUAAAUAAGCUAACCAAACUUAUUUUGAUAACCUUCUUUUUGAAAUUAAUGAAAUAAGCUAAAAAUAUUCUACUGAAUGGCCAAAAGCUACUUCUACAAGUCCAAAUAAGUUUUAUGAAAUUCUUCCUAAUGUCCCUUGGUCUGUGUCUAACUAGCUUUUCUUCCUCAAUGUCACUCAGGAGAAGCUAUGAGAAUUUUUGCUGUAGAAGAAGAUCCUACUGUAAACAGAGUAUGGAUGCCUAAAAGGGACUGCCCUGGACUGGCUAUGGCAAGAGCCUUUAGAAAUUUUUGCCUAAAAGACUAUGGUGUCGCCUCAGUCCCUGAUGUGUCUUAAAGAAAACUUACCAAGGAGGAUAAGUGUGUGGUUUUGGCUUCUGAUGGGGUAAGCAUUUUCAUAUCAGGAUGUCAACUUCGAAUUUUGGAUUUUGAUUCUUGAGUAAUCAGUUACAGGAACAGAACAAUCAUUUUUAGUGUUUAAGUUAUGCUCAAUUCUCGUAUUCCUCUCAAUCCAAAUAUGUUUGCAAAUAUUUGAUCAAAUAGUGUAAGAAAAGAAAUAACCAAGAAGGUUAAAUGAAUUAACAGCAUGUAGUUUCCACACAUACGUAUUUAGUUCAUAUUGGACAAAAAUUAGAUGCAGUUAGUUCUAUAAGUGCUUUCAUUGUUGUCUUUCAAUUAGAAUUAGAGUUUUACCAAGUAAUCCGUGUAAUAAAGGUUUCAAUUAAAAGUCAACAUAGACUACUAAGGUGAAAUCCAAUUUUGAUUGAAGAACAAUGUUAAAAGCACCUGUAAAACUGUAUCUAAGUUUUGUCCCAGCAUAUUUGGCACAAAUAAUAGCUUAUUUUUAUCAAUUUCCUAAGAGAGCUUUUAAUCAAUAAACAACAACCAAUUAACUUCUCAAAAUUUAUCCCAACCAAAAAGGUCUAAAUUUUCUUUCUUACAGAUUUGGGAUGUGCUAACAAACAGUGAAGUAAUAAACAUAGUUGCUUCAGCACCAAAAAGGUCCGUGGCAGCCAAAUUGUUAGUAAACCAUGCUGCUCGGGCUUGGAAAUAUAAGUAUGGUUUCAAGGUUGAUUAUUGUUCAUCCAUAUGCUUAUUCUUGAAGGAUUAGCCUCCUUUAACCCAAUCCUGAUCCAAAGUUAGUGGGAACAAUAGACAUCCCUUGAAGCACCUGCAUUUCUCAUAAUCUAGACUUGUAAAUACUGAAAUUGUAGAUAUGGCAAGAGUAUGGUAGAAUCAAAAGGAAGAAUGGGAUGCUCUUGGAGGGUUCUCCAGAGCCAACUUUGAAUCAUAGAUUGCAAUCACCUCAGUACCUCAAGGAGGGUUGAAGCUGAUCACUAACUCAGCCAGAAACUCCCCGAAUCCAAGGGCUAGUGCUACUAACAAGUUAACAAUUUUACGGCCAGAAGAUUUUGCUUUUGACACAAUCCCAGAAGAUGGCAAUUAUUUUAGCCUUCUAAUUCUGGUGUAAUUACGUGCAAGACUUCUUUUCUAUCUGCCUAAGACCAACAUUGAUCAAUUUUAGCAGUCUAUAUUAUGGUACCAUAAAAGUUUUCUUUUUUCUGGCUUGGGUUCUAAAGAGUUCAAUGAAGAACUAAGCAGCACCUACUUUUCUAUUUCUCUUCAAUUAUUUCCUAGUGUGCUGUGUUGACACUAACAUUCAGCAUAAAACAUUACUAGACACUAGAACCAGAGGGGUUAUACUAUUGCUGAGCAUUUGAAGCUUAAGAAUGAAUCUUCAAAAGUAAAAGGUGAUCAAUUAACAACCCAGGAAAUGAAAUUUUAUUAAUAACUUCCAGAACUUCUGGAAAAAGAUUACAACACCAAAAUAAUGUUAUUUGGCCUAAAAACAUGCCUUAUAAUUAUUAAGAGUAACGCCAAAGUUGAAAAACACGAUGUUAAAUAUAUUUUUUAUUCUUAAUAAAUAUCUAAAUUUUGUAUUUUUUUCUAAUAAAAAAAUUAAAUUAAAAAAAUUACCAUGAAAAAAAAAUACAAUUUUUUUAUCAGUCAUAGUUUCAACAAUUUUUUUGAUUGAUCUAAGUUCCUCAAGUUUUCUCUAUCUUUGUUUUUAGUUAUUUUCAUCAAAUAUCAUUAUUUAUGAAUGAUGCGUAAACGCGUGCACGACUAAUACGAUGUAAUAAUCACAUAAUAAAAAUAUUAUUGGUUCAAGACAUUUUUUGAGAGUUUCAAGGUGCUACAAAUUUUUUUGAUGGUGUAAAACUACUAGAAAAAGUUUUGAAGUUUUGAAAAAAAAAACAAAAAGGAGAUGUAUUAAGUAAAAUCAAUAAAUCAUAAAGAAGAAUUUACACAAAUCAACAUCCCACAAAACCAUUCUCUAAAACAUAAUCCAUAACUUAAUGAGAAUAGAAUUCUCAUCCUUAAAAAAAACAAAUUCUCAUAUGUUUAGAACUAUAUAUUGACGAUGUCAUACUAGUAGAUAUGAGGGAUUAAAAGCAUAGUUUAUAAAAAAAAAUUAUAAUCAAUAUCUUGCCAAAUUUCUUAAUAAUGUAAUAAGUUAAUGAAUUAUCAUAUUUCUGUUGCAUUAUCAAUCAACAUUAGUUGAUAGUAGAGACUAAAAUAAAAGAUAUUAAAUUUUUAUAGGGACUAAAAAAAUAAAAAAUUAAAGGACAAAACCAAAAAUAAGAUAUAUUAUAGCAACCAAAUAAUUAUUUAAGUCUUCUAUUUUUUUUUCUUUUUCCUAAUAUACCCUUUUCUUCCUUAAUUUCUCUCUUUUCCCCUUUGUCUCCUUCUUCCUAAGUAUCUUCUUGUCACCUUUCUUUGCAAACUCGUCUCUGAUGCUGAUAUGGCUUUGCCUGAAUCCCUGUGCUCCUCAUUACAUGCAUCCCCAUGUUCAUGCAUAUCCUUGUGCUUUUAGCGUUACAUGUUGGCAAGACUAUGAUGGCGACAGCUGUGACGUUGCCGAGUGGAUCUUACUCCCUUUGUUGCAGCUAUCAUGGGGGACCAUGGUGAUUGCCACUAGAUCCCUUUGGAUUCCCUCUGAUUUUUGUGAUGUCGUUAGGAUUUUCCUAUAACAUUCGUGAAAUAUUCUGAAAUAUCGAAAGAUGAUUCCGAUGAUGGUUACAGGUGGGCGACAAUCACAAGGGGAAGAUGAAGAAGAGCAGAAGUAACACGGAUGGUGAUUUUUUAUAGUGUACGACGGCUAAUGCAGAGAGAAAAUAGAGGAGUAAAUUGAAAAAGAGUAAGAUAAAAAACAAAAUAAAAAAGAAAGAAGAAAAGUAUUGUCCAUAAAAUUAAAAAUGUAUAUAUCUAAUGACUUGAAAUAUGUUUCAAAUAAUGAGAUAUGAAGUGAGGUCCCACUCUAGCCAUCUUCAAGAAAUUACUGUCUCUCUGUUUAUAUAUAUAAUACUUAAUUACUUAAUUCAUGAAGAUUAAGAAAAUUGAUUAAUUUAAUUGAUAACAAUAAAUUUAUCUUAAAUUUAUAAUUUUUUUCAAAAUUAUUAUCAUUUAUACUCCCCUCUCUCCUAAUUGUUUGUCAAUAUAUCUUUUCUCUUUCUUAACUAGGGACAUUUCUAAUAUAGAAUUAAUUAAUACAUAAAACAUUAUAGAUUAUGUCUUAUAAAAAAAUAAAUAUCAUUUUAAAUUUGAGUCUUAUAAAUAAAAAUGGAAUGAGUAGUCUUUAACUCUUUAUACUUGCCUUUUUCUACUAUUUGGUUAAGAAGAAUGAAAGAGAAUUGAAAGUAUACAGAGUUGAAAGACAAUGAAAGAAGAUGGUCUAGGAUGUUUGUUACAUGUGAAAAUUUGAUGAAAGUUUCAAAAAUAAUGUGAAACCCACAUGUUUUUACUUUCAUCUCAAAAAGAGAAUAAAAGGGAGGAAAAGAAACAAUAAAAAGGAUGCUAUACACAAAAUUCUUGGUUGCUAAAAUUGUUCCUCAAGCCCCUCAUUAACCUUCAGUGGAACUUUUAAAUUAGGGUAUCAUGUCACAUAUAAUAAGUUAUUCAAAUGUCAUAGUUGAUUAUGCUUAGUUUGCAAUCAAGUUUGCUUUCUAGUGGCUUUUACUCAAGAUAUAAUCAAUUAUAUAUGCAAUUUAUAUAAUUGAUUAUGUGACUUUAAUUAGUAAAAGAAUAUACAUUUUUAUCUCAUAUAUAUAGUUACAUAAACUUAUUUUUUUGGGGUAAAAUGAAUGUUUACUUAAUCUCUUUUUCAGUUAUUUUUCUUUUAUUAUUGACCUAAACACUUUAGUUUAAGCAUUUCAUUUCUUUUACACUUUUUUUUUUCCAUCUCAAUCAAAUAACUUUAUUUUUUUAUUCUUUUUUCAUUUUUUUUUAAGAGAGUCUCUUCUCAUUUCAACUUUCUUUCAUUUAUUUUCAUUCCUUUUCACACUACAUACAGUUAGACUUAGGCUGCCAUUAUGAUGGAGAAAAGUAAUAUACAAAAAAAAUUAUAUAUUUUAUUCGAUGGGAUCCACAUCUCUUAUAUUUUACUUUAAUUAUUUUUUUCAUUUUUUUCCUCUGCCUUUCCUUCUUCUAAAUCAAAUGCCCCCUACACAAUUCCAUCCUAUGAGACAAAUGUGUGUUUAAAAGAAAAAGUUUAUAGAUAUGCGUCAAUUGUAACUUUUGAUGCGGAAGUUAAUUAGCUAGCUUUAACAGCAUGCACGUUUAGGAGAAAAUGCAAGAAAAUCCAAAGGGGCAAUAAUAAAGCUGGUUGGGAGUGGAUUCCAAAUCAUCAAAUCAAAUCAAAUUCUCCCAUUGCUCCAAUGAGUUGUCCUCCCACAAAUUAAGCUCCAAUCUUCUAGAAAUAAGGUUUUAAAUAGCCAAGGAUUAAGAUUAAUUGUUGAAGGACAAAUUCAAUGCCAUGUACUCCACACAACAAGACAUCUGAAUGAGUAAUUAAUGAUAUAUGAAUUAUCAUUUAUUUUAAUCAUUUUAUUUUUUAUCUAUCUGUCACAUCAUAAAUUAUAUUAUACCUAUAUUUUUCCUUUUUUUCCCUAUAUGUUGAAUAAAUUUUUGGAUGUUAUCAAACAUUUUCCCAUCUAAAUUGAGCUAGAUCUGAUUCAUCCGAAAGAGGAUCCAAGUAUCCAUAAGAUGAUUUUAAAGAGAGAAAAGAAGGAAAUACCAUGAUUUGAAUCCCUUUUAUUAACAAAAUCUAACAACUAAUGUCUAAAAAAAUUAAGCAAAUUAAUAAUUACACUAUUUUUUUGGUAUUCAUAUAAUUCUUAUCUCUUCCCAACAAAUAUUACCAUGCAAAAAAUGUUUUUUGGAUCUGCAUCAAUACCCAAAGAUGUGGAUAAAAGAUGUUAAUACAUUCAGUGAAAAUUUCUUUAUUAUCUUAAAAAUAUUUUCCUUUUGAAUAAUAAAUAUAAUUUUCACAAUUAGUUGAGUGUACUUUGUUUUUCAGAGAUGGUAGAGUGGUCCAGAGAAACUGCACCUGUCAAUGGAUAUGAAUUCAACUUUGAACAAUAUCUAAACAGAACUUCUGAUUUAAUUGACGUGAAAGUGAUCCUUUCUCAAUAGCUGAAUUUUUAAUUGGAAAGCUUUUCAUUGGACAUCAGACUAUAAGAGGACAACUACAAAGGAUAAUCUCAGAUCUUUCAGUAAGGCAUGCUUCCCAUGUAUAUAUUGGCAGAUAACUGAAAAUGUUUCAUAUCAUUUAAUUUCUAACCAUUUCAAAUUCUUUGGCAAAACAUAUCUGAGGUUUUCUUUUUUUCCAUUAUUAUUGUGUUGUAGGAAAUUGUAGUAUACUGCUCUCUACCAAGGUUAUCCAUUGAUGCAAGGAAGAAUGUGCUGCAGCAAACUAUACACUUCAAAUAAUUUGAUGUUUUACUUUUUUGCCAAAUAUUGUGCUGCAGCAAACUAUACACAUACUGUGUUGUUGCCAUCUCUAAUCUAGUCUUGAUACUAGUGUUCAAAAUGAGAAUGAACUGGAAGCAACAGAAUCACCAAUUCACAAAGCCUUUGGUGCACUUGCCAAAGUCUUAACAUGGUGCUUUCAUCAGAGUUUCAUCAAGUCCGCUGAGAAACAAUCAUCAUACUUCUACAAGAGAAGCUUGGGCACCUUUGUAGUUCUAGCAAGUCAUUUUGGAUCUAGACAAGAGCCAGGGAGGUUAGAAGUUUUCAUCAGGACUAAGGGGUUUGCUCUAUGAAAUAUAAAUGGAAGACAAGUACAUUCUUGGGGUGAAACACCAUGACAGAGACUGAGUUUAUGACAGAUGGGACAUUUUGCUCUGCUUUUAGUUCAACUGAAUCUUCUGGUGAAGACAUUGAACUAUGAAGUAUCUUCUGGGAAAGAUUUAUGUGGUGUCUUGCUAAAAUAACAGUGAUGUAAUAAACAUAGUUGCCCUUAUCAGAUUUAAGUUGCAAACAUUCAAAUCUUUACACUGCCACGGCCACAUAGAUUGCAAACAUUCAAGGCCCAAUGGUGGAGUCCAUGGUCGAGGCCAUCUCCAGCAUCGAGACAACUUGCCUCCAACAUUUAAAAUUGAGGGAUUGUUCGUCAGCUAUAUCUUUUCCAGGUGGUCGUCUACCUGCAUCUCUGAAGACUCUGGUUAUCAGCAAUCUUAAAAAUCUGGAAUUCCCUACCCAACACAAGCACCAGUUACUAGAAUCACUGUUUCUAUAUAAUAGUUGCGAUUCUCUCAAGUCUCUUCCAUUGGUUACCUUUCCAAAUCUCAAAAGUCUCCCAAUCGAAAACUGUGAACACAUGGAAUCUCUUUUGGUUUCAGGGGCAGAGUCAUUUAAGAGUCUGUGUUCUUUGAGAAUUUCCCAAUGCCCCAACUUUGUAUCAUUCUGGAGAGAAGGAUUGCCUGCGCCCAAUUUGACUGAUUUUGAAGUUUUGCAUUGCGACAAGUUGAAGUCAUUACCUGACAAAAUGAGUACUCUUCUCCCAAAGUUAGAAUAUCUUGACAUAUCCAACUGUCCAGAAAUUGAGUCGUUUCCAGAAGGGGGGUAUGCCACCUAAUCUGAGAACAAUCAUUGUUAGUGUUUAAAUGAUGCUCAAUUUUCUCAUUCCUCUCAAUCCAGAUAUGUAUACAAAUAUUUGAUCAAAUAGUAUAAGAAAAGAAAUAACCAAGAAGAUUAAAUGAAUUAACAGCAUGUAGUUUUCACACAUACAUGUUUAAUUCAUAUUGGACAAAAAUUAGAUGCUGUUAGUUCUNNNNNNNNNNNNNNNNNNNNNNNNNNNNNNNNNNNNNNNNNNNNNNNNNNNNNNNNNNNNNNNNNNNNNNNNNNNNNNNNNNNNNNNNNNNNNNNNNNNNNNNNNNNNNNNNNNNNNNNNNNNNNNNNNNNNNNNNNNNNNNNNNNNNNNNNNNNNNNNNNNNNNNNNNNNNNNNNNNNACAAAUAAUAGCUUAUUUUUAUUCAGUUUCCUAAGAGAGCUUUUAAGCAAUAAACAACAACCAAUUAACUUCUUAAAAAUUAUCCCAACCAAAAAGGUCUGAAUGUUCUUUCUUAGAGAUUUUAAGCAUGACUAAGAAUUAUAAACAGCAACACCAAAGUUGAAAAAUAAGUUUAAAUAUAUUUUUUUUUCUUAAUAAAUAUUUAAAUUUAAUAUUUAUUUUCUGAUAAAAAAAAAUUGCAGUAAGUUCUUAUAAAAAAAAAAGUCAUUUAUUAUUAGUCUUUUGAAAUGGAGUCAUAAUAAAUGAAAUACAUUAUCCUAAAACAAACAUAUAAUUUUUUAAUUUAUCAUGAACUAAAACAUAACAUAAAAAACAAAAAUAUACAUUAAUACUUAAAUACAAAACUAGAAUAUUUAUUAGAAAUCAGGCCAAUAUAUUAGCAUAUAAAAAAAUAAAGGCAGACCUCCUAAAAAAUGAACGCAUGAUGAAAAGAUAGAUCUUUGAGGGACCACCACAUGUCUUUUGGCUUACCACCUGGAGCUUCUACACUACACUAUUUCAAGUAACCAGACUUCAAUCUAAACCAUUGAAUUUUUAAUUAAUAUAUUUAACGGCUAAUAUUGAUGGUAGAUACUUCCACCCAGAUACCACGUUCAACAAGUAUCCAACCACACCGCUGCACCUUGUCAAAAACCAACCCAGUUUUGUAACCAAUUUCUUUCCUUUAUCUUUCUCAUUCAGAUCAUGGCUGAGGCAGUUGGUGGUGCGUUUCUCUCUGCUUUCCUUGAUGUUGUGUUCGACAAGCUGGUCACCGAUGAGGUUGUUGACUUCAUCCGUGGAAAGAAGCUUGACCUCAAUUUGCUUGAGAACUUGAAGACCACUCUGAGACUGGUUGGAGCUGUGCUUGACGAUGCUGAGAAGAAACAAAUCAAACUCUCCAGUGUCAACCAGUGGCUCAUUGAGCUCAAAGAUGUUCUCUAUGAGGCCGAUGACUUGCUGGAUGAAAUUUCCACCAAAUCUGCAACUCAAAAGAAGGUAAUUAAAGUGUUUUCUCGCUUUACUGAUAGGAAAAUGGCCAGUAAGUUGGAAAAAGUAGUUGGCAAAUUAGAUAAAGUUCUAGAAGGCAUGAAGGGUCUUCCUUUGCAAGUGAUGGCAGGGGAGAGCAACGAGUCAUGGAAUGCUCAGCCAACAACAUCUCUGGAAGAUGGAUAUGGUAUGUAUGGUAGGGAUACAGACAAGGAGGCCAUAAUGAGGUUGUUGUUAGAGGAUAGCAGUGAUGGUGUGCAAGUGUCUGUGACCGCUAUUGUAGGCAUGGGUGGGGUUGGGAAAACCACUUUAGCCCGAUCUGUGUUCAACGAUAGCAAUUUGAAGCAGAUGUUUGAUUUAAAUGCAUGGGUCUGUGUUUCUGAUCAAUUUGAUAUUGUGAAGGUCACACAAACUAUGAUUGAGCAACUUACGCAUGAAUCUUGUAAAUUGAAUGAUCUUAAUUUACUUCAACUUGAAUUGAUGGACAAGCUGAAAAACAAAAAAUUCUUAAUUAUCUUGGAUGACGUUUGGAUCCAAGAUUAUGAGAGCUGGAGUAAUCUUACAAAACCAUUUCUACACGGGAUAAGGGGAAGUAAAAUUCUCUUGACAACCCGAAAUGAAAACGUAGUGAAUGUAGUCCCUUACCAUAUUGUUCAAGUUCUUCCUCUAAGUAAAUUGUCAAAUGAAGAUUGUUGGCUAGUGUUUGCAAACCAUGCAUUUCCUUCCUCGGGAUCAGGUGAGGAGGAUAGAAGAGCUUUAGAAAAAAUUGGAAGGGAAAUUGUUAAAAAGUGUAAUGGAUUGCCUUUAGCAGCACGAUCACUCGGAGGUAUGUUGAGAAGAAAGCAUGCCAUUAGGGAUUGGAAUAAUAUACUUGAAAGCGACAUUUGGGAACUUCCUGAAAGUCAGUGUAAAAUUAUUCCGGCUUUGAGAAUCAGUUAUCAUUAUCUCCCUCCACAUCUAAAACGGUGCUUUGUUUAUUGUUCAUUAUACCCGAAAGAUUAUGAAUUUCAAAAGGAUGACUUGAUCUUGUUGUGGAUGGCUGAAGAUCUUUUGAAGCUUCCAAACAAAGGAAAGUCGUUAGAAGUUGGUUACGAGUAUUUUGAUGAUUUAGUUUCAAGAUCAUUUUUUCAACAUUCAAGAAGUAAUUUAACUUGGGACAAUUGUUUUGUAAUGCAUGACCUCGUGCAUGAUCUAGCAUUAUCCCUUGGUGGAGAAUUCUACUUCAGAUCAGAAGACCUUAGAAAAGAAACCAAGAUUGGUAUAAAGACUCGUCAUUUGUCCGUGACAAAGUUCAGUGAUCCAAUCUCAAAGAUUGAAGUGUUUGACAAACUACAAUUUUUGAGAACUUUCAUGGCAAUUUAUUUUAAAGAUUCUCCGUUCAACAAGGAAAAGGAACCAGGUAUUGUAGUCUUGAAGCUUAAGUGCUUGAGAGUUUUAUCAUUCUGUGGCUUCGCAAGUCUGGAUGUUUUGCCUGAUUCAAUAGGUAAAUUGAUCCACUUGCGUUAUUUAAAUCUCUCUUUUACAAGUAUAAAAACACUGCCGGAGUCAUUGUGUAAUUUGUACAAUCUACAAACUCUGGUGUUGUCUCAUUGCGAAAUGUUGACCAGGUUGCCUACUGGCAUGCAAAAUCUUAUAAACUUGUGUCAUCUUCAUAUUAAUGGUACUCGUAUAGAAGAGAUGCCUAGAGGAAUGGGAAUGUUAAGUCAUUUGCAGCAUUUGGAUUUCUUUAUUGUGGGCAAGGAUAAAGAGAACGGAAUCAAAGAACUGGGGACACUUUCAAAUCUUCAUGGUUCACUUUUUGUUAGGAAGUUGGAGAAUGUAACCCGAAGCAAUGAAGCAUUGGAGGCUAGGAUGCUGGAUAAGAAGCACAUUAAUCAUUUAUCCUUGCAAUGGUCUAAUGGCAACGACUCCCAAACUGAAUUAGAUGUGCUGUGCAAAUUAAAACCUCACCAAGGCCUGGAAUCUCUAACAAUAUGGGGUUAUAAUGGAACCAUAUUUCCAGAUUGGGUGGGAAAUUUUUGGUUUUACAAAAAUGAAGAUUGUCCUUCUGUGACACCCUUUUCUUCCCUUGAAACUCUAGAAAUUGAUAACAUGUUUUGCUGGGAGUUGUGGAGUACCCCUGAGUCAGACGCCUUUCCUCUACUCAAGUCUCUUACAAUAGAGGAUUGCCCCAAACUAAGGGGAGAUUUGCCAAAUCACCUUCCUGCUCUGGAAACACUUACAAUUACAAAUUGCGAGCUUCUUGUCUCUUCUCUCCCUAGGGCUCCCACCCUUAAGAGAUUAGAGAUAUGUAAAAGCAACAAUGUAUCGUUGCAUGUGUUUCCUCUUUUGUUGGAAUCGAUAGAAGUAGAAGGAAGCCCAAUGGUGGAGUCCAUGAUCGAGGCCAUCACCAGCAUUGAGCCAACUUGCCUCCAACAUUUAAAAUUGCGGGAUUAUUCGUCAGCCAUAUCUUUUCCAGGUGGUCAUCUACCUGCAUCUCUGAAGGCUCUGCAUAUCAGCAAUCUUAAAAAUCUGGAAUUCCCGACCGAACACAAACCGGAGUUACUGGAACCACUGCCAAUAUACAACAGUUGUGAUUCUCUCACGUCCCUUCCAUUGGUUACCUUUCCAAAUCUCAAAACUCUCCGAAUCGAAAACUGUGAAAAUAUGGAAUCUCUUUUGGGUUCAGGGUCAGAGUCAUUUAAGAGUCUGAAUUCUUUUAGGAUUACCAGAUGCCCCAACAUUGAAUCAUUCCCGAGAGAAGGACUGCCUGCGCCCAACUUGACUGAUUUCGUUGUUAAAUAUUGCAACAAGUUGAAGUCAUUGCCUGAUGAGAUGAAUACUCUUCUCCCAAAGUUAGAAUAUCUACAAGUUGAGCACUGCCCUGAAAUUGAGUCGUUUCCUCAUGGGGGUAUGCCACCUAACUUGAGAACAGUUUGGAUUGUCAAUUGUGAGAAACUACUGAGCGGCCUAGCAUGGCCAUCCAUGGGCAUGCUUACUGAUCUCUCUUUUGAGGGUCCAUGUGAUGGCAUCAAGUCCUUCCCAAAGGAGGGGUUGCUGCCUCCCUCCCUUGUGUCUCUGGGGCUAUAUCACUUCUCAAAUCUGGAGAGUUUGACCUGCAAGGGGCUUCUCCAUCUCACAUCCCUGCAAAAAUUUGAAAUUGUUGACUGUCAAAAGCUGGAGAAUAUGGAGGGAGAAAGGCUUCCUGACUCCCUAAUCAAAUUAUCCAUACGGAGAUGUCCUUUGCUGGAAAAACAAUGCCACAGGAAGCACCCUCAAAUUUGGCCUAAAAUUUCCCAUAUCCGAGGCAUUAAUGUUGACGGUAGAUGGAUUUAGUGACCAAGGAUGAGCACCAGGUAAUUCUCCUUCUUUGACCUACUUCAUUGUCUUCUAAGUUUAACCAUGCAAACUAUUUCAGCCAAGGAUAUCUUUCAUUUCAAGUCCUUUUACUCUCACAUUUAAUUUAGUCAUUGCAUUCAACAAGUGUUAGGCUAGUUGUUCAGUUUGAUACUUGGUUGGAAUUGCAGGUCUAAACGAAACCAAAUUCUUUUGUAUAGAUUUUAUUUACUUCAGAAACAUACUUCAGAAAUGACUAGAUUUCUUGUCUACGAACUGAUUCUGAAAUGGAAUUUGAUGUACUAUAUAUCUUACUAAAUCUUCAGGGAAUAAGAGCAUUAUUGAAGGCAACAUAUAUGAGAAUGUUUCUUAUGAUCCUCUAGCUACAAAGAAGAAAUAACAAUACAGGUAUUAAGUGUGCAACAUCAGUUACUUCCUCAAUAUAACGAUUACCCUGAAGAAAUGUUAUUAAUCAAUGCCAUUGUAUUUGAACUUCCUCGAUAUAUCAGCAAUCAUGGUGUUGUUUCUUCUUGUUACAUUCUCUGUCAGUGUUCAAAGGGUAACUGGGUGUACUUUGUUUUUCAGAGAUGGAAGAUUGGCCCGUAGAAACUGCACCUGUCAAUGGAUAUGAAUUUAACUUUGAACUAGAUCUAAAUGGAACUUGUGAUUUAAUUGACGAGACACUGAUGUUUUUUAAACACCUGAAUUUUUAACUGAAAAGCUUUUCAUUGCAUACAAUGGAGAGGAUGAAAAACUAUAUCAGGACAAGUGGACAACUACAUAGGACGAUCUUAGAUCUUUAGAUAACACAUGCAGUCUUCCUAGGUAUAUUGGCAGAUUAUAGAAAAUGUUGCGUAUCCUUUAACUGCUAGCCAUUUUAAAUUCUCUGCUAUGUUUUGAUUUUUCCAUUAUUAUUCUGUUGUAGGAAAUAGUAAUAUACUGCUCCCUAGGCAGGUCAUCACUUUUGUGUUUGAUGCAAAGAUGGAUAUAUAUAGGUGGAACACUUCUGAAAGGUUUAUCUCAAUAUGUACAGGUUAAAUUUCCCAUACUGCUGCUUGAAUCAAUGAAUUUUUGCAAGUUUGGUCAGUAAUCAAAAUGCUCAAAGUAGCCUGUACAUGUUAUUAGAUGUGAAUUCUGUUACAUACUACUGAUUGGCACUUACACCAGUGCACAGAAUGGGAAAGAACUGGAAGAAAGGAAAUAUUACAUUCAAAGCUUUUGAUGCAAAACAUAAGAGUGGAGGUGGUGGUUUCAUCAUUGUGGAAGGUUUCCAUAAUGUUCUCAGAAGUUUGAGCACCUUAGCGGUACAAGCUUCAUUGUAUGGAAUGAGUUCUGGCAAGUGAUUUUUGUUGAAGAUAUGCUUUUGUAACUGCAUAAUAUUUUAUUUUUCAGUUUUUAAAAUAGGAUUUAGUAAAUAAAUUGGUUUCCUAUAUUUUAGGAGUAAGUCAGUUUUAAUGGAUUAACCUAGUCAAUAAGUAGUUCCUAUCUUUAAGGAGCAAGUUAGUUUUAAUAUUCUGUUUUACUAAUUAGUUUAUCUUUAGCUAUUUAUUGUAUCACUGCUGAGAACAAUUUGAAUUAGAAUAGAAUAAUUCUAUUUCCUCCGCAUACGUAUUAUCUCUCUUUUCUCCUAUGUUUUUUAUAAUUUCCUCCACAAAACCAACAAUUGGUAUCGAGAGCCUUAUUCUUACGGGACCUGUACCAUGGAAGGUGAAGCAAGUUUUUCUCACAUAACUCUUCCAAUCUUUGAUGGAGAGAAUUAUAAUCUUUGGGAAGUGAAAAUGUAAUCCUACAUGGAGUCUUUGGAUUUGUGGGAUGCUGUGGAAGAGGAUUAUGAAAUAUAUCCGCUGCCUGAAAAUCCCACCAUGGCCCAAAUUAAAAAUCACAAGGAAAGAAAGAUGAAGAAGGCAAAGGCGAGGUCAUGUUUGUUCACUGGUGUUUCACAAAUGAUAUUCACCAGAAUCAUGACUCUUAAAUCACCCAAAGCAAUUUGGGAUUAUCUUAAAAAGGAAUACACUGGAGAUGAUAGAAUACAAAGCAUGCAAGUGCUGAAUUUAAGGAGGGAAUUUGAGCUUCAAAGGAUGGAAGAGUCAGAGACAAUCAAAGAAUACUCAAACAAAUUGUUGGGUAUUGCCAACAAGAUAAAGUUGUUGGGAAGUGAUUUUGCUGAUUCUAGAAUUGUAGAGAAAAUUUUGGUAACGAUGUCAGAGAGGUAUGAAGCAUCUAUAGCUUCAUUGGAGAACACAAAGGAUCUGUCGAGAAUCACAUUGGCAGAAGUGCUACAUGCCCUGCAAGCUCAAGAGCAGCGAAGGAUGAUGAGGCAAGAUCGUGUUGUCGAAGGUGCUUUGCCUGCCAAACAUCAUAAAGUUGAUGAAAGCAAAAAGAAUUUUUUCAAGAAGAAUCAACCAGCAAGUAGCGAAAAUAGUGCAAACAACCAAAACAGAGGUAAGGAUAAAAAGAAAAAUUAUCCACCUUGUCAGCAUUGUGGCAAAAAAGGUCAUGCACCUUUCAAAUGUUGGAGGAGACCAGAUGCAAAAUGUAACAAGUGCAAUCAAAUAGGGCAUGAAGCGGUGAUCUGCCCCAACAAAAAUCACCACGAUGAGGGAGCACAGAUUGCUAAUCAAGACAAGGAGGACCAACUGUUUGUGGCCACAUGCUUCUUGAGUAGUGAAUCAAGUGAAAGUUGGUUGAUUGAUAAUGGUUGUACGAACCACAUGACAUAUGAUAAGACUCUAUUCAAGGAUUUGAAGCCAACUAAUGUCUCAAUGGUCAGAAUUGGGAAUGGUGGCUAUAUUCCUGUAAAAGGAAAAGGAACUGUUGCAAUUUCAACGUGUUCAGGCAUCAAAUUAAUAUCAGAUGUUCUUUAUGUACCUAACAUUGACCAAAACUUGCUAAGUGUAGGUCAGUUGAUUGAAAAGGGAUUUAAAGUGUCCUUUGAACAUCAACAUUGCUUUAUUUAUGACAUUGUUGGUCUGGAAGUUCUAAGGGAUAAAAUGAAAGGUAAAAGCUUCUCAUUUGAUCCAGCAGAGAAGGAGCAUACAACCUAUUUCACUCAAGUCACACCCACGGAACUUUGACACAAGAGACUUGGUCAUUGCCAUCUUGAAAGAAUGCUAAACAUGAAAAAAAGGAAAUAUGCAAAAGAAAAUUUGAAGAAGCUUAGCAAGGAAGAAGGUGUUGAUAAUAUUGAUGAAGGAUAUUAUGGGAGCUUGAUUGGAUGUCUAAUGUAUCUCACUACAACAAGGCCAAACAUUCUAUUUUCUCAAAAGAACAAAACUGGAAUUUUUGUUAACAAUCAAGCAGCCAUUGCUAUUGCAAACAAUCCUGUGUGUCCUGGGAAGACUAAACAUUUCAAUAUCAAGUUCUAUUAUUUGAUAAAGAUGCAACAAAGUGGAGAAGUGAACUUAAUUUACUGCAAGUCUAAAGAUCAACUAGCUGACAUGUUUACAAAGUCACUACCUAUCAACAAACUUGAACUCUUAAGGCAAAAAAUUAGAGUUUGCAGUUCCAAAAGCAAGGAGGAGUGUUGAAGAUAUGCUUUUGUAACUGCAUAAUAUUUUAUUUUUCAGUUUUUAAAAUAGGAUUUAGUAAAUAAGUUAGUUUCCUAUAUUUUAAGAGUAAGUCAGUUUUAAUGGAUUAACCAAGUCAAUAAGUGAUUCCUAUCUUUAAGGAGCAAGUUAGUUUUAAUAUUUUGUUUUGCUAAUAUCUUGUUAUCUAAUUAGUUUAUCUUUUACUAUUUAUUGUAUAGUUGCUGAGAACAAUUUGAAUUAGAAUAAAAUAAUUUUAUUUCCUCCACAUACGUAUUGUCUCUUUUUUCUCCUCUGUUUUUUAUAAUUUCCUCCACAAAACCAACAAUUUUCAAAUCAAAACAACAUGGGAUGUUUGAAGAAUGAUAUCUGAUGGGAAAGGUCAUUGGUCUCUACCAUUUUAAAGGAAAUAUUAAAGUAUAUAUAUUUAUGGAAGUCAAAUAAAUUUCAGAAGUGAAAUUCAACUACAAUAGUCUGAGUUCAGUUUAAUAAUGACCAUGAUUUUUUUAUUCUUUUUGCACUAUUCAAAUGCCACAAUCUCCCUAUAUUUCCUAUUUUUUUCCUUCUUCAGGUGGUUUUGAUGGUGGAGAGGUUGAGAAGAUUCCUGGGUUCGAUUUCGUAGACUGGUUAAAGAACACGGUUUCGGAGAAUGAUUUCGUUGUGAUGAAGAUGGAUGUGGAGGGUACUGAGUUUGAUUUGAUUCCAAGAUUGUUUGAAACUAGGGCUAUCUGUUUGGUGGAUGAGAUUUUUCUUGAGUGCCAUUACAAUAGGUGGCAGAGGUGUUGCCCUGGACAGAGGAGUCCCAAGUAUGAGAAAACUUAUGAUCAGUGCUUGCAGCUCUUCACUUCUCUCAGACAAAGUGGAGUUCUUGUUCAUCAAUGGUUUUAAUUAACUUUGUAGAAUUGCCUGAUGGAUGAUGGGUCAAACCCUAUAUGCAUGUUCUUAGCUUCUGCAUGUUUCUUCUUUUUAGUUUUCUUAUUUUUUUCCCAAGCCAAUAGAGAAGAGAGAGAGUGAGAGUGAGAGUUCUUUAUUUUUUAAAAUUUCUCUACUUGUAACAGUUGCAACUGAAAAUGAAAAUUAAAACCAUCCCUUUACAACAAUUGUAUUUGUUACACAUUUGUCUUGUUUUUAUCUGUGUACAUAUAUAGUAGAGGAUACUUUGAAGUCUAAUCUAUCAUAUUAUCUCUGAGAAGAAUUUUUUAUUGUUCCUUUUGUCAAAUUAUUGUUGAAUUGAAAAAUAAUUCAUGAACACUCCAUUCCAUGUUACUAGGCAUUCACCAAGAGAGAGAUAAAAGAGAAAAAAAGAGUAUGAAUGUGACAAGUGAAUAUAUAUAAUGUAACAAAAGAAAAAGAUAGAAAUAUAAGGCAAAUUUCCCCAUCUGGGGUAGUUUUAGAAACUAUUUCCCCAGAUGGGGUCAUUUCCAAAUUAUUUGCAACAUGGGGCAGUUUUUUACGUGGAAACCAUGCAUGCAGGACCCAAACCGCCAGAACCAGUGGCGAGUUUGGUGUCCUUGAGCAAAUCGCCAGCACCAAUGGCGAUACGUGCAUGCAGAGACGAAACCGCCAGUCCAAAUGGCGAUACGGUUUGCGCUUUGGGAACCGCCAGUCAAACUGGCGAGUUCCAUGGCCUGAGGCUGCAGGGCUACGUCCCUGCCAUGGCAGUGUAGUGCAGAUGCAGGUGCAGGCAAAACCGCUAUUACCAUUGGCGGUUUGCCUUGCACAGGGAUUGCCAAGAAAACGCUAUUACCAUUGGCGGGUUGCAUUCCGUUUGAAUUUUUUUUGCCCCUCUUCCAUUAUAAAAGCAGAAGAAGCUUCGUGAUUGCACUGCUCUUCCUUCCUUUGCUUCCAUUGCUUUGCUAUUCUUCUUCCUUAUUUCCUCUUAUUUGGUUGUUGUUGCCUUCUUCUUAUUUGGUUGCUGUCUUUUGUUUUUGGUAAGUAUUUUUUAAUGAUAAAUAUUUAUUGUGUAUAUAUAUAUUUAUAUAUGAAUGGUAAAUAUUUUGUUAAUGUUUGUAGGGGUGUGCUUUGUUUCAGUCUUGGUACGUGAUUUCUCUCCUCUUCAUAUUACGUGAGUUCUCUGUGCUUGGUAAGUGAUUAUUAACUUGGUAACUUUAAUUGAUAGGUUAAUGUUAGGUUUUAAAAAUUAUAUGUUAUUAGUUGUGUUAUAUAUAUAGAUAUAUGUUAGGUUAGUUAUAGUUAAAUUGAUAUAUAUUAUUUUCUUUAAAUUUUGUAAAUUAACAUGGUAUUAAUUAUUUUAUAUAUACAUAUUACGUUUGUUGAUGUUAGAUGAAAUUUUUAAAUUUUAAGUGGUACAUUGAAAUAUUGAGUUGGUAUAUUAUGAUUUGUACGUUAGUUGUAGUGGAUUUACUAAUAUGAUUUUGUUAAGAUUUUUUAAAUUUUUAUCUUAUUAUUUGUGAUAAAAUUAUUUGUACGUUAAUUUUAGUUGUUAUGUUAUUAUUAUUUGGUUUAGAUUUAUUAGGUUUGUAUGAUAUUAUUUGUAUUUUAUAUAUGGUAUUUUAGGUUUAGUUGGAAUGUGAAUAUUAUUUAAUUUACUUAUUUAUAGUUUUUAUUGAAAUAUAUGAUAUUUUAUUAAUUUUAUAUAUAUAUAUAUAUAUAUAUAUAUAUAUAUAUAUAUAUACACGUUCUUUAAAUUUGUUUAUUCCAUGAAUUUUUUUUAUUUAAUACCAUUUUUUUGUGUAUAAUAUUUGUUAUUUAAUUUAAAUUAUAAUAAUUGGAAAAAAAUAUGGUCAUUUAAUUAAAUUUAUGUACGCAUUUGAAUAUUUAAUUUUGUUAUGUAUAGAGUUUUUUAGUUAGUAAAUUAAGUUUUGUUGUGUUAAAUUUAUGAACGUGUUUUAUUUUAUAAUUUUAUUAUGCACAUAUUUUAAUUUGGUCAUUUAUUUCAAUUUAUGUUGCUAUGUUAAUUUUUAAUUUUGUAGAGGAAAUCAUACCUUCUGCUGGGUGAACAAUUCUUACUGGUGGAAUCAUGUCGGAGACUUCAUUGUCUGUAUCUGAUAUACCGUCAACAUUGUCAUCUUCGUCUAACGACUCUUCAACGUAUGAGUUAGACACAAGAUAAUCAUCAUCAUCAUGAUCAUCAUCUUCGUCAAGAUUUAAAUUGCUCAUAUUUGUUGGCGGUUGUGUGUAAUCAUUAGAUACAUAAUUUCCACAUGAUGUAAGGGAAUUUGCAGAAUGAAACAUUGAACCACCAGCCACAUCCUUUUCUAUGUACAAUUCUAGAACUGACAUUUCUUGUUGUUGUUUAAAACUUUCCAGCAUCGUUUCAACGUCUUCGUCAUCGCAAAUUUGCAAGACUAUAUUUUCCUGACACUAAAAAUCUACAACUGAUAGCAGAAAUAAUUUCAUUAUUUUCUAACUUUACCUUGUCUCCAAUUUUUUUCUUCAAAGUAUUGAAACUAAUUCCACGUUUAAUCUGAAUCGUUUUUUUACUGCCUUCAAAUAUUACACCAUCAUUAUCUUCAUAUACCCUUCCAUUGAAACACAACACUGUUAUAACCGAAUUCAUCAUGUACCUACAAAAACAAUAUUUUAAUUAAUUAUUCAUAAUAAAUUAAAAAUAAUAAAAUGUAAGAAAUAAAAAAAAUGAGAAUACAAAUUAUUUUACUGCAAACUAAGAAAUAAAAAAAUUACUUAAAAAAAUUACUUGAAAGUUGAAAUCUAGUUUUAAUUAAAAAUUACUUAAAAAAUUUAUAAUAGAAAUUAUUUUACUGCAAAUUAACAAAUAAAAAAAAUUACUUGAAAGCUGAAAUCUAGUUUUAGUUAAAAAUUACUUAAAAUAUGAUACAAUUUAUUUUACUGCAAACUAAUAAAUAAAUAAAAAUCUUCAAAAAUAUUACUUUAAAGCUGAAAUCUACUUUUAAUUAAAAAAUUACUUCAUAAAAAUUAUCAUACAAAUUAUUUUACUGGAAACUAAGAAAUAAAUAAAAAAUACUUAAAAAAAUUACUUGAAAGCUGAAAUUCACUUUUAAUUAAAAAUUACUUAAAAAAAUUAUCAUACAAAUUAUUUUACUAGAAACUAAGAAAUAAGAAAAAUUACUUACAAAAAAUAACUUGAAAGCUGAAAUCUAGUUUUAAUUAAAAAAUAAUUUAAAAAAAUUAUAAUACAAAUACAAAUUAUUUUACUGGAAACAAAGAAAUAAAAAAAAUUACUUAAAUUUUUUUUCUUAAAGCUGAAAUCUAGUUUUAAUUAAAAAUUACUACAAGAAAAUUAUGAUACAAAUUAUUUUACUGCAAACUAAGAAAUAAAAAAAAUUACUUAAAAAAAAUUACUUUAAAGCAAAAUUCUACUUCUAAUUAAAGAUUACUUAAAAAAAAUUAUCAUAUAAAUUAUUUUACUGGAAACUACAAAAUAAACUAUAAAUCUAAUUUAAUUAUAAAAUUAAUAAAAACUAUACAUUCAAACUGCUAUAAAUAAUUACUUACAUAAAAUUAUAACAAAAAUUAUUAAUUUCGAAAAAGGAACAUAUUAUUUUGACUUUCAAAAAAGGAACGUAUUAUCAAUUGCCCAGAGGCUCUUCGCUAUGCGAAGGUAUGGGGGAGGGAUAUUGUACGCAGCCUUAUCCUUGCAUAUGCAAAGAGGCUGUUUCCGGAUUCGAAUCCAUGACCAACAAGUCACCAAAGUACAACUUUACCGCUGCACCAGGGCUCGCCCUCAUAUAAAAUAUAAAAAUAAUUUAAUUAAAAAUUUCAUAAAAACUAUACAUUGAAACUGCUAUAAAAAAUUACUUAAAAAAUAAUAAUACAAAUUAUUUUACGGGACAUUACGAAAUAAAAAUAUAAAACUAAUUUAAUUAAAGAAUUACUAAAAACUAUACCUUUUAACUGCUAUAAAAAUAUAGGUUAAAAAAAUUAUAACACAAAUUAUUAAUUUUAAAAUUACAAACCUGCUUCAAAUAUUUAAGUUCAAGCAAACAAACUUAAAACUUUAUGCGGAUAAAAAUUCCUACACACUCAGAAAACUCAAAGCACUUUGUGCAUUCAGAAAACUUAAACCUACUGAUUGUGAGCACACACAGCUACAACUGAAAGAGGGAAGAAUUUCUGAUUUGAAGAACAGCUGAAAACGUGAGUGAGCACACAAGUGAAAGAAGAGUAUUUAUAAGCACAAAAUCGCCAUUCGUGAUGGCUAUUUUUUCUGUCUAAAUCGCCAAUGGGAGUUGCAACUUGCAGGCAACUCGCCAAUGGCAGUUGCAACUCCCCUUUCUCUGAAAAAGCUCCUGCAACCUAGCCACUGAAAAGCGCAACUGCCUGCGACGUAGGCCUGCACCAUCAGACCAUGGAACUCACCAGUUUGACUGGCGGUUUCCUCGCGUUGUGUAUAUCGCCAUUCGUACUGGCGAUUUGUGUCUUGCAUGGACAUAUCGCCACUGGUAGUGGCGAGUCCUUCACUGAGACCAAACUCGCCAUUGGCAAUGGCGGUUUGGCUGCAUGUCCCCAUGCAUUUCACGUAAAAAAUUGCCCCAUGUUGGAAAUAAUUUGGAAACAACCCCAUCUGGAGAAAUAGUUUCUAAAACUACCUCAGAUGGGGAAAUUUUCCGAAAUAUAAAGUGUCAAUAGAGUAUUUUCACUGUUGGAUAUCUAAAUAAUAUUACUGCGUUGAAUUAGUUCUAGUGCACUAGGUAAUAAAAUUGAUGUGGAUAUUUAGUUAAAAGGUUCUUGCAAUGGGAUUUUAAGUUUUCUGUGGCUAUAACAGAAUUGCAGGCAAUAGGGGUUUGAGAGUUGAAAUUAUUACCCCAGGUGAUGAUUUUCCUGAUAAUUCAGUCAAUUGAAAAUAUCACUCAAAGGGAUUGAACUAAAAUCUUGCUUUAUACUAUUAGUAAUAGUAAUCAAGUGACAAAUAAUAUGAUCAACUUUAGUUAGUCGUUUGACAAAGAGACUGGUAUAUGGUCAUUGUUUGGGUGCUAAGUUGCAGUUUAUCAUCAGCCAAGUUAAUUCCUCGGCCAUGAUAGCUGUUGAUACAUGGUAGUAUUCUGAGGUUAAUGGUUCUAAUGAUGUUACAUUACAUGGUUUCUUAUGUGUCCCUUAUCAGCUGUUUAAUGUCUGUCUUAUCUGAAAUUAUUAUUGUUAAUGAUUAGUAAAGCGAAAGCAGGAUAUUAUUAAUAUUAGUGCAGUCAUGUGAUAAUGUUCAAGUAUGGCAUUUAAGUGGAUCUGUUCCAGCUACAUGGUUGUUAAAACGUGGUUUAAUUUCUUUAGGUGAGUUCUCUGCAUUUAUAGAAAAUGACUAAUGAGCUUGUACAUAGCAAGGCCACAUGCAAAAGAGUUUGAUAUUGAUACUUGAUUUAUGAACGAAUAAUGAGCUUGUUGUAGAUGAAAUGGCACAUCCACAUGCAAAACUGUUUGAUAUUGAUACUUGAUUUUUAAACUCUACGUCACUUGUCUGGACAUGAUUUAAUUUCUUUAAAGUGCAUGCUUCAAUUGAUAGUAAGAGGAGAAUCCUGUCCAGUAGUACAGGUUCUAAUAACAAUCAAUUGACAUGACAAUCAAGAGAGUUAAUGCAGGUUCCAAUAAUCUCAUAUUCACCCAUAAUAAUAUUUAGGUUAAAUUUACAUACACUUCUACCAAUUUUUCAACUAGGUUUUUGAUUUGUUUUUAAUUGGGCUCUUGAACCUUUUUUUUUUAUUGGAUUAUUCCGUCUAAAUGCUGUUAUGAAAAAUUAACUAUAAAUAACUAACUAGAAUGUGUUAUAAACAUUAACCCAACUAAACAAAAAAGUAAAUGGACCAAAUUACAAAAUAGAAGUUCAAAAACCCAAUUAAAAAAAUUUCAGAAACUUAAUUAAAAAUUUAGAGAUGGCAUGCUAAUUAAACCUAAUAUUUACCAACCCUAUUAAAAGAUUUUAAGGUUGCAGGAAGCUAGAGUGGUGUGACGGGUAGUGAAGCAAUACAAUCCAUGGUAAAUGGAAAAAAGAAUAGCAGAUGAAGUGUAAGGUGAAGAUUUCAAUGCCCCACUUAAACAGUAGCAAAGUCGGAAUAUUCAAUGCCACUUUUUUCUGGAUCAGUUUUCUUGGUGCUGACGAGACUGAGUACAGGUUCUCGAGUAGCUUUUAACUGUUGUAUGUGGGGUUUCUAUUAAAGGCACUUGGUAAUUGAAAAAACACUAACUUCAUAAACGAGAAAAGGAUCGUAUGUGGGACUUUUUUUUGCUAAUCAUCACUGACAAUGAAAUUGGCGACCAAAAUUCUUGAUUGUUUUCACCUAUGUUGGUUGCAAUCAAGAUUCCACAUAGAUAUCAAGCAUGCAUACUUUGGCAAAUUAAACGCAAAAGUAAAAGAGUAGAGUUAGCAUGAGACUAUUUUUUUUAUCAUAUCUAAUUAUGGGAAGGGUUUAAAGUUACAGAAGUGCUUUCUGAAGUUUAGGUGUAAAAUUAUGCGUCCCAAUACAUGAAUGGAGAAUGAAAAAUUUUGAUACUUCUGAAGUAAAAUACUAUUAAACCCUCCCAACUUUAAUUCAAUUAUUUCAACUUUAAGAAUCGAAUUAUUUUUGAACUAGUUUACAAACUAUUUUUUUACUUUAAAAAAAUUAUUCUGAUUUUAGAAAAAACCAUUUGGCUAUUAAUUGAAUCAAACUUAUUUGAAAAAUCAAUUCAAUUUUAUUUGAUUGAACCAAUUCGGUUCAAAAAUCACCUCAGUUUGGUGUAAUUCAAAAACGGAUAGGCUCGAAUCAGUUUAUAUGUACACUCCUAAUUUAAAUUUAUUUCUUCCAAUAUUAAAUUAAAAUUGAAAGAACAAAUUAAACUUGAGUUUUAAAAGAACUUGAUUUCAACAUGUUCCUUUAAUUCGUGCAAAGCCUCUAUUUCACAAGCAUCCUAAUUGCAACAAAAGCAGCAAGAUAAAGUUGUAUGACAAAAUAAGCUUUUUCCCCCAAUUUUUGUUAAUUUUUAUUUUUAGUUCAUAAACAAAAUUUUGAAUAAUCUUAUAGUGUUUUUCUAUUCAUGUUUUUAGUCCAUACUAUUAACUAUUACUAUUAAGUGAUGACAUGAUUGCCAACAUGACAACCUAGUGACCUAUAUGACGUGACAAUCAUGUGUCAAAUUUUGUGUAAAUUAUAUUUUUAAUCUUUCAUUUUAUCAAAUUCACUUUUAGUCCCUUUACAAUUUUUUUUUACUAGUUUUAGUCAUUUAACAAUUUUUUGAUCUGCCUCAUUUUCUCAACAAUUUUUUUAUCGAUCUAAGUCCCUCAACUUUUGUCUAUCAUUGUUUUUAAUUAUUUUAAUCAAAUAUCAUCGUUUAGGGAUGAUGCAUAAACACACGCACCACUAAUAUAAUGUAACAAUCACAUAAUAAAAUAUUGUUGGUUCAAGACAUUUUUUGGGAGUUCUAAGUUUUUGAUGGUGUAAACUACGAGAAAAAUGUUUAAAGUUUUGAAAAAAAAAACAAAGAAGAUGUAGUAAGAAAAAUCAACAAAUCAUAAAUAAGAAAUUCCACAAAUCAACAUCCCAUAAAAUCAUUAUCUAAAUCACAAUCCAUAACUCAAUGAGAAUGAAAUUCUCAUCCUUAAAAAAAGAAAGAAAAAAUUCUCAUAUUUUUAGAACUAUAUAUUGACGAUGCCAUAAUUUAUAAGAAAAUUAUACGGACUAUCUUGUCAAACUCCUUAAUAAUGUAAUAAGUCAAUGAGUUAUCAAUACUUCUGUUAUAUUAUCAAUCAACAUUAUUUGAUAGUAGAGACUAAAACCAAAAAUAUUAAAUUUUUAGAAGGACUAAAAAAAUAAAAAAAUAAAAAUACAAAACCAAAAAAAUAAGAUAUAUUAUAACCACCAAAUUAUUAUUUAAGUAUUCUAUUUUUUUCUUUUUUCCAACAUAUCCUUUUCUUCCUUAACUCGUUUCUUUUCCCCUUUGUCUCCUUCUUCCUUGUCACCUUUCUUUGCAAAGUCGUCCCUGAUGCCAAUAUGGCUUUGCCUGAAUCCCUGUGCUCCUCAUUACGUGCAUCCCUAUGUUCAUGCAUAUCCUUGUACUCUUAGUGUUACGUGUUGGUAAGACUAUGAUGACGACUGGUGUGACGUUGCCGAGUGAAUCUUACUCCCUUUGUUGCAGCUAUCAUGGGGGACCAUGGCGAUUGCCACUAUAUCCCGUUGAUGGUUACUGGCGGGGCAACAACCACAAGGGGAAGAUGAGGAAGAGUAGACGUAACACUUAUGGUGAUUUUUGAUAGUGCACAACGGCUAAUGUAGAGAGUAAACAGAGGAGUAAAUUGAAAAGAGUAGGAAAAAAACAAAAUAAAAAAAGAAAGAAGAAAAAAAUUGUCCAUUAAAUUAAAAAUCUAUAUUUUUAAUGACUUGAAAUAAGUUUCAAAUAAUGAGAGAUAUGAAGUGAGGUCCCACUUUAACCAUCUUGAAGAAAUUACUCCCUAUAUGUUUGUAUAUAUAAGACUUAAUGAUUGUCUAGGAUGUUUGUUACAUGUGAAAAGUUGAUCAAAGUUUUAAAAAUAAUGUGAGACCCACAUGUUUUUCCUUUUUAUCUCAAAAGAGAAUAAAAGACUGGAAAAGAAACAAUAAAAAGGAUGCAAUACACAAAAUUGUUGGUUGCUAAAAUUGUCCCUCAAGCCCCUCAUUAACCCUCGCUGGAACAUUCAAAUUAGGGUAUCAUGUCACAUAUAAUAAGUUAUUCAAAUGUCGUAUUUAUGCUUAGUUUGCAAUCAAGUUUGUUUUCUAGUGGUCUUUACUCAAGGUAUAAUCAGUUAUAUAUGUAAUUUGUAUAACUGAUUAUGUGACUUUAAUUAGUAAAAAAAAUAUACAUUUUUAUCUCAUAUAUAUAAUUACAUAAACGUAUUUUUUUGGGGUAAAAUGAGUGUUUACUUAAUCUCUUUUUGAGUUAUUUUUCUUUUAUUAUUGACCUAAACAAUUUAAUUUAAACAUUUAAUUUCUUUUACACUUUUUUUCAUCUCAAUCAAAUAACUUUAUUUUUCACUCUUUUUUCAUUUUUUUAAGAGAGUCUCUUCUCAUUUCAACUUUCUUUCAUCUAUUUCUAUUCCUUUUUAUCCUACAUACCCUUGACUGCAUUUGGUAUGAUGAAGAAAAAUAAUAUACCAAAAACUAUUUCAGUCAAGGAUAUCUUUCUUUUCAUGUCUUUUUAUUCUCACAGUUAAUUUAUUCAUUUCAUUCAACAAGUGUUAUUACCCUGAAGAAAUGUUAUAAAUCAAUGCCAUUGUAUUUGAACUUUCUCAAUAUAUCGGCAAUCAUGGUGGUUGUUUCAUCUUGUUACAUUCUCUGUCGGUGUUCAAAGUGUAAUUGGGUGUACUUUGUUUUUCAGAGAUGAUAGAUUGUCCUGUAGGAACUGCACCUGUCAAUGGAUAUGAAUUCAACUUUGAACAAGAUCUAAAUGGAACUUCUGAUUUAAUUGACGUGACACUGAUGCUUUCUAAACACAUGUAUUAGAAACUGAAAAGCUUUUCAUUGCAUACAAUAGAGAGGAUGAAAAGCUAUAUCAGGACAACUACAUGGGAAGAUCUCAGAUCUUUCGACAAGCCAUGCAGUCUUCCUAGGUAUACUGGCAGAUUAUUGAAAAUGUUGCAUAUCCUUUAACUGCUAUCCAUUUAAAAUUCUCUGCUAGAACAUAUCUGAGGUUUCGCUUUUUCCAUUAUUAUUCUGUUGUAGGAAAUUGUCAUAUACUGCUCCCUAGGCAGGUCAUCACUUUUGUGUUUGAUGCAAAGAUGGAUAUAUAUAGGUGGAACACUUCUGAAAGGUUUAUCCCAAUAUGUACAGGUUGAAUUUCUCAUACUGCUUGAAUCUAUGAAUUUUUGCAUGUUUGGUCAGUAAGCAAAAUGCUCAAAGUAGGCUGUACAUGUUAUUAGAUGUGAAUUCUGUUACAUACUACUGAUUUGCCCUUACACCAGUGCACUGAUUGGGAAAGAACUGGAAGAAAGGAAAUCUUACAUUCAAAGCUUUUGAUGCAAAACAUAAGAGGGAAGGUGGUGGUUUCAUCUGUGUGGAAGGUUUCCAUGAUGUUCUCAGAGAUCAAACUUUCAAACUUGCAUAACCAAAGUUUGAGCACCUUAACGGUACAGGCUUCAUUGUAUGGAAUGAGUUCUGGCAAGUGAUUUUCAAAUAAAAGCAACUUGGGAAGUUUGAAGGAAGAAUGAUAUCUGAUGGGUAAGGUCAUUGAUCUUUACCAUACUAAAGGUCAAACAUCUCUGCAUAUUCUGUCUUUCUCACAAAUUUUUCUGUCAAAAACUUCUGUUGCCAUUUUCUCCUGGGUUGGAUCAUUUACAUCUCCAAUGUGUAAUUCACAGUGUUUCAAUCACAUGCUAGAGAUGCUUUGAAGAAAAAUCACAUUAGUAGAUGCAAAGUUAUGCAAAUAUAUAUUGUGGAAAAUAUUAUUGUCAGGAAAACUUUCAAGUAAAACACCAGAAAGCUCAUAUUUAUGCGUGUAAAGCUGAUCAUCCAGGGCAAAAGGAGGAGGAAGCGAGGGCGCAGUCAGCUGAUGGCAGAGUGUUUAAGAUUGUUCCAUGGCACCAUCUGGAGCAUAGCACCAGCAACUCCCUGAGCAUACAGGCCUUAAGCCAUGACUUGACUGGUUCAGAUAGGUAAUAAUUACUGAAUUCAAGACACUAAAGCUUCUUAUUCUAUGAGGGUUGAUAUAAAAUUGACAAGGGUUUAGAUCUUGCUAGUAAUACCAAGGAUUCGUGAACCAACUUAACAAUCACACCAUGGAUGAUUUGAAAUAACAAAAUAAAUUGCAGUUCCUGUCUAACGUCUCUAGGAAAUUUUCCAAAACAUAAGUUCAACAAGGAAAAAAAAGAAGAUAGAAAAAAUAAGACAAUGUUGUUUUCUUCUUAAUCUUAUAUUUUAUUGUUCCUCCCAUGCCUUGCAUCAAUUUUGUAACCUAUGUGAAACUUGGAUCAUUUAAAUCACAAUAAUUACAAUGAACAAGGAAUAGAAACUAGAGGGUCUUGGGUAGGAGAUUGUGGUCUACCUGAGAAGCAAAGUCCUGAUUUCAGUCUUUACGUAGAAUUCAUCAAGCUUAUCAUUCUCUAAGCUGAUUUAUUAGGCAAUUGUCUUUGUUCUUUCUCAUUCUUGUUUCUUAUUUCCCUCUAAAUUGGGCUCAGAGCUUUGUUCUUACUCAUUGUUUCUUAUUUUCCUUUAGAUCAUAUUUUCAAAAGUUGUUCAUGUCAUUGCAUGCAAUGUUUGCUUUCACCCAAAGGGGUGGCUUUGAUCAAAUUGACAAGGAUGAUUCCAACCUACCUCUGGAUACAGCUCCUAUUAAGCAUGUCACGCAGGUAUGCUGUCACAUAAUAGAAAAGUGUUAUCAUGGCUCUAACUACUUGUUGUAAAUUCUCUGCCACUACAAGUUUUCUUCCGAGUUGGGUUAUUAUCUUUUUGAUCGCUCAUCUUUUGUGAAUUUCCGUUUUUAGUUUCAUUAUUUUUUGGUCCUUUUUUAGUCCCAAAAAAAAUAUUGUUUUAUUUUUUGUUCUGAAUAUAUGUAGAAUUUUUUAGGUACCAAAAAUGAAACAAAAAAAUUGAGGGACUAUAAACAAAAAAAAAAUUUAUAGACUAAGACCAGUCAAAAGAUUAAGAAGGACUAAAAAUAAUCGCAAAAGACGAAGCAAGUUAAAUAAAUCCUAUUGAUAUUAUUUUACUAAUAUUGUGUUACAGGAAAUUUUAAAUUUACAAUUUAUAUUAUAAUACAAAAAUAUUUAUCUUUAUUUAUAUUCUUUUGAAAAUAUUAAAAUUUAAUUUAAAAAUAAGUAUGAAAAUGAAAAAUUAAACAGAGAUAAAAGUUUUAUAAAAAAAUUUAAAAUAUCUUGUUGAAAAAAAAACUAAAAAUACUUUAGUUGAAGAAUAACUCUUAAAAAAAUAUUUUCCGAUACAAGAAACUCAUUUCAUUUCAGAUAAAACUAUAAAAUUUACUAUAAAAAAAGGCAACUAAUGUGUUUAUCCGUUACUCACAACACAAUUAAAAUAUAGCUGUGGACUUAAGUUUUUCGAUUCGACAUUAACUACAAAUAAAAAACAGUAUUAGUUAGAUAACGAUCAUUUUAAUCUAAAAUAGAACUGAGCCAGUUUAAAUACUUAACUUACAAUCCAAAUUAAGUCUGUGGUGACAAUUGCAAACAAAUUAAAAACUGAAAUACUACUACACAUAAAAGACAAAGCCCCAACAUUUUUUUAAAUUUCAAUUCAAGGUUUAAUCAUCCAAUUUUUUCUCAUAAACGCAGACUUCUUCCUUGCAUGCAUGCAAUUUUUCCUUCCCCUGUUUUCUAUAGGACAAAAGUUAUCACAGUNNNNNNNNNNNNNNNNNNNNNNNNNNNNNNNNNNNNNNNNNNNNNNNNNNNNNNNNNNNNNNNNNNNNNNNNNNNNNNNNNNNNNNNNNNNNNNNNNNNNAAAUGAAAAGCUUGCUAAGAACAUUGACACUGAUGGAUUUCGUGGCGGUAGCACUUCUGUAUCUGUAAUCAAACAGGUAUAACUAGACCUUCACAAUUACAUUACCUUCUUGCCAAUGUUGCUUUUGCAAUUAUGUUUUUUCUUUUUUUUGUGAAUACUUUUGCAACAAUGUUAUAACAACAUCUUUUUCCCCCUUUAAAUUUCAGGGUGAGCAAGUAAUAAUUGGCAAUGUGGGGGAUUCUCGUGCAGUUCUUUGCAGAAGAGCACCUGACAAUCACCUUAUUCCUGUUCAACUUACUGUUGACUUGACUCCAGAUAUUCCAAGUAUGUUUUGGUAUUACCUAUUCUUAGUUUCCAAAUCUUACAACCCUUUUGAGUUUAUUUGGUUAAAUUGUCUAAUUAAGCCAUAUUCAUUAAGAACUUAUUAGAUGAGAGAUUCUUUCAGGACUUGUUUGGGUAAGUUUAUCCAAAACCACUUAUGCACAUACUAGUUUGUAAAAGCUCUCUCAUCUUUUAGAGAAGCUAUACAAGAGAGUUUCUACAAUUUAGCUUAUGGAGAAACUCAUUUCAUUUCUUCUUCUUAUUUUUUUUCUCCUAAAAGUGCUUCCAGAUAAGUUUAUCCAAACAGACCCUAAAAGCUUGAUUGUAUAACUUAGUAAAUAAGCUAACCAAACUUAUUUUAAUAACCUUCUUUUUGAAACUUAAUUGAAAUAAGCUACUCCUACAAGUCCAAAUAAGUUUUAUGAAAUUCUUUCUAAUGUCCCUUGGUGUGUGUCUAACUAGCUUUUCUUCCUCAAUGUCACUCAGGAGAAGCUAUUAGAAUUUUUGCUGUAGAAGAAGAUCCUACUAUAAACAGAGUAUGGAUGCCUAAAAGGGACUGCCCUGGACUGGCUAUGGCAAGAGCCUUUAGAAAUUUUUGCCUAAAAGACUAUGGUGUCGCCUCAGUCCCUAACGUGUCUUAAAGAAAACUUACCAAGGAGGAUAACUGUGUGGUUUUGGCUUCUAAUGGGGUAAGCAUUUUCAUAUCAGGAUGUCAACUUCGAAUUUUGGAUUUUGAUUCUUGAGUAAUGUUGGAGCAAAUAAAGCUCUUUACUCACACUCACACUAUGCACUCACUCACUCUAUGUUAGAGAAUAAGAGAAGAUGAAAGAAUUGAUUGAGAAAAUAGAGGAAACUUAGAAUUCUGAAUUAGAACUUCUGCACACUCUCAUUCUUUCUCAUUCAUGAUCACUAUUAUUUUUAUAUACAUUGCACAUGUAGCUAUAACAACCUUCAUAGCUAUCAAACUAACUAACUCCUAACUAACUGAAUUACAACAUACAUCAACAAGUAAUCAGUUAUAGGAAUAGAACAAUCAUUGUUAGUGUUUAAAUUAUGCUCAAUUCUCGUAUUCCUCUCAAUCCAAAUAUGUUUGCAAAUAUUUGAUCAAAUAGUGUAAGAAAAGAAAUAACCAAGAAGGUUAAAUGAAUUAACAGCAUGUAGUUUCCACACAUACGUGUUUAGUUCAUAUUGAACAAAAAUUAGAUGCAGUUUGUUUUAUAAAUGCUUUCGUUGUUGUCUUUCAAUUAGAAUUGGAGUUUCACCUAAUAAUCCGUGUAAUAAAGGUUUCAAUUAAAAGUCAACAUAGACUACUACCGUGAAAUCCAAUUUUGAUUGAAGAACAAUGUUAAAAGCACCUGUAAAACUGUAUCUAAGUUUUGUCCAAGCAUAUUUGGCACAAAUAAUAGCUUACUUUUAUCAAUUUCCUAAGAGAGCUUUUAAUCAAUAAACAACAACCAAUUAACUUCUCAAAAUUUAUCCCAACCAAAAAGGUCUAAAUUUUCUUUCUUACAGAUUUGGGAUUGUGCUAACAAACCGUGAAGUAAUAAACAUAGUUGCUUCAGCACCAAAAAGGUCCGUGGCAGCCAAAUUGUUAGUAAACCAUGUUGUUCGGGCUUGGAAAUAUAAGUAUGGUUUCAAGGUUGAUGAUUGUUCAUCCAUAUGCUUGUUCUUGAAGAUUAGCCUGCUAUAACCCAAUCCUGAUCCAAAGUUAGUGGGAACAAUAGACAUCCCUUGAAGCACCUGCAUUUUUCAUAAUCUAGACAUGUAAAUACUGAAAUUGUAGAUAUGGCAAUAGUAUGGUGGAAUCAAAAGGAAGAAUGGGAUGCUCUUGGAGGGUUCUCCAGAGCCAACUUUGAAUUAUAAAUUGCAAUCACCUCAGUACCUCAAGGAGGGUUGAAGCUGAUCACUAACUCAGCCAGAAACUCCCCGAAUCCAAGGGCUAGUGCUACUAACAAGUUAACAAUUGUAGGACCUGAAGAUUUUGCUUUUGACACAAUCCCAGAAUAUAGCAAUUAUUUUAGCCUUCUAAUUCUGCCAUGAUCACUGAUAACUGCUAAAUAUGAGUUAUUUUGAUGAUAAAAAUAUAUUGAAAAUAUCUUUAAAAAUAUUUAUUUAGCAGUUAUCUUUGACUUAAAUAUUAAGAUUUGAUAUUUUUCUUAUUUAUGACUUGUAGAUAUGAAAAUGAGAUAUUAAAAGAUAUCAAAAAGGAAAAUUUUUAGCAUCAGGCUCAAGUCCACUACAACAACUAAAGGGAGUCAAGCCAAGAAGAAAAAUAAUACAAUGGAACCCCUCUCCUCUCCUAGGAUUUACUUUCUUUCACCCCUCUUAUCUCAAUGCAAAUGUGUUUUCUAUUCUAUUAUUUUUCUGCUUUUAUCUUGCAUUAUUCAUCUUUAUAUUCUGUUAGAGGCUUCAUGCAUUUUAUUUGUUGAGUCUUUGCAAAGGAAGGUAGAAGAUAGAUAAAUAAAAUAGGUUUGUCAUCAUGAGGGAUCAGGGGCAAGUAAUUGAAUAGAUGUGGGUAGAACAGAGUCACCUAAAUUGAUAAAGAAAAAUCAUAAACUCAUGCAUCUUAGACAAACAAGGCAGGACUCAAUCUUAUCAAAUUUUGAUUUUAUUUUAUUUUUAUCUUUUACUUUUCUUAUCUUAUCUUUUAUCUUCUAUUUUCUUUUAUCUUUAUCAUAUCUUAAUUUAAAUAUUUUAUUUUCUCUAUCUUCUAUUUUUAUCUUUAAAUCUUUUAUCCUUUCUUUUAAAUCUUUAUCUUAUCUCCUAUAUUUUUUUAUCUUUAUUUUAAAUUAUUUAUCCUUUGCUUUUAAAUUAGGUUUGCAUUAAUCUAAGUACAAACAAAGUCCUUGUGGAUUCGACACUCGAACUUUUAAGUAUUUUAUUUUUUGUGACAAUUUGGUAUACUUGCGAACGAGUUAACAAUUACAUGCAAGACUUCUUUUCUAUCUGUCUAAGACCAACAUUGAUCAAUUUUAGCACUCUAUAUUAUGGUACCAUAAAACUUUUCUUUUGUCUGGCUUGGUUCUAAAGAGUUCAAUGAAGAACUAAGCAGCACCUACUUUUCUAUCUAUCUUCAAUUAUUUCCUAUAGUGUGUUGUGUUGACACUAACAUUCAGCAUAAAACAUUACUAGACACUAGAACCAGAGGAUUUUGGAAUUUUACAUACCAAAAAUAUAGUAUUAAUAGAUUGCUGAUAAUUCAGAGGGGUUAUACUAUUGCUGAGCAUUUUGAAGCUUAAGAAUGAAUCUACAAUUGUAAAAAGUGAUCAAUUAACAACCCAGCCUAAGGUUUUUUUUUUUUUUUUUUAAGCCGAAGGAAAUGAAACUUUAUCAACAACUUCCAGAACUUCUGGAAAGAGAUUACAACACCAAAAAAAUGCUAUUUGACCGAAAAGCCUGCCUUAGAAUUAUAAAAAGCAACACCAAAGUUGAAAAAAAAAGUUAUAAUAUAUUGUCCAUUCAUAAUAAAUAUCUAAAUUUUGUAUUUGUUUUUUAUGAAAAAAUUACAUGAAAUUCGUAAUAAAAAAAUAUCAUUUGUUAUUAGCCUUUUCAAAUGGAAAAAACAAUUUAGAUAUUAAUACUUAAACAUAAAAUAUCAUUUGUUAUUAGCCUUUUGGUUAGGUAUCACGUUGGGCCUUAGGCUUUUUAUUGGUCAAGUGAUCAAGGGAAUUACUUCCUACAUUCCAUUUUUUUUCUUGCACCUCACAAAAAUCUAAGCAGGCAAAACUACCCCUCAAACACCACCACCACCACCACCGUAGCCCCACCUCCACCCAACCACCAGCACGCAAACAGCACCACCCAACACCACCAUUGAUGAUUUUGGUGAAAGGAACAAAGUGAAAAUGGAAUCGAAAACCAACGAAGAGGUGUAAAGUGCAACCCCAUUCUAGAUACAUGAAUUUGUAAGACGCUAAUUUUGUAUACACUUCCAGAAUAAUAUUUUUCAUAUUCCAAAAUUUGUAUUUUAGAAUACGUUUCUUGAUUACUUAUUCGUAUUUUGGAAUAUGAAAAUCCUAUUCCAUAAUAGGUAUUUCGCAAUAGGAAUAAGUAAUCCAAAAAGGUAUUCCAAAAUGCUUAUUAUGAAAUAUGAAAAAUCAUAUUUUGGAAUAGGCAUUCCGAAAGUGUAAAAGGCCAAAUUUCUCUUUUUCGCACAAAUGGAAAAUCUCACACCCCAUUCGCAUAUGCCCUACUUUAUCCCUUCAUUUCUCACCACCAAUUCUACAGAUACCUUCUUCUCCUUCUCCUCAUUUCUCAUUCAUUUGUGCAUUGAGAUCCAAGAUAUAGACCAAGGAGCACUGCCAGCUACAAAUCCCAUGAGGGCACAAUGGUGUUCGGAGUGUGAUUGUGUUGAGGCACAAUGGUUAUGGAGGCUUCAUGGCUAGGAUUUUUUGGGAGAGGCAAGGACAGAAGAUGUCUGGUAAGGGGUAUUCUUGUUUUUUGGAUGGUGUAGGAAGAAAAAAAGUGGUGCAAGAAGUGAUUACCACUAAUCAACUAUUAACUUGUGAAAAACCUUUGUACAUGUUUCUGUUGCGUUUAGCAAUUGGUAGCAAUGACUAAUUUGAAGUUAUUUAAAAAUAUUAGAGACUAAAAUAAAAUUUCUAAAACAAACAAUCAAACUAAACCAAAACUAAAACAUAAAAAGGAUAAAAUAUGUAAUUUAGCAACAAGAAAAAUUCACUUGACUACAAAAUCAUUUUUUAUCACACUCAUCCAAACAUGUACAGAUGUACUUAAUUUUUCAAGGAUUCAUAUCCAUUUACAACAGUACAAAACAGUACAUGAUCCAUUGUAAAGGCCCAGCAGCUAGUAAAUUUUAAUUUUCAGUGGUAAGCAAAAAAUUCAACCAAAAAUCGUUCAGAACAAUGCGUUGCCAUUAAGUCUUCUAUUAUGGCGAAANNNNNNNNNNNNNNNNNNNNNNNNNNNNNNNNNNNNNNNNNNNNNNNNNNNNNNNNNNNNNNNNNNNNNNNNNNNNNNNNNNNNNNNNNNNNNNNNNNNNGUACUUGUUAGCAGAUACAAUGAAUGGCAAUUUUUCAUAUAACGAGCUCCUUUUCACAUAUGUCAAUGCUUCCAAUAGUGGUUUGAAUUAAAGGUGUGCUGUACAAUUGUCAUUUGUCACAGCAAACUACUACAAUCAAUGCACAACCUAUGAUGAGAGGACAUUGUGUACUACUCCAAUUGCAAAACAACAAAUACUCCAUUCCAAUGUAUAUGGUACGCAAUUUGAUAUAUUGUGGUACGUGGAAGAUACUACUUAUGAUCAGAGGAUCUAUCGCCAUGACUCAUAUAUUAUGUUUCUUGUCACGGUUGAUGUUGAGUUAAAUGGACCAAGUGGGAGAAUGUUGGAAGCCCACGUUCCACGUUCCAAUUUUUAUUCCCAUUACAUUAUUUUAGAAAAUUUUGUUAUUUCUGAAUCUGGUCCAUUUUCCAUCUACAUUCAACCCAUAUCUUUGCAACAUAUUUGCAACCACCUUCAGUAACAAAUCAUGUACCCAUUCUUUAUCUCACGAACUGAUAACUUCUAUCUCACGUUCUGAUAACAAGUUGAGCUAUACGAUGGACAGACUCUAUAAAUAAGAUGGGGUGCUCUCAGUUUUGUAUCACGAAACUCACUUGUCUAUUCAGAAAAAAUACAUCAUCUAUUCAGAGCGAGUAACUGUCUAGAAGAACAAAACUUCCUUUCAGGUUCGUGUGUGCGCCGCUUCGCGUUCGAUUUGCAAUGACUGGAGGUACGCUCGUAAUAUUUAAUUUCCGCUGUUUGAUCUGAAUAUGCCACUUAAAUUGAUUUGCAUGUUUAGAUCAGUAUAAGUAUAUUUUAAAUAUCCUUGUACUCUUAGUGUUACGUGUUGGUAAGACUAUGAUGGCGACUGGUGUGACGUUGCCGAGUGGAUCUUACUCCCUUUGUUGCAGCUAUCACGGGGGACCAUGGCGAUUGCCACUAUAUCCCUUUGGAUUCCCUCUAAGUUCUUCUCUUCGAAGUUGAUUUCAUUGUCUUUAUGAUGGUUGUUAUCAACGAACAAUGAUAAUGGUUUCUUAGAGGCAUGAAAAGGAUGUUGUUGACGAGUUUCAUCUUUGUUUGAUGUUGGCAAGGGUGUUGGUGUCUGUGGGUAUGUGAUGUCGUUAAGAUUUUCUUAUUGUGACACCUUCUACCCCGACAUAUAUAUAAAUAAAUAAAAUAUAUAAAAAUAUCGAUAAACAAAUUCACGUGGGUGAAAGGUUUACAUUCACUUCACUAUUAUCAAUUAAAACUUAUUAAAAACGUAUUCGGCUCAAAAUAAGGCCGUCAAAAUUUACAAAAAUAUUUUGUUAAAUCAGUGAGGUAAAAUAAAAUAGACUAACAUCAUACAAUUAAUAUAAAAACUUAUGUCUCAAUGUCACAUCCUAUCAGAGUAUUGUGUCCCGACGUCCUUCAGCAAACGAUUCCUUAAAGUAAUUCACCUAGUCAUCUGCUCCCCGAACACAAAGUUCUAGAUCAUCACAAGAUCCAAGCACAAAUAACACAUCGGGAGUGAGUUAUCACAUUCCUAACUAAUAGAGAAGCAAGACAACUAGAUAUACAUAUCAUAUAAACAAAAUAAAACUUACUUAAACAUAACUCACGUAAUUCAACCACUUUUCAUUCAAAAUUCCCUUUUCAAUCAUCAAUCAAAUCACACAAAAAUCACACACUCCGAUCAAGACAUAAUAACACAUAAAUUUCAUAAUAAACAAUUAGCAAACGUAUGCAACAAUUAUGCUAAGACUCAAGCCUAUAUGCAAUGUGGUACCAUGUCAAUGAAAAAUCACCCUGGGGCACUUAGGAGUACAUAACAAGACAAACCACACACUAGCAAGUCAGGUCACUCUCACUAGAUAAGAUCAUAGGGAGACCAAUCAGGGUCACAGUAUUUUGCGAGAAUGCUCCAACCAUAUGGGAUCAACAUAGGCUUAAAGGAGCACUCAAACCGGGUGACCUCCAAGGCCUACACUCCAAAGAGUCCGUCAAGGUCUCUCCCUCCUGAUUCAGGUCCAUCUCAGAAAAUAUUUUAGCACACAGAUUCUAUCUAUGAACUAUACAAAACACACGAAUUCUCAAUUGUUCUCAAAAUAGUUUUAACUCGUUGCCCUUUAAGAGUCUUAGCAUUAACUCGUCUCCCUUAAAAAGUUUUAGCAUUAACUCGUCGCCCUUAAAGGGUUUUAGCAUUAACUCAUCGCUCUAAAAGGGACUUAGCAUUAACUCGUGACCCUUAAAGGGACUUAUAGUCGUGUGAUUGUACUAUUCAUAGUUCAUAACUCAAUGCACACAACAUCUCAAUCACGUGCACACACACACACACACACACACACACACAACAUGUUGAUUAUCCUCGUGGAAAAAUAUAGGAUAAGAUAAUAAUUCAUAUAAAAUAAGUCAUUAAAAAUAAUACUAUUUAGAAUAUAAUUUACGUUAAUAAAAAAAGCUCAAUUUUUUUAGGUUCACACUCAACAAAAGAACACAUUAAUUUCACAACAAUUUCUCAUUGGGACAUCAACCAGUUCAUGAAACAUAUAUAAUUCACAGUUACAAUUAUAAGGAUAAAAUAAAAAUUGCAGAAACACCCUAAAACUCAUUCCAAUUGACACUCUAAGGAUCCCUACACAUGUUCUCACUAAUCCCCAAUUGUGAAUAACUCAUUCAGUACCUCUAAGCGGACUCACGUGUCUUCCGAAAGCAAUAGCGACAUCUCUAGCAAUUUCCUGAGAUUCCUCAAUUUUUUCCUCUGAUUACUCUGAUAGAAUUCCCAAACGUUAGAGAGAAAGACAGGGAUUGAAACCUCCAUUUUGUACCGUCUUCGUGCGAUGCAUCUUUCUCCAUCCAAAGAUAUUAUUUUGCAAAUCCAACUAUGAAGUCGUGCGGAAAUGAAUUUCGAACCACAUAUCAAAAUUGGACGACAAUCCAACGGUUAAUGAAUCCAGGAUCAUAGUUUUACCGAGACAGUUUUGGGCUUCUGCUGGAAAAUAAAAGGCUAAUAUGCGAAGGGUAUUUCUCUCAGUUUAAUCAUGAUUCCGAAAUUCCCAAUGGUGAGAGUGCUCAGAAUUAGGUUGUGAACCUGAUGCUUAAAUUUCACGACAAUCCAAUGAUGAAUGAGCCUGAGAUCAUCAUUUUUGUGAGACAUGUUUGGUGGUCUGUGGAAAAAGAGAGGAUUUUGGGAAGAAGAAAAGAAAAAAACAAAAUUGAGAGGCAGAGAGGAGGCAGAGAAGUCAGUUUGAAGACUGACCUAGCAUGUCGCUAUUUAUACCUAGGGUACUUACAACUUAUUAUUUACUCUAUUUAUUUAUUUAUUAUUUUAUAAAAACAAACUCUAUUUUAUUUCCUAUCAAAUCAACAAAUCAAAUAUAUUUUUUCUUCAAAUAAUUAUUUUAAUACAACUAUUUCUCUUUAUUUAUUUAAUUAAAAAAACCUCAUCAUUUUUUUUUCUAAAACUCUAUUUAUUUUAAAUGAAAAACUUUUUUAAUUUAAUUCACGAAAAAUGAAAUGUUACACCUAUAACAUUCUGACACAUCAAAAGAUGAUUCCGUUGAUGGUUAUUGGCGGGGCAACAACCACAAGGGGAAGAUGAGGAAGAGUAGAAGUAACACUUAUGGUGAUUUUUGAUAGUGCACGAUGGCUAAUGUAGAGAGAAAAUAGAGGAGUAAAUUGAAAAAAAAUAGGAAAAAAACAAAAUAAAAAAGAAAGAAGAAAAAAAUUGUCCAUUAAAUUAAAAAUCAAUGUUUCUAAUGGCUUGAAAUAAGUUUCAAAUAUUGAGAGAGAUGAAGUGAGGUCCCACUCCAACGAUCUUGAAGAAAUUACUCCAUAUAUGUUUGUAUAUAUAAGACUUAAUGAUUGUCUAGGAUGUUUGUUACAUGUGAAAAGUUGAUCAAAGUUUUAAAAAUAAUGUGAGACCCACAUGUUUUUCCUUUUUAUCUCAAAAAGAGAAUAAGAGGCAGGAAAAGAAAUAAUAAAAAGGAUGCAAUACACAAAAUUGUUGGUUGCUAAAAUUGUCCCUCAAGCCCCUCAUUAACCCUCGCUAGAACUUUCAAAUUAGGGUAUCAUGUCACAUAUAAUAAGUUAUUCAAAUGUCAUAGUUGAUUAUGCUUAAUUUGGAAUCAAGUUUGCUUUCUAGUGACUUUUACUCAAGGUAUAAUCAAUUAUAUAUGCAAUUUGUAUAACUGUUUAGGUGACUUUAAUUUGUAAAAAACUAUACAUUUUUAUCUAAUAUAUAUAAUUACAUAAACGUAUUUUUUUGGGGUAAAAUGAGCGUUUAUUUAAUCUCUUUUUCAGUUUUUUUCUUUUAUUAUUGACCUAAACACUUUAAUUUAAACAUUAAAUUUCUUUUACACUUUUUUCAUCUCAAUCAAAUAACUUUAUUUUUCACUCUUUUUUCAUUUUUUUUAAGAGAGUCUCUUCUCAUAUCAAAUAAAUUAUAGUUUAUUUUAAUCAUUUUAUUAAUAUUACCACGCAAAAAAUGUUUUUUGGAAAUGCAUCAAUACCCAAAGAUGUGGAUAAAAAAUGUUAAUAUAAUCAUUCAAUGAAAAUUUCUUUAUUAUCUUAAAAAUAUUUUUCUUUUGAAUAAUAAAUAUAAUUUUCACAAUUAGUUGAGUGUAGUUUGUUUUUCAGAGAUGGUAGAGUGGCCCAGAGAAACUGCAACUCUCAAUGGAUAUGAAUUCAACUUUGAACAAGAUCUAAACAGAACUUCUGAUUUAAUUGACGUGAAAGUGAUCCUUUCUCAAUAGCUGAAUUUUUAAUUGCAAAGCUUUUCAUUGGGCACCAGACUAUAAGAGGCCAACUACAUAGGAUAAUCUGAGAUAUUUCAGUAAGGCAUGCGUCCCAUGUAUAUAUUGGCAGAUAACUGAAAAUGUUGCAUAUCCUUUAAUUUCUAGCCAUUUCAAAUUCUUUGGCAAAACAUAUCUGAGGUUUUGUUUUUUCCAUUAUUAUUGUGUUGUAGGAAAUUGUAGUAUACUGCUCUCUACGAAGGUUAUCCAUUGAUGCAAGGAAUGAUAUAUGUUGAGGUUGGAUUUCCACUUGAAUCCCUGAAUUUUUUUCAAGUUGGGUACGUCAGUAUUUGAAAUGCUCAAAGUUGCCUAUACACUACUGAUAUGCACUUGACACCAGUUCUCUGAAUGGGAUAGAACUAGAAGAAAGGAAUCAUACAUGCAAAGCUUUUGAUGCAAAAGAUCAGAGUGGAGGUUUGGGUCUCAUCAGUGUGGAAGGGUUCCAUAAUCUCGAAGAAAACAUCAAACUUCCAUAAGAAAAGCUUGAGCACCUUUUUGGUACAGGCUUCGUAUGGCAAGUCAUUUUGAAUCCAAACAAAAACUCGGGAAGUUUGAGGGAUGAAUGAUGGCUGAUGAUGGGUAAGGUUUUUGAUCAUUGGCAUUUUAAUGGAACUACUAAAUCAAAGAUAUAUAUGGAAGUCAUAUAAAUUUCAGAGGUGAAACUCCACUACAAUAGCCCAAGUUUAGUUUAUUCAUGACCAUGAUUCUUUUUUCAUAUUAUUCAAAUGUCAUAAUCUUAAAAUUAUAUUUUUUUUCGUGGAUUGUCAGCAUGCACAACUUCUAAACAGCUGGACAUUCCAACAUUGUACAAUUUUUUGGUUUCAAAAGAGUAAGCAUUAAGAAAUGUUUUGAUUUAUGAUUUGGCAAACAUCCAUAGCUUACCACUUUUUCUUAAAACUGUUUAAAAUUAACUACAUUAUUUUGUUUGUUUGCAGGAUGCUGACUGAAUCUCAUACAUAUAGAAUGUGUCCAUCUUGCUUCGAUUGAGAAACAUAAUAAUGUAGGACUUCACCUCACUUAUAUGAUACUCAACCUUUUUACUUCUACCAGAUGUGAGACUUCACCAAAAUGUAGUUCACAAAAUUUUAUAUCAAAAACUUCUGUUACUAUUUUUUUGUGUUGGAUUAUUUGCGUCACCCAAAUGUAGUUCAGUGUUUCAAUCACAUGCUAGAGGUGCUUCACAAUAUAUAUGUGCUUUGAAGCAAAAUAGCAUCAGUAGAUGCAUUGCUAUACAAAUAGUAUUUUGUGUAUAAAGCUGAUCUUGCAGGACUAAGGGUGGAGGAAGUCAUGGCAAGUUCUGAAGAUAGAAGAGUGCUUUGGAUAAGGGAAGAGAAUAGGAUUGAUACAUGCCUUAAGCCAUUGGUAGUUUUGUAGCAGAAAAAUAUAAUAAGCAAGGAAGAAGAGAAACAAUACAAGGUGGAGGAAAUAUAAUAAUUUUUGCUUAAUCAAAUUAUUCUGAGCAGCAAUACAAUAUAAAGGAAAACAAAAAUUAAUCAUUUAUUAAUUUCAGGAAAACUGAAAAUUUUAAGUGACUUGCUCCUAAAUUUUAGUAAUAGCUUUAAUCCAUAACAAAAACAAAUAAAAACAAAAUAUGUAGUUACAAAAAUAAUUUAAAGAAAUUUAACACUCCUCCUUGCUUUAGGAAAUGCAAACUCCAAUACUUUUCCUGAAGAGUUCAAAUUUGUUGAUAGGCAAUAGUUUUGUAAACAUGUCAGUCAAUUGAUCUUCAGACUUAUAGUAAAUUAAGUUCAUUUUUCCACUUUGCUGCAUCUCUAUCAAAAAAUAGAAUUUGAUGUUGAAAUGUUUAGUCUUCCCAUGACACACUGGAUUGCUUGUAAUAGUAAUGGCUGCUUGCACUACUAGAAUUAUGGCAUUCUACAUCGCGCGAUCUACAACGGUUCUGGAGAACCGUUUUAGUAAAAGGCGCGGUGGCAAUUUUGCAAUUAUAGAGAAAAAAAUAAUUUUUCACGUCGUACAUUUUAAGGCGGUUAUAAAUAACCGUCUUAGAAUGUAUGGUAGUGACAAACUUGUAAUUACGUACAACGAAGUCAACGACGGGUUUUGACCUAGGACCGUCGUAGUAUUACGAAUAUAAAAACUAACCUAAACCCGCGGCGCCGCUACUCAGUCAUUCUCGCAGACCAUUCACGUUUCUUCCUCAGUCAUUGUCGAUCUCCGUCAAACUUUUUACCUUGCCCCUUGAAGCUCACCCACAUGGUGUACCUCAAACCCUGAACCUCACCCACAUUGUGUACCUCAAACCUAGCCUGCUGUCUCAAAAAUAUCAGGUUAUACGCCAACUGUAAAGGACAGGGUUAUAACUUCUAAGUGGAUCAAAUUUCUUGUGAAUAGUCAACAUCGUGCAGUCCAUGUCCCAAUUGCCCUAGCNNNNNNNNNNNNNNNNNNNNNNNNNNNNNNNNNNNNNNNNNNNNNNNNNNNNNNNNNNNNNNNNNNNNNNNNNNNNNNNNNNNNNNNNNNNNNNNNNNNNCAACGACGAUUGUUAUUCUUCCCUCCCCUCGUCGCAUGCAACUUAUCUAUCAUAUUUCUCAAAUCUAAAAGGUACUCCAAUUAUUUGUCCUUUUUAUCAAUCAAUAGCAACUACUACAUGUUAUAUAGUUUAUUCUUAAUUUUCGGAGUAACGAUAAUAUUGUUGAUGUUUUAUAUUUUUCACAGGUUGAGUUUUUGUUACGAUGAAAGUGAUGAAGAAGGGGAAAAGACACUCACACAGUGGGGAAAAGAAGAAGAAUAAGAGGUACAGGGAACAAAACCUUGAUGUUGAGAUAAUUGUUGCCACGCAGAACAGUGAAGGUAAACUAUGUUGAUAUUAUGCUUUCAUAUUCAUCGCAUUUUGUUGAGUUGUCCCUGAAAUAAAGUGGUUGUUUUGUUUCAUUGGAUAGUGCCAAUGGAAUGCAGGUUAAAGAGGCAAAAAAGGAGAAAACUUCCAUCAACAAAAAGAGAAAGAGCAAGGACAAGAAUUUAGUUAGGAAAUGAAAACUGAAAGGCCAAGAGGUUGAUUUGGAUGAGCAAAGUGGUGAGUGAUGAUUAUUGGGUGUUGGCUUGUAGAACUGUUCAUUACUUUUCUAAUGCUAUAUUGUAUUAAUUUUGUUUUUGUUGUUAUUGUUUCUCCCUGUUCUGGCAUCUAGUAUACACCUCUUUUAUAAAAUUAAGUAAACUAAUGUUCAUUCUCAACAUCUUUGUUUUUUUAACCAAUGGUGUCAGAUGGAGUAAUGUACAAUCCUCAUUGUAAAGCUGAGGAGAUCCAAGGGUUAGAUGGGCACAGAGAUUCUGAUACUGGAGCAGCUAUCAAACCAUGUAAUAAAAUACAUUUUCUGGUGGAUUUCACUCUUGCAUUUGGAAACUAUACAUUCGUUUUCACAUGAAAUUUGUCCUGCUUUUGUAGGUAGGUCAAAGAAAGACAAGAAGAAAAGAAAGGAGGUUCAAGAUUCACCAGAAAAGGAGGGAGAAGGGUGCAAUCAGGUGGAAGUUUAUAUUAUUUCCUCUGUUGAUGAUGACUGCUCAAAAGGAAUGAAAAGUAUGAAUUGUUUGUUUAACUGUAGUGCAUUGCUUUUUUGUUUGCUUUUAAAACUCCAAACAUUAUUCAUUUAAAACUUUUAUUUAAAUGUAUAGUUUCUAUUUUGUGAGUCUAUUUAAAUGUAUGAUUUUUAUGUUAACUUUCAUCUAUAGAUCUCGCGGCGCCGCUACUCAGCCAUUCUCGCAGACCUUGUGCACUAUGUUGCUUUUUUAGAGUUAAAACUUAGGAAAUCACAGCUAGGACAAUAAUAAGAAAAAAUAUAUAUACUGAUUACUUAAAUAUAUAUACCUUGUUUCAGCUUCAUGAUGGUGAAUGAAUACUGAUUACUUAAAUAAUUAUUUUUAAAUGUUUUUUACACCCCUCAUUCUGGGUUGAAGUAUUAGAUGUUUAUAUAUCACUUCAAGAAGGGUGUUAUCUCCUUUCCUUUUCAUAUUUUACUCCUUUUAUUUUAAUUCUUUUGUUUCUAGGUGUAUCAUGCAUUCAUGCUGUAGUCAAGAACUCAAAAUACAAUACUUGUUGAUGGGGUCAAGGUACACAGUGAUGAUACCAUUGUCAUUAAGGACGGAAGUCAAAUUAUCCCAAGUCCCGAUAGAGAAUGUCAGAUUCUUUUAAUAUUUAUGGCAGUGUAACAAUUCCUAUUAUUAGCAAGAUAUAUGGAAUAGAAAAUUGUAAAAGUGUGUUGUAUGUGUAUCAUUCAAUUGUUACAGUUCCAUAAAGUAGUAUUGCCAUUGUGCUACUGUCAAUCCAUUGAUUUGUUUCAAGCAAAGUUGUAUUGUUUAGUAGCAUGUUAUAUUGUUUUCUUUAAUAAGAUUUAAACUUGGUUUCACAAAAGUGGUAAUAUUAAUUGUUCAGCAUGUUAAAUUACUAAGUUAAUAGAGGGCUUCAGGAUGAAAAACAGGUGAUUGAUUGGUCAUCAUAUUGACUUGGACAGUAAUGUAGGCAUAAACUAUAACAUAUUUGUCCCUGUUUUAAUCCUUACCCAAAUAAUCUUCCUAGCAAGUGAGAAUUACUUGUCUCAAUAGUAUUAUGCUUUCAGAUAGUUAAAUUAUAAUUGGCAGUAUCAAAUUUCAACUUGUGGCAGAUUAACAUGAUUUUUGGGUCUUUUAAUUAUUAGUAAAGAUCUUUAUUUUAGUGUUGGACAAAACAAAAUCUGUAUGCUAAUUAUUUGGUUGUGAUUUGUUUGCAGGUUUGCAAUGCUUUUACUGAUAUGGAAAACCCUUCACCUUGUUAGCGUUUACCUGAUGGCUUCAAAAGGGUUCGGGUUCCUCAUUUAGUUAAUACCAAGGUAAGCUAAAAGAAGCCAUAGUUAUCUAUUUCUCAGUUUAUGUAGUGGUUAGUACUUAGUUAAUACUACUCGAGCUUAUAAUUAUUUUCAGUGAAGAGCGAAGAAGGCAUAGUUAUUCUUGAAGAAGCUCAGUGAGCUGCUCUUCUCUUUCUAUUUAGCAAUGCUAUAUCUAUCUUCCAUAAAAAAUUAUUAUUAUAUAUUGGACUUCAUCUUUUUAAACAAAAUUUAGUUUAAGUUUAUGGAUAAAAAAAUAUAAUUUAAAAAGGAAAGUUUAUUGACCAUAUUUAUAAGUAAUUUUUUUUAAUAUUUUGACGUGUAAGAUUUUAAUAUUUUUCAAAUAUUUUAUUUGGUGGAUUACGUAAUAAAGGAAAGUUUUUUAGUAUUUUAAAAUAUUUUAUUUGAUUGCAUACGUAAUACGUUUGCAUAGUGAGUAUAUACAUAAAUAGUAUACUGGAUUGAUGCUAAUAAUAAAUUAAAAGAGCAUGAUGAGUGCAUAGAACAAAGGGAGUUAGGAAAAAAAAGAAGUCAUUUUUUCCUAAUUAAUUGUUCCUUUCUACGUUUCAUAUGGGACAUCACUUAUAUAAAGUAAUUCGUAUUCUGUCAAAUUAAAGAAAGAAGCUGUAAAGGAAAACUUAAUUAUAGAGUAAAAGUAUAUAGGUGUGUGCCUAUCCCUUCUCUUUUCCAUUUUGGUGAAAUCAUUUUAUUCAUUUUAUUUGAACUGUACAACUGAUCCAGAUUGUUGUGUCAUGUGUGAUUUAUCAUUUAAAAUAGAAACUUGCUUAGAAGUAGGAGUCUUAGUGUAAGUGGUAGCUUAGUACUGGUAUGGAAUGACAGAUUUCACUUCCUUUUAUUAAUAAUCGUAUACAAGUACAUAUGAAGAUUUUAAGAAAAGACUUAAAUAGUUUUUUAGCCCCUAUAAUAUAUACAGGGUUAUUUUCUUUUUGUCCUCUUAAGAUUUUUUUUUCCGGUUUUUGUCCUCUUAAGUUUUUUAGCUACACUGGAUCUAGUUGCUUCUCUGGGCUAAGAUAGGACCAUAGGAUGAUUUGGCUAAUUCAUUAUGAAAUAUUGGUCAAUGCAACUUGGAAUAUGCUUUGCCCUUGGAGCUAGCAACCUGAAAAUCGCAAUUUGUGAUCACGAGAAAGAUGUGUGUUGUCCUUCUUGUUGAUUUUGAAAAGAAAAAAAAAAGAAUGUGGCAACUUAUGCAGAAUUAUAUGACGUGGUGCUUACCUAUGUUAAGUGGGCUCUCGUAAUAAUUUUUCAAAUUUAAGUAUAAAGUUUUGAAUAUUUCCUAAUGAUAAUUUUUAUCCUUGACUAGAAUUACAUAUCAAUCUCUUCUUGCAGCAAAUUGUCUUUUUGCAGACUGUUAUGGGGGAUACCAUUGGAGACCCUCUCAAAGAUACUUCAGGCCCUUCACUCAACAUCCUCAUCAAGCUCAUGGCAGUUGAGUCGCUUGUCUUCGCACCAUUUUUUGCCACUCAUGGUGGUCUGCUUUUCAAGAUCUUUUGAUUUGAGGGAAUGCAACCGUACUUGGUAGAGUUUAAAUUUAUUACAUUUUCGAUUGUUGGCAGAUUUUAAGCUGUGAUAAAAUGAGGUGAAUUUUAAAUUUAUUACAUUUAGCUAGAAGUUUAGAAUCCUGAAGGUAAGUGAUAAGCAUUAUAUUGAAUUGCAUUGUAUAUGUUCAUGUUUCUAUGAAGCUUGCUGGACCUGAAAGGGAGAGGCAACUAUCAGAUACAGAUGUCCAAUCAGCUGUGUGGGAGGUCUGUGGUGAUUCUGGAGCUUUACAAUUGCUUGUUGAUCUUCUUCAUGUGAAGUGAGUGUCAGGAAUUAGGUAACCACAACUGCUGAUAGGAUCAUGUUAAUUAUAAUCUGAAAUGUUAUUUGCCUUAUUCCUAAUCUGUAUACUUGUGAUUACAACUUCUUUUAUAUUCAAUGCACCUUAUACCAGUUAUGAAACCAAAUCAAGUUUAGAAUCUUUAGAUGCAGACCUUAGUUGCCUCAACAAGCUCGACUGGUAUGCCACCUGUUGUUUGAUAUCUUCACCUGUUGUUAUAUAUAUAUAUAUAUAUAUAUAUAUAUAUAUAUAUAUAUAUAUAUAUAUAUAUAUAGCUAGUAGCAGUGUUGCUGUUCUUAAUAUUCCCAGGUUGUGGCAGGAAUAAUGUUCUUAUUAAUAUUCUCAUGCAUGGAUCUGAUUCGGAUCUUCUUUCUUGAUCUGGUUAGUCAAACAAUUUAUAUGUACACUUGCUAAUCAUAAUUUUAUAAUGAGUUUUUUAUGCACCGAUUGUAAUCUUAAGGUAUGAUUAGGAAUAUUUUGUAUCUUUAUCUUUAUAAUAAUAAUAAAAGCAAAUAAGUUUGAGAGGGAAAACUUAUGCAAUUAAAUUGUUCAUUUUUAGAGAUUUUAUUCUUUAUUUGUUAAUUCAUAGAAUUAUAUUAAUAUAGUAAUUAAGGUAAUCAGAAUCAUCUUAUAAUUUGAAAUAAUUUAAUCAAUUGUAAUUAGUAACUUAGGUAUAUGUUUUAGUUAACGUUAUUAAGAUGGUUUUAAACUUUUUAUAUAAAUAUAGUAAUUAAGGUAAUUAAAAUAAGUAUAUUUUCUAAUUUGAAAUAAUUAAAGUCAUUAUUGGUAUAUGUUUUAAUUAAGGUAAUUCAGAUUAUUUUAAAUUUCUUAUUAUAAUAAAAUUAUAGGGACAUUUUAUGCACUUGAGCAAGAAAAUUUUAGAGAAACUUUUUUAUAUUUUUAAUUCAUAGAAUUAUAUAAAUAUAAUAAUUGAGAUAAUUUGAAUAAUUAUAUAUUCUGAUUUGAAAUAAUGAAAUUAAUUAUUAUCCACACAUAUAUAUGUUUUAAUUAAGAUAAUUUAGUUAUAAAAAAAUAUUAUUAUUUCUUUUUAAUUUCUUAAUUAAAUUAUUUUGUUUCUUAAUUAAAUUAAUUAUUAUCCACACACCUCUUAAUUAGUAUUUUAUUUCUUUUUAAAAAAUAUAACUUGCAUUUAAAAUUAAUCACCCCCAUAUAUGAUUUUGUCAAACUCGGGCCAUGUAUAGGCCCAAAACAUAAGCCGUAACUUGUUGGGAGGUUCAUUAUAAAAUGGGAAGAAAGUAGUAUUAGGGUUUUAUAUUACGCAUAGUGUGGUAGCCGCAGCUAAGCUUGUUUCCGUUGCCGCUUCACCCACCGUAGCAACCAUGGUGGAAUCAACUUAUGCUUGCCCUAAUUUGAUUUGUUUUGUGCAGAUCAUUCCCGAGAAGAAUCGUAAAGAGAUCUACAAAUACAUCUUCCAAGGUUCGUUAGUUAACGUUGUUGUCUCUUGUUGUGCUUUACGGUUUUGUUAAAAUUGUAAGGUGUGUUUGUUUGAUUCAGAGGGAGUUUGCUUUGCGAAGAAGGACUUCAAUGUGGCAAAGCACCCAGAGAUUGAUGUGCCGAAUCUGCAGUGACCGUGAGAGGAGAUUCAAAUCCAGAGAGUAGGCCCAUCUCGCUUUGACGGAGAGAGGAGAUUCAACAGUGACCGUGAUGGAUACCGUGGAGAUCCACGCAGACCUCAUUUUUCAGGUAAAUUUUAAAGACUCAUUUUUAUUUAAUGAAUACAGUAUUAUUUAAUUUUCCUUGUUUUUCUAUUGUAAUAGGAAAUAAAAAAGGCAGUGGAAAUGACUAUUUUUAUAUUUAUAAACAAUUCAAUGUUUGAAGUUGAAUGUUUAUUUUUGUAUUUAUAAAUAUUUGUUCUAUGUUUUCUGAGAGAAAAUUCCUUUCAUAAAAUUUGGACAAGUAAAAUUACACUCUUAAUUUUAGUUGUAUAAAUUGUCAGAUAUUUUCUAAUAAACGUAUUAUAUUAACUUAUGUACUAUAUUUUAUCUAUAAGAUUUUCGAUGAAUCAUAUGCGUAAUUUUUCUUCCUAACACCUUGUAUAAAGACUUAGAAGAAUAAAGAAUUUAAUUAUUUAUUCUUUAUAUUUACAUUUAUGUUCUUGAUAAUUUCAAUUUGACAUAUAUAUAAUAGUUGUUUGUUAGACAUCAUUAUCAUUUUUAAUUAUUUCCCAUAUUUUAUAUCAUAAAUCUGUCAAAAUUAGUGUCACAUGUCAAAUCCUUCAUAUUUAUUACCCGUCAAGCUACUUUUUAUCAAAAAAAAGUCCUAUAUAAAAAUGAAUUACAUUUUUUAUUGCCCCGUUCAAAUUCUUACAUUUUAUAUAUAACUCAAUAGUUUAUAACAAUGAUGAAGAGAUGAUUUUUUAAAAUUGAAGAUGGGCUAAAUACCCGAUAGAAUGAUUGAUUACAAACUAAAAGAAAUACUAGCCCAUUCUUCUAAGACGUGUGUUUUUUGGUCCACAUCACCGAAUGAUUACUAUACUAUACAUAGCAUUCAUGCCUCCUUUCAUUUAAUUUUAUGGCCCUCUCUUUCUUUUAUUGCCGAUAAUUGAAAAAGUUUACAUCAUUGUUUUAGAUAUUUGAAAAAAUUAAAAUAAAAAGUUGUAAGAAAAACUUGGGCCUCUCGUUCAGGAUAUUUUGUCACGCAUUUACAGAGCAACCCCUCACCCACUAUCAUUUGAUGAUGUGGUCGUUUCACCAACCCAAAGGGCAAUGAACCAAAACUUGUCUCUAAAUUCACUGCAGUAACAGGAAACUCUUAAUCACUACUAUGACUUUUUAAUUAAAUUUGUGGCAAAUUGGUUAGUGUCCUUGUUAUCCUUGUAAUGAAAUAAGGAGGGAUAUUGUGUAUAAUUUGAAGUAAUCUUAGGGAUGUUAAUGUAAUCUGCCAACUAAUAUCACAUUGACAAACAAUAAGUUUUAUUGUUGAAUUGCCCGUAUUUGGUAAUCAAAUUGUUAUUCAGAAAAAGACUUCAGACUUUUAGACUAUAGUCUUUAUGUAGAAGCUUCUUCCUUUGCUCUCUGGACAACAUUUUGGCCCUCUUAUCAUUUUCGAUCCUCAUACUUAAACUAGGUAUAUUAUUUGCUUCUACCAGUGCAAAAAUCAAAUCAUAUUGAAAAUUUUGGCUAGAGUUGGGCAUGAUGACUUCAAGUUGAGAGAAAAUGUGUUGUUAUUUUUAUCACUUUUUAUUAUUUUGAUAUUUCUCUAAUCUCUAGUUAGGAAAACCCAUAUUCUUUUUUAUCUAUGAAGUAGCAUUGUCCUAAUUUUGAUAAAGAAUUUGUAGAAGUUCUUGUGAUGGCCUACUUUGACAUGUCAAGUUUUCCUUAUAUGUAUAUGUUUUAACUCUGUUUGCAGGGUGGUCCUGGUGGAGGGCCUGAUUUUGGUCGUGGUUCCGAUGGUUAUGGUACACCAAUUAGUCCAAACAUUCCUUCUUAAAUAUAAUGUUAUGUGCUCUAGUUUUUGCAAUUUUGGCUGUCAUUGGAGUUAAUAGUAGUUGUUCCCUUCUCCCAAUAGUUGCUCGAUAUGUCAGACAAUUUACUUAUUCGAUUAUUUAUGCAAUAAAGAUUUUGAUCGAGUGUCUGUUAUAAUAUAUAGGUUGACAAUAUUGUUUCUGUUGGAUGAUUGGUGGUUUAUAAACUGAAAAUUGGUGGGAAAAGCCUUAAUUUUUAUUUCAAAAAGUAACUUAUGUCUAAUGGUUUAUAAAUUGUUGCGAAUAAGAUGGUAAAUUUAACACGUGACAAUAUUCCCAGGGCGAUUAUUUAAUAAUAAAAAAAAACCAAAAUCAAAAAUCCAAAAAAAAACAAAAGAAAAACUAUCUAAGACGGUUAUUUAAUAACUGUCUUAGAAUGAUCGAGAAACUAUGACGGUCAUAAGAAAAACCGUCGUAAAAAAUUAAGUUCAAAAAGGUUAUUUUAAGACGGUUAUUAAGAAGAGCUGACUUAGAAUCUCAAACAUACUAAGACGGUUAUUUAAUAACCGUCUUAGAUUUUUCAUGUUGUGGACUCCAUUUUAAGACGGGUGACAUGAAAACCGUCUUAGAAAGUAAUAGUCACUAAGACGGUUAGCUUUGAGGACCGCCUUUGUAAGAUGAACAUUCUAAGACGGUUAUUAAAUAACCGUCUUAGAAAACAUAAUAAUCUACGACGGUUCAUAAACCGAUGUAAAAAGUGUAGUACCAAUUUACGACGUUGCGUUCUAAGACGGUUCAAAACCGUCUUAGAAGGUCUUCUAGAACCGACUUAGAAAACACAAUUUGUAGUAGUGUUGGUUGUCAACAAAAAUUUCAGUUUUGUUUUUGUGUAUCAUAGACAUCUCCUCCUCCAUUCCAAUUUUCCAUUUUGGAUCUUUUAGUGCUUCCUCACAACUAAAAGGUUCAUAAAUUGCUAUAUUACAUCUUUGAUAGAUGUCGAACAGUGACCUUUUUCCUCUGAUUGGAAGGUCAUCUCUUAAUUCAUUAUGCAUAAGCUCUGUUGUUUGCUCUCUGGGAUGAUUGUUUCCACUGUUGAGGAAAAACCCACCUGUUUGUGAGUUGUUCCAAUCCCAUUUCUUACCUUCAUUGAAGUGCACGUCUCUUGUGACUGUCAUCUUUUUAGUUUGAGGAUGAUAGACUUUGUAGGCUUUUGAAAUUGAACUGUAGCCCAAAAAGAUGCCCAAAAUUGCUUUCUUGUCAAGUUUGUCACGCUUAACUUGUGGAACAUAAGCAAAAAAAACACAACCAAACACUUUAAGAAAGGUUAGUGAAGGCUUAAACCCAUACCAAGCCUCAAAUGGAGUUUUAUCAUUCAAAGCCUUGGUUGGAAGCUGAUUUUGCAUGAAAAUAGCCAUAUUAGCCGCCUCUGCCCAAAAUGUUUCAGGUAGCUCCAUCUCAUGCAACAUGGACCUAGCCAUCUUCAUCACAGUUCUAUUUCUCCUUUCACUAACUCUAUUUUGCUCUGGAGUGUAUGGAGCUGUGAGUUUAUGUUCAAUGCCAGCUUCUUCAUAGAAUUGAUUAAACUUUGAUGAAGUAUACUCAUUCCCAUUGUCUGAUCUUAGAAAUUGAAUCUUGCAGCCACUUUGGUUUUCUACCAUGUUCUUGAACUUCAUAAAUACUCCAGCCACUUCAUGCUUGAAUUUUAAGAAAAAANNNNNNNNNNNNNNNNNNNNNNNNNNNNNNNNNNNNNNNNNNNNNNNNNNNNNNNNNNNNNNNNNNNNNNNNNNNNNNNNNNNNNNNNNNNNNNNNNNNNNNNNNNNNNNNNNNNNNNNNNNNNNNNNNNNNNNNNNNNNNNNNNNNNNNNNNNNNNNNNNNNNNNNNNNNNNNNNNNNNNNNNNNNNNNNNNNNNNNNNNNNNNNNNNNNNNNNNNNNNNNNNNNNNNNNNNNNNNNNNNNNNNNNNNNNNNNNNNNNNNNNNNNNNNNNNNNNNNNNNNNNNNNNNNNNNNNNNNNNNNNNNNNNNNNNNNNNNNNNNNNNNNNNNNNNNNNNNNNNNNNNNNNNNNNNNNNNNNNNNNNNNNNNNNNNNNNNNNNNNNNNNNNNNNNNNNNNNNNNNNNNNNNNNNNNNNNNNNNNNNNNNNNNNNNNNNNNNNNNNNNNNNNNNNNNNNNNNNNNNNNNNNNNNNNNNNNNNNNNNNNNNNNNNNNNNNNNNNNNNNNNNNNNNNNNNNNNNNNNNNNNNNNNNNNNNNNNNNNNNNNNNNNNNNNNNNNNNNNNNNNNNNNNNNNNNNNNNNNNNNNNNNNNNNNNNNNNNNNNNNNNNNNNNNNNNNNNNNNNNNNNNNNNNNNNNNNNNNNNNNNNNNNNNNNNNNNNNNNNNNNNNNNNNNNNNNNNNNNNNNNNNNNNNNNNNNNNNNNNNNNNNNNNNNNNNNNNNNNNNNNNNNNNNNNNNNNNNNNNNNNNNNNNNNNNNNNNNNNNNNNNNNNNNNNNNNNNNNNNNNNNNNNNNNNNNNNNNNNNNNNNNNNNNNNNNNNNNNNNNNNNNNNNNNNNNNNNNNNNNNNNNNNNNNNNNNNNNNNNNNNNNNNNNNNNNNNNNNNNNNNNNNNNNNNNNNNNNNNNNNNNNNNNNNNNNNNNNNNNNNNNNNNNNNNNNNNNNNNNNNNNNNNNNNNNNNNNNNNNNNNNNNNNNNNNNNNNNNNNNNNNNNNNNNNNNNNNNNNNNNNNNNNNNNNNNNNNNNNNNNNNNNNNNNNNNNNNNNNNNNNNNNNNNNNNNNNNNNNNNNNNNNNNNNNNNNNNNNNNNNNNNNNNNNNNNNNNNNNNNNNNNNNNNNNNNNNNNNNNNNNNNNNNNNNNNNNAACAAAGUAGAGACUACCUUUCAGUGAUGGUGUUCUUUGAGGUCAUGCAACAUCAGUAUGAAUUAGUUGCAACUUUUGAGAGGCUCUCCAAGAUGAUUUUGAGAAUAACUUUCUGAUUUGUUUACCAAAUUGACAAGCAUUACGAUUUGGUAAAUUAUCAAAACAUUAUGGUAAGCCUUUUGCCAAGUCCCUUUUUUUCAUAUCUAGCAUUCUUUCAAGAUGGCAAUGACCCAGUCUUUUGUGCCAGAGUUCUAUGGGAUUGACUUUAGUGUAAUAGGUUGCAUGCACCUCCUCUGUUGGAUCAAAUGAGAAGCUUUUACCUCUCAUUUUAACCCUUAGAACUUCCCGGCCAGCACUGUCAUAAAUAAGGCAGUGUUGAUGUUCAAAGGACAAUUUAAAUCCAUUUUCACUCAAUUGACCUACACUUAGCAAAUUUUGAUCAAUGUCAGGUACAUAAAGAACAUCUGAUAUUAUUUUGGUACCUGAACAUGUUGAAAUUGCAAUGGUUCCUUUUGUAGAAAUAUAAUCACCAUUCCUAAUUAUGACCUUUGAGACAUUAGUUGGCUUCAAAUCCUUGAAUAAAGUCUUAUCAUUUGUCAUGUGGUUCAUACUACCGCUAUCAAUCAACCAACAUUCAAAACUACUCCUCAUCGAAUAACACGUUGCAACAAAAAUAUAAUCUUCUUCAUCUUGCUCCACAACUUGGGCAUUGGCUUCAGCUUGUUGAAAUUUGUUGUUACAAAUUACAGCUUCAUGUCCAAGUUGAUUGCACCUAGUGCACUUUGCAUCUGGUCUUCUCCAACACUUGAAUGGUGGGUGACCCAUUUUUCCGCAAUGCUGACAAGGUGAGUAAUUUUUCUUUUUACCCUUACCUUUGUUUUGGUUGUUUGCACUAUUUUCGCUGCUUGCUGGCUAGUUCUUCUUGACAUAUUUCUUUCUCCUUGUGAAUUCUGAUCUGGUUUAUAGUAGGAUCAUCUGAGAUCAUAACUUUCCCUGGUAAAGACAAGAAUGAUGGCUUGGAAAAAACUUAUGUCAGAAUCCAUCAGAAAUUAAAAUGCAUAGGUUCCUUAAGAAGAGGCUCUUGAUAUCAAUUGUUGGGGAGAUUCGAGGGAAACACCUAUGGACCAUGAGUCACCACAUAAGGAAGUCUGUCACCACACUCUAACCCAAAACCUUAAGAUUCAGGUUUAUGGGUAUUCUCCUCAAUUAUAUGGUGCUCAACUUUUCCACUUUUACCCAAUGUGAGACUUCACCUCACACUUGUACUCCAACACAUCUCCCCUUCAAGUGUGAGUCUCUUCCACAUGGUAGCCUUCCUCUGGAGCUCACGAGUAUAGCCAUUCUGACCACCUGCAGUACUUGCACUACCGCUACAUCUGCGGGGUACCCUGCGCCGCCAUCUUACUCCUCUGAGCCGGUCACGAGUAUAGCCAUUCUGGCCACCUAUGGUACUUACACCGCCACUGCAUGCUGCGCCGUGCCAUCUUACUUAUUUGAGUCGGUCACCAAGUCGAACCUUCAUCUCUGAUAUCAAUUGUUAGUUUUGUAGCAAAAAAAUAUAAUAAGCAAGGAAAAAGAGAAACAAUACAAGGUGGAGGAAAUAUAAUAAUUUUUGCUUAAUCAAAUUAUUCUGAGGAGCAAUACAAUAUAUAGGAAAACAAAUAUUAACCACUUAUUAAUUUCAGGAAAAUUGAAAAUUAAAAGUGACUUGCUCCUAAAGUUUAGGAAUAACUUUAAUCCAUAACUGAAAUGAAUAAAAAUAAAAUAUGUAGUUACAAAAGUAAUUUAAAGAAAUUUAACAAUAUGACUUGGCCUCAUCGGAUAGGUAAUAUCUAUAAACUUUCACCAAAACAUUAAAGCUUCUUAUUCUAUGAGGGUAAUGCCAAAUAUUCGUGAACCAAAUUAGCAAUCACACCUUAUAUGAUUUGAAAAAACAAAAAAAAAAAAUUACAGUUCCAGUCUAGUAUCUCUAUGAAAAUUGUCAAAAUAUAACUUUAACAAGGAAUAAAAAAAAAGAAAGGACAAAUAAGAUAAUGUUUGUUUUCUUCUUAAUCUUAAUAUUUUAUUUUUCUCCUCCUAUUCUUUACCUCAAUUUUGUAAGCUAUGUAAAACCUGUAUGAUUUAGAACACUAUAAAAACAAUGACAAAGGAAUAGGAAAUAGAGGGUCAUACGUAGCAGAUUAUGGUUUGUCUAAGAAGGGAAGUCCUGAUAUCAGUCAUCAUCUAUAAACUAUAAUGCAUCAAGCUUAUCAUUAACAAUUUGGUUCUUUUUAGAUAAAUUUCUUUAAAAACACUUACAGAAGAAAAAAAAAACAAAAUGCAUUAAGGUUUUUUACUUUUUAUAAAUUAAAGCCAACUUGCACACCUAAGAACAGUAAGAAGUAAUACAAAACAGAUAUAAUACAACUUUUAUUUAACCAGACUUCAAUCUAAACCAUUGAAUUUUUAAUCAAUAUAUCUACGAUGAAUUUUGAUGGUAGGUACUUCCCCCAGAUUCCACGAUCAAAAAGCAUCCAACCAAGAACAUUGUCUUCAAAAGAGGACAAGACACCUACUACCACUACACUUUUUAAAGUAGCCAGACUUCAAUCUAAACCAUUGAAUUUUUAAUUAAUAUAUUUAACGGUUAAUUUUGAUGGUAGGUACUAACGCAAAGCGAGUUAAAAGUGAAGAGAGUUGACUAGAAUCAAAUCUCAUCACACCAGUUAAGCUUGUCGAAAACCAACCCAGUUUAUUGCAACCAAUUCCUUUCCUUUGUUCUUGACAUCAUGGCUGAGGCAGUUGGUGGUGCAUUCCUCUCGGCUUUCCUUGAUGUUGUGUUCGACAAGCUGUCUACAGAUGAGGUUGUUGACUUCAUCCGUGGAAAGAAGCUUGACCUCAAUUUGCUUGAGAACUUGAAGAGCACUCUGAGAGUGGUUGGAGCUGUGCUUGAUGAUGCUGAGAAGAAACAAAUCAAACUCUCCAGUGUCAACCAGUGGCUCAUUGAGGUCAAAGAUGCUCUCUAUGAGGCCGAUGACUUGCUGGAUGAAAUUUCUACCAAAUCUGCAACUCAAAAGAAGGUAAGUAAAGUGCUUUCUCGCUUUACUGAUAGGAAAAUGGCCAGUAAGUUGGAAAAAAUAGUUGACAAAUUAGACACAGUUUUAGGAGGCAUGAAGGGUCUUCCUUUGCAAGUGAUGGCAGGGGAGAUGAGCGAGUCAUGGAAUACUCAGCCAACAACAUCUCUGGAAGAUGGAUAUGGUAUGUAUGGUAGGGAUACAGACAAGGAGGGCAUAAUGAAGAUGUUGUUGUCAGAUGAUAGCAGUGAUGGUGUACUAGUGUCUGUGAUCGCUAUUGUAGGCAUGGGUGGGGUUGGAAAAACCACUUUAGCCCGAUCUGUGUUCAACAAUGAGAAUUUGAAGCAGAUGUUUGAUUUAAAUGCAUGGGUUUGUGUUUCUGAUCAAUUUGAUAUUGUUAAGGUCACAAAAACUAUGAUAGAGCAAAUCACGCAAGAGUCAUGUAAAUUGAAUGAUCUAAACUUGCUUCAACUUGAAUUGAUGGACAAACUGAAAGUUAAAAAAUUCUUAAUUGUCUUGGAUGAUGUAUGGAUCGAGGAUUAUGAGAAUUGGAGUAAUCUUACAAAACCAUUUCUACAUGGAAAAAGGGGAAGUAAAAUUCUCUUGACAACCCGCAAUGCAAAUGUAGUGAAUGUAGUCCCUUAUCAUAUUGUUCAAGUUUAUUCUCUAAGUAAAUUGUCAGAUGAAGAUUGUUGGCUAGUGUUUGCAAACCAUGCAUUUCCCCCCUCAGAAUCAAGUGGGGAUGCUAGAAGAGCUUUAGAAGAAAUUGGAAGGGAGAUUGUUAAAAAGUGUAAUGGAUUGCCUUUAGCAGCACGGUCACUUGGAGGUAUGUUGAGAAGAAAGCAUGCUAUUAGGGAUUGGAAUAAUAUACUUGAAAGUGACAUUUGGGAACUUCCUGAAAGUCAGUGUAAAAUUAUUCCAGCCUUGAGAAUUAGUUAUCAAUAUCUCCCUCCACAUUUAAAACGAUGCUUUGUUUAUUGUUCAUUAUACCCUAAAGAUUUUGAAUUUCAAAAGAAUGACUUGAUCUUGUUGUGGAUGGCUGAAGAUCUUUUGAAGCUUCCAAACAGAGGAAAGGCGUUAGAAGUUGGUUACGAGUAUUUUGAUGAUUUAGUUUCUAGAUCAUUUUUUCAACGUUCAAGUAAUCAAACUUGGGGCAAUUAUUUUGUAAUGCAUGACCUCGUGCAUGAUCUAGCAUUAUACCUUGGUGGAGAAUUCUAUUUCAGAUCAGAAGAACUUGGAAAAGAAACCAAGAUUGGUAUAAAGACUCGUCAUUUGUCAGUUACAAAGUUCAGUGAUCCAAUCUCAGAUAUUGAAGUUUUUGACAGACUACAAUUUUUGAGAACUUUAUUGGCAAUUGAUUUUAAAGAUUCUUCAUUCAACAAGGAAAAGGCACCAGGUAUUGUAGCAUCGAAGCUUAAGUGCUUGAGAGUUUUAUCAUUUUGUGGCUUUGCAAGUCUGGAUGUUUUGCCUGAUUCAAUAGGUAAAUUGAUCCAUUUGCGUUAUUUAAAUCUCUCUUUUACAAGAAUAAGAACACUGCCGGAGUCAUUGUGUAAUUUGUACAAUCUACAAACUCUGGUGUUGUCUCAUUGCGAAAUGUUGACCAGGUUGCCUACUGACAUGCAAAAUCUUGUAAACUUGUGUCAUCUUCAUAUUUAUGGUACUCGUAUAGAAGAGAUGCCUAGAGGAAUGGGAAUGUUAAGUCAUUUGCAGCAAUUGGAUUUCUUUAUUGUGGGCAACCAUAAAGAGAACGGAAUCAAAGAACUGGGGACACUUUCAAAUCUUCAUGGUUCGCUUUCUAUUAGGAAUUUGGAGAAUGUAACCAGAAGCAAUGAAGCAUUGGAGGCUAGGAUGAUGGAUAAGAAGAACAUAAAUCAUUUAUCGUUGAAAUGGUCUAAUGGCACCGACUUCCAAACUGAAUUAGAUGUACUGUGCAAAUUAAAACCUCACCCAGACCUGGAAUCUCUAACAAUAUGGGGUUAUAAUGGAACCAUAUUUCCAGAUUGGGUGGGAAAUUUUUCCUACCACAACUUGACAAGUCUAAGAUUACAUGAUUGUAAUAACUGUUGUGUGCUUCCUUCGCUUGGGCAACUACCAUCUCUUAAGCAGCUCUAUAUUUCAAUAUUGAAGUCAGUGAAGACUGUUGAUGCAGGGUUUUACAAAAAUGAAGAUUGUCCUUCUGUGACUCCCUUUUCUUCCCUUGAAACGCUAUACAUUAAUAACAUGUGUUGCUGGGAGUUGUGGAGUACCCCUGAGUCAGACGCCUUUCCUCUACUCAAGUCUCUUACAAUAGAGGAUUGCCCCAAACUAAGGGGAGAUUUGCCAAAUCACCUUCCUGCUCUAGAAACACUCAAUAUUACAAGAUGCCAGCUUCUUGUCUCUUCCCUGCCAAGGGCUCCCAUCCUUAAGGGCUUAGAGAUAUGUAAAAGCAAUAAUGUAUCGUUGCAUGUGUUUCCUCUUUUGUUGGAAAGGAUAAAAGUAGAAGGAAGCCCAAUGGUGGAGUCCAUGAUCGAGGCCAUCUUCAGCAUUGAUCCAACUUGCCUCCAACAUUUAACAUUGAGUGAUUGUUCGUCAGCCAUAUCUUUUCCGUGUGGUCGUCUACCUGCAUCUCUGAAGGAUCUGCAUAUCAGCAAUCUUAAAAAUCUGGAAUUCCCGACCCAACACAAACACGAUUUACUGGAAUCACUGUCACUAUACAAUAGUUGUGAUUCUCUCACGUCUCUUCCAUUGGUUACCUUUCCAAAUCUCAAAAGUCUCGAAAUCCAUGACUGUGAACAUCUGGAAUCUCUUUUGGUUUCAGGGGCAGAGUCAUUCAAGAGUCUGUGUUCUUUGAGAAUUUGCCGAUGCCCCAACUUUGUAUCAUUCUGGAGAGAAGGAUUGCCUGCGCCCAAUUUGACUCGAAUUGAAGUUUUCAAUUGCGACAAGUUGAAGUCAUUACCUGACAAAAUGAGUAGUCUUCUCCCAAAGUUAGAAUAUCUUCACAUAAAAGACUGCCCAGAAAUUGAGUCGUUUCCAGAAGGGGGUAUGCCACCUAACCUGAGAACAGUUUCGAUUCACAAUUGUGAGAAACUACUGAGCGGCCUAGCAUGGCCAUCCAUGGGCAUGCUUACCCAUCUCCAUGUUCAGGGUCCAUGUGAUGGCAUCAAGUCCUUCCCUAAGGAGGGUUUGCUGCCUCCCUCCCUUACGUCUCUGUAUCUACAUAAGUUGUCAAAUCUGGAGAUGUUGGACUGCACGGGGCUUCUCCAUCUCACAUCCCUGCAAGAAUUAACCAUAAUCGGAUGUCCUUUGCUGGAGAAUAUGCUGGGAGAAAGGCUUCCUGUCUCUCUAAUAAAAUUAACCAUAGAGAGAUGUCCUUUGCUGGAAAAACAAUGCCGCAGGAAGCACCCUCAAAUAUCCCACAUCCGUCACAUUAAAGUUGACAAUAGAUGGAUUUAGUGACCAAGGAUGAGCACCGGGUAAUUCUCCUUCUUUGACCUACUUCAUCGUCUUCUAAGUCUAACCAAACAAAACUAUUUCAGUCAAGGAUAUCUUUCUUUUCAUGUCUUUUUAUUCUCACAGUUAAUUUAUUCAUUUCAUUCAACAAGCGUUAUUACCCUGAAGAAAUGUUAUCAAUCAAUGCCAUUGUAUUUGAACUUUCUCAAUAUAUCGGCAAUCAUGGUGGUUGUUUCAUCUUGUUACAUUCUCUGUCAGUGUUCAAAGUGUAAUUGGGUGUACUUUGUUUUUCAGAGAUGAUAGAUUGUCCUGUAGAAACUGCACCUGUAAUUGGAUAUGAAUUCAACUUUGACGUGACACCAGAAAGCUCAUAUUUAUGCGUGUAAAGCUGAUCUUCCAGGGCAAAAGGAGGAGGAAGCGAGGGCGCAGUCAGCUGAUGGCAAAGUGUUUAAGAUUGUUCCAUGGCACCAUCUGGAGCAUAGCACCAGCAACUCCCUGAGCAUACAGGCCUUAAGCCAUGACUUGACUGGUUUAGAUAGGUAAUAAUUACUGAAUUCAAGACACUAAAUUCUAUGAGGGUUCAUAUAAAAUUGACAAGGGUUUAGAUCUUGCUAGUAAUACCAAGGAUUCGUGAACCAACUUAACAAUCACACCAUGGAUGAUUUGAAAUAACAAUAUAAAUUGCAGUUCCUGUCUAACAUCUCUAGGAAAUUUUCCAGAACAUAAGUUCAACAAGGAAAACAAAGAAGAUAGAAAAAAUAAGACAAUGUUGUUUUCUUCUUAAUCUUAUAUUUUAUUGUUCCUCCCAUGCCUUGCAUCAAUUUUGUAACCUAUGUGAAACUUGGAUCAUUUAAAACACAAUAAUUACAAUGAACAAGGAAUAGAAACUAGAGGGUCUUGGGUAGGAGAUUGUGGUCUAUCUGAGAAGCAAAGUCCUGAUUUCAGUCUUUAACUAGAAUUCAUCAAGCUUAUCAUUCUCUAAGCUGAUUUAUUAGGCAAUUGUCUUUGUUCUUUCUCAUUCUUGUUUCUUAUUUUCCUCUAAAUUGGGCUCAGAGCUUUGUUCUUACUCAUUGUUUCUUAUUUUCCUUCAGAUCAUAUUUUCUAAAGUUGUUCAUGUCAUUGCAUGCAAUGUUUGCUUUCACCCAAAGGGGUGGCUUUGAUCAAAUUGACAAGGAUGAUUCCAACCUACCUCUGGAUACAGCUCCUAUUAAGCAUGUCACGCAGGUAUGCUGUCACAUAAUUGAAAAUUGUUAUCAUGGCUCUAACUACUUGUUAUAAAUUCUCUGUCACUACAAGUUUUCAUCCGAGUUGGGUUAUUAUCUUUUUUAUCUUUCAUCUUUUGUGAAUUUUCGUUUUUAGUUUCAUGAUUUUUUUGUCUUUUUUUAGUCCCAAAAAAAAUAUUGUUUUAUUUUUUGUUCUCAAUAUAUGUAGAAUUUUUUAGGGACUAAAAAUGAAACAAAAAAAUUGAGGGACUAUAAACGAAAAAAAAAAUUAUGGACUAAGACCCAUCAAAAGAUUAAGAAGGACUAAAAACAAUCGCAAAAGACGAAGCAAGUUAAAUAAAUCCUAUUGAUACUAUUUUACUAAUAUUGUGUUACAGGAAACUAUAAAUUUACAAUUUAUAUUAUAAUACAAAAAUAUUUAUCUUUAUUUAUAUUCUUUUGAAAAUAUUCAAAUUCAAUUUAAAAAUAAGUAUGAAAAUGAAAAAUUAAACAGAGAUAAAAGUUUUAUAAAAAAAUUUAAAAUAUCUUGUUGAAAAAAAACUAAAAAUACUUUAGUUGAAGAAUAUCUCUUAAAAAAAUAUUUUCCGAUACAGGAAACUCAUUUCAUUUCAGAUAAAACUAUAAAAUUUACUAUAAAAGAAGGCAACUAAUGUGUUUAUCCGUUACUCACAACACAACUAAAAUAUAGCUGUGGACUUAAGUUUUUCGAUUCGAAUCAUCCAAUUUUUCUCAUAAUCGCAGUCUUCUUCCUUGCAUGCAUGCAAUUUUUCCUUCCCUUGUUUUCUCUAGGACAAAAGUUAUCACAGUGCAUACGUGACAAUCUACCCUCAAAACUCUCCGCAUCAAUCAAACAGUCACAAGAAAAGGCCAUGAAACAUAUGAUGCUAAUGCCACAAAAUGGUGGCAGUCGUGGUGAUAUCCAUGUUGAGGAUAACCAAAACAUGUCCUUUCCGUCGUGGGAGGGAACCUUUAUGAGGUGCUUCAGUGAAAUAGAUGAAAAGCUUGCUAAGAACAUUGACACUGAUGGAUUUCGUGGCGGUAGCACUUCUGUAUCUGUAAUCAAACAGGUAUAACUAGACCUUCNNNNNNNNNNNNNNNNNNNNNNNNNNNNNNNNNNNNNNNNNNNNNNNNNNNNNNNNNNNNNNNNNNNNNNNNNNNNNNNNNNNNNNNNNNNNNNNNNNNNUUUCUUUUUUUUGUGAAUACUUUUGCAACAAUGUUAUAACCACAUCUUUUUCCCCCUUUAAAUUUCAGGGUGACCAAGUAAUAAUUGGCAAUGUGAGGGAUUCUCGUGCAGUUCUUUGCAGAAGAGCACCUGACAAUCGCCUUAUUCCUGUUCAACUUACUAUUGACUUGACUCCAGAUAUUCCAAGUAUGUUUUGGUAUUACCUAUUCUUAGUUUCCAAAUCUUACAACCCUUUUGAGUUUAUUUGGUUAAAUUGUCUAAUUAAGCCAUAUUCAUUAAGAACUUAUUAGAUGAGAGCUUCUUUCAGGACUUGUUUGGGUAAGUUUAUCCAAAACCACUUAUGCACAUACUAGUUUGUAAAAGCUCUCUCAUCUUUUAGAGAAACUAUACAAGAGAGUUUCUACAAUUUAGCUUAUGGAGAAACUCAUUUCAUUUCUUUUUCUUAUUUUAUUUCUCCUAAAAGUGCUUCCAGAUAAGUUUAUCCAAACAGACCCUAAAAGCUUGAUUGUAUAACUUAGUAAAUAAGCUAACCAAACUUAUUUUGAUAACCUUCUUUUUGAAAUUUAAUUGAAAUAAGCUAAAAAUAUUCUACUGAAUGGCCAUAUGCUACUUCUACAAGUCCAAAUAAGUUUUAUGAAAUUCUUCCUAAUGUCCCUUGGUCUGUGUCUAACUAGCUUUUCUUCCUCAAUGUUACUCAGGAGAAGCUAUGAGAAUUUUUGCUGUAGAAGAAGAUCCUACUGUAAACAGAGUAUGGAUGCCUAAAAGGGACUGCCUGGACUGGCUAUGGCAAGAGCCUUUAGAAAUUUUUGCCUAAAAGACUAUGGUGUCGCCUCAGUCCCUGAUGUGUCUUAAAGAAAACUUACCAAGGAGGAUAAGUGUGUGGUUUUGGCUUCUGAUGGGGUAAGCAUUUUCAUAUCAGGAUGUCAACUUCGAAUUUUGGAUUUUGAUUCUUGAGUAAUCAGUUACAGGAACAGAACAAUCAUUUUUAGUGUUUAAGUUAUGCUCAUUUCUCGUAUUCCUCUCAAUCCAAAUAUGUUUGCAAAUAUUUGAUCAAAUAGUGUAAGAAAAGAAAUAACCAAGAAGGUUAAAUGAAUUAACAGCAUGUAGUUUCCACACAUACGUGUUUAGUUCAUAUUGGACAAAAAUUAGAUGCAGUUAGUUCUGUAAGUGCUUUCGUUGUUGUCUUUCAAUUAGAAUUGGAGUUUCACCUAGUAAAUUCGUGUAAUAAAGGUUUCAAUUAAAAGUCAACAUAGACUACUAAGGUGGAAAUCCAAUUUUGAUUGAAGAACAAUGUUAAAAGCACCUGUAAAAACUGUAUCUAAGUUUUGUCCCAGCAUAUUUGGCACAAAUCCAUAUGCUUAUUCUUGAAGGAUUAGCCUCCUUUAACCCAAUCCUGAUCCAAAGUUAGUGGUUAACUUCUCAAAAUUUAUCCCAACCAAUAAGGUCUAAAUAAUCUAGACUUGUAAAUACUGAAAUUGUAGAUAUGGCAAGAGUAUGGUAGAAUCAAAAGGAAGAAUGGGAUGCUCUUGGAGGGUUCUCCAGAGCCAACUUUGAAUCAUAGAUUGCAAUCACCUCAGUACCUCAAGGAGGGUUGAAGCUGAUCACUAACUCAGCCAGAAACUCCCCGAAUCCAAGGGCUAGUGCUACUAACAAGUUAACAAUUUUACGGCCAGAAGAUUUUGCUUUUGACACAAUCCCAGAAGAUGGCAAUUAUUUUAGCCUUCUAAUUCUGGUGUAAUUACGUGCAAGACUUCUUUUCUAUCUGCCUAAGACCAACAUUGAUCAAUUUUAGCAGUCUAUAUUAUGGUACCAUAAAAGUUUUCUUUUUUCUGGCUUGGGUUCUAAAGAGUUCAAUGAAGAACUAAGCAGCACCUACUUUUCUAUUUAUCUUCAAUUAUUUCCUAGUGUUCUGUGUUGACACUAACAUUCAGCAUAAAACAUUACUAGACACUAGAACCAGAGGAUUUUGGAAUUUUACAUACCAAGAAUAUAGUAUUAAUAGAUUGCCGAUAAUUCAGAGGGGUUAUACUAUUGCUGAGCAUUUUGAAGUUUAAGAAUGAAUCUACAAAAGUAAAAAGUGAUCCAAUAACAACCCAGAGUAAGGUUUAUUUUUUUAAAGCCGAAGGAAAUGAAAUUAUAUCAAUAACUUCCAGAACUUCUGGAAAAAGAUUACAACACCAAAAAGAUACUAUUUGGCCGAAAAGCAUGCCUUAGAAUUAUAAACAACAACACCAAAAAAAAGUCAAAAUAUAUUUUCUAUUUUUAAUAAAUAUCUAAAUUUUAUAUUUCUUUCCUGAUAAAAAAAUUACAUUAAAUCCCUAAUAUAAUAAAAAUUAUUUGUGAUUAAACUUUUCAAAUAGACUAAUAACAAAUGAAAAAUAAUUAUCAUGAAAAAAACACAUAAUUUAUCAUGAACUAAAGCAUAAUAUCAAGAAAAAAAUAAAAUAUUUUGUAUUUUUAUCAGAGAAAAAAAAAGUAUUAAUACUUAAACAUAAAAUUAGAAUAUUUAUUAAAAAUCAUACAAUUAUAUUAGCCUAGAAAAAAAAUAAAGGCAGGCCUCCUACACAAAUUAACACAUGAUGAAAAGAUACAUCUUUGAGGGACCACCAUAUGUAUUUUGCCUCACCACGUGGAGCUUCUACAGUUCACCAGCUGAUUGUCUUCAUAUAAGCAGCGCCAUGAUACAUCAGUAACAAGCAUGAGAAAAGAUAAAGAAACCCAAACCCAUCUUCACUGCUCCCAGCAGCUUUAAUUGAGUAGCUUAAUAAUAAAGAUAAAUUUCAAUUAAAGGGGCGUGGCUAUUUUGCAGCCUUUUUUUAGUUUGGCUCGAUUCCAUUGGAACAUUGGAGGGUGAAGUUAAAAAAAUAUAGUUUUAAUAAAAUAUCGUGUACGAAUGAGAAUUCAUAUACUACUUUUGAGCUGACAAUUUUGACUUUUGAGCUGAUAAUUUUGACUGCGAACAAAUGCAAUUUUUAUUAUUUGCAUAGAGAUAUUUUUUUCAUGUAUUUUUGGGUGUGUUUGUCUCAACUACUUCUACAUUUCAAAAAAUAGUUUUCUACUUAUUUUAAGAAAUAAAUCAUAUCUACUUCUUAAAAAAUACUUAUAUAAAAAGUAUUUAUUUUAAAAUUUAAACAAACUCAUCCUAAAUUACACCCAUUAAAAAUGCUUUUAAAGAAUUUGAUUGGUGUGGUCUACUUUUCCUUCCCAAUUAAUCAAAUUUUUUUCAUCGAAUACAAAAUCUUAUUUUUAGGAUUUGAACUUAGUUUCAUAUAGAUUAUAGACAAACAACAUGUUAAUAAUAUACCAAUAAAUAUACAUUAAAAAUUUUAGUGUUAUGUAUAAUAACAUUAUUUAUUUUAUAAUGUAAUUGGCUUAUUAUCUUAGUUGGUUAGAGUCUUGUGCUAGAAACCUAAAAGUCAUAUGUUCAAAUUCUUAUUUGGGCCAUUAAAUGGAAGCUAAUAUGUGGACCUCAUACGGAUCAAUUGAUUCGUAUCCUUUUAUAAAAGGGUAAAAUGGGAAAAAUGCAAAAUUAGUGGGUGUACCAGCAAUUUCACCCUUUGGUUAGGUAUCACGUUGGGUCUUAGGCUUUCUAUGGGUCAACUGGUCAAGGAAAUUACUUCCUACAUUCCAUUUUUUAUUUCUUGCACCUCCCAAAAAUCCAAGAAGGCAAAACUACCCCUCCAACACCACCACUACCACUGUAGCCCCACCUCCACCCAACCACCAACACGCAAACAGCACCACCCAACACCACCAUUGAUGACUUUGGUGCAAGGAACCAUGUGAAAAUGGAAUCGAAGACCAACGAAGAGGUGUAAAGCACAACCUCAUUCUAGAUACAUGAAUUCGUAAGACACUAAUUUUGUAUACAUUUUUAGAAUACCUAUUCCAGAAUAAUAUUUUUCAUAUUUCAGAAUUUGUAUUUUAGAAUACGUUUUUGGAUUACUUAUUCUUAUUUUGUAAUAUGAAAAUCUUAUUCCAUAACAGGUAUUUCGCAACAGGAAUAAGUAAUCCAAAAAGGUAUUCCAAAAUGUCUAGAAUAUGAAAAUUCAUAUUUUUAGAAUAGGUAUUCAGAAAGUGUAAAAGGCCAAAUUUCUCUUUUUCACACAAAUGGCAAAUCUCACACCCCAUUCGCAUAUGCCCUACUUUAUCCCCUCAUUUCUCACUACAAAUUCCACCGACACCUUCUUCUCCUUCUCCCCUCAUUCCUUUGUUCAUUGAGAUCCAAGGUAUAGACCAAGAAACACUGCCAGCUACAAAUCCCAUGAGGGCACAAUGGUGUUCGGGGUGUGAUUGUGUUGGGGCACAAUGGUUAUGGAGGCUUCAUGGCUAGGAUUUUUUGGGAGAGGCAAGGACACAAGAUGUCUUGGUGAGGGGUAUUCUUGUUUUUUGGGAGAUGUAGGAAGAAAAAAGUGGUGCAAGAAGUAAUUACCACUAAUCAACUAUUAACUUGUGAAAAACUUGUGUACAUGUUUCUGUUGGUUUAGCAAUUGGUAGCAAUGACUAAUUUGAAGCUAUUUAAAAAAAUUAGAGACUAAAAUAAAAUUUCUAAAACAAACAAUCAAACUAAAUCAAAACUAAAACAUAAGAAGGAUAAUAUACGUAAUUUAGCAACAAGAAAAAUUCACUUGACUACAAAAUCAUUUUUUAUCACACUCAUCCAAACAUGUACAGAUGUACUUAAUUUGUCAAGGAUUCAUAUCCAUUUACAACAGUACAAAACAGUACAUGAUCCAUUGUAAAGGCCCAGGAGCUAGAAAAUUUAAAUUAUCAGUGGUAGGCAAAAAAUUCAACCAAAAAUCGUUCAGAACAAUGCGUUGCCAUUAAGUCUUCUAUUAUGGCGAAAAUAUGCGAUACCUUUCAUUGCUACUGAAGAAUUCUGCUGUACUUGUUAGCAGAUACAAUGAAUGGCAAUUUUUCAUAUAACGAGUUCCUUUAACCAUGUCAAUGCUUCCAAUAGUGGUUUGAAUUAAAGGUGUGGUGUACAAUUGUCAUUUGUCACAGCAAACUACUACAAUCAAUCCACACCCUAUGAUGAGAGGACAUUGUGUACUACAAUUGCAAAACAACAAAUAGUCCAUUCCAAUGUAUAUGGUACACAAUUUGGAGACAUUAUUAUCUUGAUAUUUACUCUCUUCUCUUUAAGCAUGUCCCUUCAGUACUGAAAUAUAUUAUUGAAAAGAAAAAGGAAGGUAAGAAAAUUAAAUUAGAGUUUCAUUAGGAGGUAGUGAUGUGAAAAAGAACCUUCCAACAUGCUUAACACAAUAAUUGGUUCACCACAUGCUUACUAAUAAGUAUAGGUCUUAUUAACCAGCUCUUUAGAGAACUUGGUUAAUUUUUUAAAAAAAAAUCAUAUAAAAGUGCAUAUAAAGAAUAUAAAAUAAAGAAGAGCAUUUUAACACAUCUAAAAAAAAUUCUUUUCAUUCCAAAAUUUGACUUAAUUUAAGUUUAAGAAAAUCAGCUUGACGCACCUAAAUUAGUGAGUUGGCGGAUAAACAUACGUACUCACCUUAUUUUCAUAAAAAAACACACAAAAGAAAAAUAAAAAUAAAAAAAUAAGAUAAGUUUAAUGUUUCAAGUUAAACUACAAAAUGCAUAUUACUAAAUUUAAAAUAAGUCAAAUUAAAUGCAUAUGCAAGUCCAAUGUUUAUUAAUUAAAUGAAAAAUAUUAAAAUAAGGAACAUGUUAACCCAAUUUUAACCCAUCUGAAAAUUGCAAGUUAAAUAAAUUGAGUUCAAAUAGCCCCCAAAAAAAGUAAAUUGAUUUUUAGCACCAAGCACCCAAAAUCAAUGUGUAUGCAUAAAAGGUAAAAUGGAGAGGGUUGAAAGGGGAUCCAAUUAAAAUACCAAAGUUAAAGUGUUGUUAUUGCUGGUGCACCCAACAUUUUUUAAAAAUGCCAAAACUGCUCCUGUGUUUUUUUUGUAUUUAUGCUAGGUGUGCAUGAGGGUGAUAUGUAAAUCGUAUGGAUCAAGUUAAUCCGUAAGGUUGAUACGGAUUAAGUUGAUCCAUAAGCUUUUUACGAAUCAAAUUAAUUUGUAGAAAACUUAUAAAUUUUUCACGGAUCAACUUAUAAGACUUAGGGAUAAAGAGUAUUUUAGUCUUUUUUCUUAAUUGCUGAACCUAGCAACACCCAACCUGGAUUGGCACCACUCUUGGAAAACAUAUAAAGCAAGGAAAGAGGCUCCGCUACCCAAUCUUAACCCUCUGAACACACGUUGUCAGUCACUGCCCGUGACCUAUUCCUGCUUCUUUCUUUGGAACUCUCGUCACCCUCUAGUUCCAUACAUUGAUUAUACUAAAAUCUAUUAUUUCUAUACAAAGUAACCAAACCAAAACCCCUCUCUUACAAUGCACAGUCCUGUCAAUAACCAAACCAAAUCCAAAGGGGCAAUAAUAAAGCUGGUCGGGUGUGGAUUUCAAAUAAUCAAAUCAAAUCAAAUUCCUCCAUUCCUCCAAUGAGUUGGCCUCCCGCAAAUUAUGCUCCAAUUACUAGAAAUAAGGUUUAAAUAACCAAGGAUUAAGUAAGAUUAAUUGUUGAAGGACAAGUUCAAGUGUUCAACACCAUGUACUACACAGAACAAAACAUCUGAAUGAGUAAUUAAUGAUAUAUGAAUUAUCAUUUAUUUUAAAUAUUUUAUUUUUUUAUCUUUCUGUCACAUCAUAAGUUAUAUUAUAUCUAUAUUUUUCCUUUUUUUUCCUUCCUAAAUGUUGAAUAAAUUUUUGGAUGUUGAUCAAACAUUUUUUCAUCUGAAUUGAGUUAGAUCUGAAACAGGAUCCAAGUACUUAUAAGGUGAUUUUUAAAGAGAGAAAAGGAGGAAAUAUCAUUAUUUGAAUCCGUUUUAUUAACAAAAUCUAACAACUAAUGUAUAAAAAAAUUAAGCAAAUAAUUACUCUAUUUUUUUAAGUAUUCAUAUCAUUCUUAUCUCUUCCCAACAAAUAUUAUCAUGCAAAAAAUGUUUUUUGGAUCUGCAUCAAUACCCAAAGAUGUGGAUAAAAGAUGUUAAUACAAUCAUUCAGUAAAAAUUUCUUUAUUAUCUUAAAAAUAUUUUUCUUUUGAAUAAUAAAUAUAAUUUUCACAAUUAGUUGAGCGUACUUUGUUUUUCAGAGAUGGUAGAGUGGCCCAGAGAAACUGCACCUCUCAAUGGAUAUGAAUUCAACUUUGAACAAGAUCUAAACAGAACUUCUGAUUUAAUUGACGUGAAAGUGAUGCUUUCUCAAUAGCUGAAUUUUUAAUUGGAAACCUUUUCAUUGGGCACCAAACUAUAAGAGGCCAACUACAUAGGAUAAUCUCAGAUCUCAGUAAGGCAUGCUUCCCAUGUAUAUAUUGGCAGAUAACUGAAAAUGUUGCAUAUCCUUUAAUUUCUAGCCAUUUCAAAUUCUUUGGCAAAACAUAUCUGAGGUUUUGUUUUUUCCAUUAUUAUUGUGUUGUAGGAAAUUGUAGUAUACUUCUCUCUACAAAGGUUAUCCAUUGAUGCAGGGAAUAUUGAGCUGCAGCAAACUAUACACUUCAAAUAAUUUGAUGUUUUACUUUUUUGCCAAAUAUUGUGCUGCAGCAAACUACACACUUACCGUAAUGCAUUAAGGUUUUUUACUUUUUAUAAAUUAAAGCCAACUUGCACACCUAAGAAAAGUAAGAAGUAUUACAAAACAGAUAUAAUACAGCUUUCAUUUAACAUGACUUCAAUCUAAACCAUUGAAUUUUUAAUCAAUAUAUCUACGGUGAAUUUUGAUGAUAGGUACUUCCCCCAGAUUCCACGAUCAAAAAGCAUCCAACCAAGAACAUUGUCAUCCAAAGAGGACAAGACACCUACUACCACUACACUUUUUAAAGUAGCCAGACUUCAAUCUAAACCAUUGAAUUUUUAAUUAAUAUAUUUAACGGUUAAUUUUGAUGGUAGGUACUAGCGCAGAGCGAGUUAAAAGUGAAGAGAGUUGACUAGAAUCAAAUCUCAUCACACCAGUUAACCUUGUCGAAAACCAACCCAGUUUAUUGCAACCAAUUCCUUUCCUUUGUUCUUGACAUCAUGGCUGAGGCAGUUGGUGGUGCAUUCCUCUCUGCUUUCCUUGAUGUUGUGUUCGACAAGCUGUCUACAGAUGAGGUUGUUGACUUCAUCCGUGGAAAGAAGCUUGACCUCAAUUUGCUUGAGAACUUGAAGACCACUCUGAGAGUGGUUGGAGCUGUGCUUGAUGAUGCUGAGAAGAAACAAAUCAAACUCUCCAGUGUCAACCAGUGGCUCAUCGAACUCAAAGAUGCUCUCUAUGAUGCCGAUGACUUGCUGGAUGAAAUUUCUACCAAAUCUGCAACUCGAAAGAAGGUAUGUAAAGUGCUUUCUCGCUUUACUGAUAGGAAAAUGGCCAGUAAGUUGGAAAAAAUAGUUGACAAAUUAGAUAAAGUUUUAGGAGGCAUGAAGGGUCUUCCUUUGCAAGUGAUGGCAGGGGAGAUGAACGAGUCAUGGAAUACUCAGCCAACGACAUCACUGGAAGAUGGAUAUGGCAUGUAUGGUAGGGAUACAGACAAGGAGGCCAUAAUGAAGUUGUUGUUGUCAGAUGAUAGCAGUGAUGGUGUACUAGUGUCUGUGAUCGCUAUUGUAGGCAUGGGUGGGGUUGGAAAAACCACUUUAGCCCGUUCUGUGUUCAACAAUGAGAAUUUGAAGCAGAUGUUUGAUUUAAAUGCAUGGGUUUGUGUUUCUGAUCAAUUUGAUAUUGUUAAGGUCACAAAAACUAUGAUAGAGCAAAUCACGCAAGAGUCAUGUAAAUUGAAUGAUCUAAACUUGCUUCAACUUGAAUUGAUGGACAAACUGAAAGUUAAAAAAUUCUUAAUUGUCUUGGAUGAUGUAUGGAUCGAGGAUUAUGAGAAUUGGAGUAAUCUUACAAAACCAUUUCUACAUGGAAAAAGGGGAAGUAAAAUUCUCUUGACGACCCGCAAUGCAAAUGUAGUGAAUGUAGUCCCUUACCAUAUUGUUCAACUUUAUCCUCUAAGUAAAUUGUCAAAUGAAGAUUGUUGGCUAGUGUUUGCAAACCAUGCAUUUCCCCCCUUAGAAUCAAGUGGGGAGGAUAGAAGAGCUUUAGAAGAAAUUGGAAGGGAGAUUGUUAAAAAGUGUAAUGGAUUGCCUUUAGCAGCACGGUCACUUGGAGGUAUGUUGAGAAGAAAGCAUGCUAUUAGGGAUUGGAAUAAUAUACUUGAAAGUGACAUUUGGGAACUUCCUGAAAGUCAGUGUAAAAUUAUUCCAGCCCUGAGAAUUAGUUAUCAAUAUCUCCCUCCACAUUUAAAACGGUGCUUUGUUUAUUGUUCAUUAUACCCUAAAGAUUAUGAAUUUCGAAAGAAGGACUUGAUCUUGUUGUGGAUGGCUGAAGAUCUUUUGAAGCUUCCAAACAGAGGAAAGGCAUUAGAAGUUGGUUAUGAGUAUUUUGAUGAUUUAGUUUCGAGAUCAUUUUUUCAACGUUCAAGUAAUCAAACUUGGGGCAAUUAUUUUGUAAUGCAUGACCUCGUGCAUGAUCUAGCAUUAUACCUUGGUGGAGAAUUCUAUUUCAGAUCAGAAGAACUUGGAAAAGAAACCAAGAUUGGUAUAAAGACUCGUCAUUUGUCAGUUACAGAGUUCAGUGAUCCAAUCUCAGAUAUUGAAGUUUUUGACAGACUACAAUAUUUGAGAACUUUAUUGGCAAUUGAUUUUAAAGAUUCUUCAUUCAACAAGGAAAAGGCACCAGGUAUUGUAGCGUCGAAGCUUAAGUGCUUGAGAGUUUUAUCAUUUUGUGGCUUUGCAAGUCUGGAUGUUUUGCCUGAUUCAAUAGGUAAAUUGAUCCAUUUGCGUUAUUUAAAUCUCUCUCAUACAAGUAUAAAAACACUGCCGGAGUCAUUGUGUAAUUUGUACAAUCUACAAACUCUGGCGUUGUCUCGUUGCGAAAUGUUGACCAGGUUGCCUACUGACAUGCAAAAUCUUGUAAACUUGUGUCAUCUUCAUAUUGAUCAUACUCCGAUAGGAGAGAUGCCUAGAGGAAUGGGAAUGUUAAGUCAUUUGCAGCAUUUGGAUUUCUUUAUUGUGGGCAAGCAUAAAGAGAACGGAAUCAAAGAACUGGGGACACUUUCAAAUCUUCAUGGUUCGCUUUCUAUUAGGAAUUUGGAGAAUGUAACCAGAAGCAAUGAAGCAUUGGAGGCUAGGAUGAUGGAUAAGAAGAACAUUAAUCAUUUAUCGUUGAAAUGGUCUAAUGGCACCGACUUCCAAACUGAAUUAGAUGUACUGUGCAAAUUAAAACCUCACCCAGGCCUGGAAUCUCUAUCGAUAUCGGGUUAUAAUGGAACCAUAUUUCCAGAGUGGGUGGGAAAUUUUUCCUACCACAACAUGACAAGUCUAAGUUUACGUGGUUGUAAUAACUGUUGUGUGCUUCCUUCGCUUGGGCAACUACCGUCUCUUAAGGAGCUCUAUAUUUCAAGAUUGAAGUCAGUGAAGACUGUUGAUGCAGGGUUUUACAAAAAUGAAGAUUGUCCUUCUUCUGUGACACCCUUUUCUUCCCUUGAAACUCUAUCCAUUGCUGACAUGUGUUGCUGGGAGUUGUGGAGUAUCCCUGAGUCAGACGCCUUUCCUCUACUCAAGUCUCUUACAAUAUGGAAUUGCCCCAAACUAAGGGGAGAUUUGCCAAAUCACCUUCCUGCUCUGGAAACACUUACAAUUACAAAUUGCGAGCUUCUUGUCUCUUCCCAAGGGCUCCCACCCUUAACAGAUUAGAAAUACAUAAAAGUAAUAAUGUAUCGUUGAGUCCAAUGGUGGAGUCCAUGAUCGAGGCCAUCACCAGCAUCGAGCCAACUUGCCUCCAACAUUUAACAUUGAGGGAUUGUUCGUCAGCCAUAUCUUUUCCGGGUGGUCGUCUACCUGCAUCUCUGAAGGAUCUGCAUAUCAGCAAUCUUAAAAAUCUGGAAUUCCCGACCCAACACAAACACGAUUUACUGGAAUCACUGUCACUACACAAUAGUUGUGAUUCUCUCACGUCUCUUCCAUUGGCUACCUUUCCAAAUCUCAAAAGUCUCAAAAUUGGAAACUGUGAACAUAUGGAAUCUCUUUUGGUUUCAGGGGCAGAGUCAUUUAAGAGUCUGUGUUCUUUGACAAUUUUCCGAUGCCCCAACUUUGUAUCAUUCUGGAGAGAAGGAUUGCCUGCGCCUAAUUUGACUCAAAUUGAAGUUUUAAAUUGCGACAAGUUGAAGUCCUUACCUGACAAAAUGAGUAGUCUUUUCCCAAAGUUAGAAGUUCUCAAAAUAUCCAACUGCCCAGAAAUUGAGUCGUUUCCAGAAGGGGGUAUGCCACCUAACCUGAGAACAGUUUCGAUUGAGAAUUGUGAGAAACUAAUGAGCGGCCUAGCGUGGCCAUCCAUGGGCAUGCUUACUGAUCUCAGUGUUUGGGGUCGAUGUGAUGGCAUCAAGUCAUUCCCUAAGGAGGGUUUGCUGCCUCCCUCCCUUACGUCUUUGAAGCUAUAUGAGUUUUCAAAUCAGGAGAUGUUGGACUGCACGGGGCUUCUCCAUCUCACAUCCCUGCAAGAAUUAACCAUAAGGGAAUGUCCUUUGCUGGAGAAUAUGGUGGGAGAAAGGCUUCCUGUCUCUCUAAUAAAAUUAACCAUAAGCGGAUGUCCUUUGCUGGAAAAACAAUGCCGCAGGAAGCACCCUCAAAUUUGGCCUAAAAUAUCCCACAUCCGUCACAUUAAAGUUGACAGUAGAUUGAUUUAGUGACCAAGGAUGAGCACCGGGUAAUUCUCCUUCUUUGACCUACUUCAUCGUCUUCUAAGUCUAACCAAACAAAACUAUUUCAGUCAAGGAUAUCUUUCUUUUCAUGUCUUUUUAUUCUCACAGUUAAUUUAUUCAUUUCAUUCAACAAGUGUUAUUACCCUGAAGAAAUGUUAUUAAUCAAUGCCAUUGUAUUUGAACUUUCUCAAUAUAUCGGCAAUCAUGGUGGUUGUUUCAUCUUGUUACAUUCUCUGUCAGUGUUCAAAGUGUAAUUGGGUGUACUUUGUUUUUCAGAGAUGAUAGAUUGUCCUGUAGAAACUGCACCUGUCAAUGGAUAAGAAUUCAACUUUGACGUGACACCAGAAAGCUCAUAUUUAUGCGUGUAAAGCUGAUCUUCCAGGGCAAAAGGAGGAGGAAGCGAUGGCGCAGUCAGCUGAUGGCAAAGUGUUUAAGAUUGUUCCAUGUCACCAUCUGGAGCAUAGCACCAGCAACUCCCUGAGCAUACGGGCCUUAAGCCAUGACUUGACUGGUUCAGAUAGGUAAUAAUUACUGAAUUCAAGACACUAAUGCUUCUUAUUCUAUGAGGGUUCAUAUAAAAUUGACAAGGGUUUAGAUCUUGCUAGUAAUACCAAGGAUUCGUGAACCAACUUAACAAUCACACCAUGGAUGAUUUGAAAUAACAAAAUAAAUUGCAGUUCCUGUCUAACAUCUCUAGGAAAUUUUCCAGAACAUAAGUUCAACAAGGAAAACAAAGAAGAUAGAAAAAAUAAGACAAUGUUGUUUUCUUCUUAAUCUUAUAUUUUAUUGUUCCUCCCAUGCCUUGCAUCAAUUUUGUAACCUAUGUGAAACUUGGAUGAUUUAAAACACAAUAAUUACAAUGAACAAGGAAUAGAAACUAGAUCGUCUUGGGUAGGAGAUUGUGGUCUAUCUGAGAAGCAAAGUCCUGAUUUCAGUCUUUAACUAGAAUUCAUCAAGCUUAUCAUUCUCUAAGCUGAUUUAUUAGGCAAUUGUCUUUGUUCUUUCUCAUUCUUGUUUCUUAUUUCCCUCUAAAUUGGGCUCAGAGCUUUGUUCUUACUCAUUGUUUCUUAUUUUCCUUUAGAUCAUAUUUUCAAAAGUUGUUCAUGUCAUUGCAUGCAAUGUUUGCUUUCACCCAAAGGGGUGGCUUUGAUCAAAUUGACAAGGAUGAUUCCAACCUACCUCUGGAUACAGCUCCUAUUAAGCAUGUCACGCAGGUAUGCUGUCACAUAAUUGAAAAGUGUUAUCAUGGCUCUAACUACUUGUUAUAAAUUCUCUGCCACUACAAGUUUUCAUCCGAGUUGGGUUAUUAUUUUUUUUAUCUUUCAUCUUUUGUGAAUUUUCGUUUUUAGUUUCAUGAUUUUUUUGUCUUUUUUUAGUCCCAAAAAAAAUAUUGUUUUAUUUUUUGUUCUGAAUAUAUUUAGAAUUUUUUAGGGACUAAAAAUGAAACAAAAAAAUUGAGGGACUAUAAACAAAAAAAAAUUUAUAGACUAAGACCCGUCAAAAGAUUAAGAAGGACUAAAACAGUCACAAAAGACGAGAGACUAGCAAGUUAAAUAAAUCCUAUUGAUAUUAUUUUAUUAAUAUUGUGCUACAGGAAAUUUUAAAUUUACAAUUUAUAUUAUAAUACAAAAAUAUUUAUCUUUAUUUAUAUUCUUUUGAAAAUAUUGAAAUUCAAUUUAAAAAUAAGUAUGAAAAUGAAAAAUUAAACAGAGAUAAAAGUUUUAUAAAAAAUUUUAAAAUAUCUUGUUGAAAAAAAACUAAAAAUACUUUAGUUGAAGAAUAACUCUUAAAAAAAUAUUUUCCGAUACAAGAAACUCAUUUCAUUUCAGAUAAAACUAUAAAAAUUUACUAUAAAAAAAGGCAACUAAUGCGUUUAUCUGUUACUCACAACACAACUAAAAUAUAACUGUGGACUUAAGUUUUUCGAUUCGACAUUAACUACAAAUAAAAAACAGUAUUAGUUAGAUAACGAUCAUUUUAAUCUAAAAUAGAACUGAGCCAGUUUAAAUACUUAACUUACAAUCCAAAUUAAGUCUGUGGUGACAAUUGCAAACAAAUUAAAAACUGAAAUACUACUACACAUAAAAGACAAAGCCCCAACAUUUUUUUAAAUUUCAAUUCAAGGUUUAAUCAUCCAAUUUUUCUCAUAAACGCAGACUUCUUCCUUGCAUGCAUGCAAUUUUUCCUUCCCUUGUUUUCUCUAGGACAAAAGUUAUCACAGUGCAUACGUGACAAUCUACCCUCAAAACUCUCAGCAUCAAUCAAACAGUCACAAGAAAAGGCCAUAAAACACUACGAUGCUAAUGCCACAAAAUGGUGGCAGUCGUGGUGAUGUCCAUGUUGAGGAUAACCAAAACAUGUCCUUUCCGUCGUGGGAGGGAACCUUUAUGAGGUGCUUCACUGCAAUAGAUGAAAAGCUUGCUAAGAACAUUGACACUGAUGGAUUUCAUGGCGGUAGCACUUCUGUAUCUGUACUCAAACAGGUAUAACUAGACCUUCACAAUUACAUUACCUUCUUGCCAAUGUUGCUUUUGCAAUUAUGUUUUUUCUUUUUUUGUGAAUACUUUUGCAACAAUGUUAUAACCACAUCUUUUUCCCCCUUUAAAUUUCAGGGUGAGCAAGUAAUAAUUGGCAAUGUGGGGGAUUCUCGUGCAGUUCUUUGCAGAAGAGCACCUGACAAUCACCUUAUUCCUGUUCAACUUACUGUUGACUUGACUCCAGAUAUUCCAAGUAUUGUUGACUUGACUCCAGAUAUUCCAAGUAUGUUUUGGUAUUACCUAUUCUUAGUUUCCAAAUCUUACAACCCUUUUUAGUUUAUUUGGUUAAAUUGUCUAAUUAAGCCAUAUUCAUUAAGAACUUAUUAGAUGAGAGCUUCUUUCAGGACUUGUUUGGGUAAGUUUAUUGAUAGGGAGAAGGGCGUACAUGAGGAAGAAGCAAGAAGGAUGUACACGAGGAAGAAGCAGGGGUGUCCAGCUGGCAUGAGGAUAGUGGGUGUAUCAAAUAUGUUGUCUGCCACCACUCCUAGCACUAAUAAUUUGUUAGGAUUUCUGUUGUAAGAACAUUCUAGUAUAUCAGCCAAGUUCUAUAUAUAUGGUGAUGGGUGUAAUCCAGAUUAUGGAAAAAAAGAAUAUUGCCUUUACCUUGAAUUGUUCUUUUUCUCCCUUAUUCUCUGGAGGUACUGACCCUCGAAGUCAGCUAGUUUUUCCCUGCACGUAACAAUUUGGUGCUUUCAUUGAGAGCCCAUGGCCGCCUUCCAUGGCUGCCAUAGCCAUUUGCACACACCUUCGUUGCUGCACACCCCUCCUCCCUUUGCACAUCCAACUCAAUUCCUUGGGAUUGAUUUUGAAAGUACCCGCCAACGGUUGCUGAGUUUGUUCGAUUCUGAGAGGACCCCUCCUUCAUUUCAACAACCACCAUACGAAGCUUCCAUGGCUGUCGUCCAUGGCUGCCACUUGCCGUACGGAGCUUCAAUAUUCUACUGAAUGGCCAUAAGCUACUUCUACAAGUCCAAAUAAGUUUUAUGAAAUUCUUCCUAAUGUCCCUUGGUCUGUGUCUAACUAGCUUUUCUUCCUCAAUGUCACUCAGGAGAAGCUAUGAGAAUUUUUGCUGUAGAAGAAGAUCCUACUGUAAACAGAGUAUGGAUGCCUAAAAGGGACUGCCCUGGACUGGCUAUGGCAAGGGCCUUUAGAAAUUUUUGCCUAAAAGACUAUGGUGUCGCCUCAGUCCCUGAUGUGUCUUAAAGAAAACUUACCAAGAAGGAUAAGUGUGUGGUUUUGGCUUCUGAUGGGGUAAGCAUUUUCAUAUCAGGAUGUCAACUUCGAAUUAUGGAUUUUGAUUCUUGAGUAAUCAGUUAUAGGAACAGAACAAUCAUUAUUAGUGUUUAAGUUAUGCUCAAUUCUCGUAUUCCUCUCAAUCCAAAUAUGUUUGCAAAUAUUUGAUCAAAUAGUGUAAGAAAAGAAAUAACCACGAAGGUUAAAUGAAUUAACAGCAUGUAGUUUCCACACAUACGUAUUUAGUUCAUAUUGGACAAAAAUUAGAUGCAGUUAGUUCUAUAAGUGCUUUCAUUGUUGUCUUUCAAUUAGAAUUAGAGUUUUAUCAAGUAAUCCGUGUAAUAAAGGUUUCAAUUAAAAGUCAACAUAGACUACUAAGGUGAAAUCCAAUUUUGAUUGAAGAACAAUGUUAAAAGCACCUGUAAAACUGUAUCUAAGUUUUGUCCCAGCAUAUUUGGCACAAAUAAUAGCUUAUUUUUAUCAAUUUCCUAAGAGAGCUUUUAAUCAAUAAACAACAACCAAUUAACUUCUCAAAAUUUAUCCCAACCAAAAAGGUCUAAAUUUUCUUUCUUACAGAUUUGGGAUGUGCUAACAAACAGUGAAGUAAUAAACAUAGUUGCGUCAGCACCAAAAAGGUCCAUGGCAGCCAAAUUGUUAGUAAACCAUGCUGUUCGGGCUUGGAAAUAUAAGUAUGGUUUCAAGGUAGAUGAUUGUUCGUCCAUAUGCUUGUUCUUGAAGGAUUAGCCUGCUUUAACCCAAUCCUGAUCCAAAGUGAGUGAGAACAAUAGACAUCCCUUGAAGCACCUGCAUUUCUCAUAAUCUAGACAUGUAAAUACUGAAAUUGUAGAUAUGGCAAGAGUAUGGUAGAAUCAAAAGGAAGAAUGGGAUGCUCUUGGAGGGUUCUCCAGAGCGAACUUUGAAUCAUAGAUUGCAAUCACCUCAGUACCUCAAGGAGGGUUGAAGCUGAUCACUAACUCAGCCAGAAACUCCCCGAAUCCAAGGGCUAGUGCUACUAACAAGUUAACAAUUGUACGGCCAGAAGAUUUUGGUUUUGACACAAACCCAGAAGAAGGCAAUUAUUUUAGCCUUCUAAUUCUGGUGUGAUUACAUGCAAGACUUCUUUUCUAUCUGCAUAAGACCAACAUUGAUCAAUUUUAGCACUCUAUAUUAUGGUACCAUAAAACUUUUUUAUUUUCUGGCUUGGGUUCUAAAGAGUUCAAUGAAGAACUAAGCUGCACCUACUUUUCUAUUUCUCUUCAAUUAUUUCCUAGUGUGCUGUGUUGACACUAACAUUCAGCAUAAAACAUUACUAGACACUAGAACCAGAGGGGUUAUACUAUUGCUGAGCAUUUUGAAGCUUAAGAAUGAAUCUUCAAAAGUAAAAGGUGAUCAAUUAACAACCCAGGAAAUGAAAUUUUAUUAAUAACUUCCAGAACUUCUGGAAAAUGAUUACAACACCAAAAUAAUGUUAUUUGGCCUAAAAACAUGCCUUAUAAUUAUUAAGAGUAACGCCAAAGUUGAAAAACACGAUGUUAAAUAUAUUUUUUAUUCUUAAUAAAUAUCUAAAUUUUGUAUUUUUUUCUAAUAAAAUAUUAAAUUAAAAAAAUUAUAGUUUCAACAAUUUUUUUAUCAGUCAUAGUUUCAACAAUUUUUUUGAUUGAUCUAAGUUCCUCAAGUUUUCUCUAUCUUUGUUUUUAGUUAUUUUCAUCAAAUAUCAUUAUUUAUGAAUGAUGCGUAAACACGUGCACGACUAAUACGAUGUAAUAAUCACAUAAUAAAAAUAUUAUUGGUUCAAGAUAUUUUUUGAGAGUUUCAAGGUGCUACAAAUUUUUUUGAUGGUGUAAAACUACUAGAAAAAGUUUUGAAGUUUUGAAAAAAAAAAACAAAAAGGAGAUGUAUUAAGUAAAAUCAAUAAAUCAUAAAGAAGAAUUUACACAAAUAAACAUCCCACAAAACCAUUCUCUAAAACAUAAUCCAUAACUUAAUGAGAAUAGAAUUCUCAUCCUUAAAAAAAACGAAUUCUCAUAUGUUUAGAACUAUAUAUUGACGAUGUCAUACUAGUAGAUAUGAGAGAUUAAAAGCAUAGUUUAUAAAAAAAAAUUAUAAUCAAUAUCUUGCCAAAUUUGUUAAUAAUGUAAUAAGUUAAUGAAUUAUCAUAUUUCUGUUGCAUUAUCAAUCAACAUUAGUUGAUAGUAGAGACUAAAAUAAAAGAUAUUAAAUUUUUAUAGGGACUAAAAAAAUAAAAAAUUAAAGGACAAAACCAAAAAUAAGAUAUAUUAUAGCGACCAAAUAAUUAUUUAAGUCUUCUAUUUUUUUUUCUUUUUCCUAAUAUACCCUUUUCUUCCUUAAUUUCUCUCUUUUCCCCUUUGUCUCCUUCUUCCUAAGUAUCUUCUUGUCACCUUUCUUUGCAAACUCGUCUCUGAUGCUGAUAUGGCUUUGCCUGAAUCCCUGUGCUCCUCAUUACAUGCAUCCCCAUGUUCACGCAUAUCCUUGUGCUUUUAGCGUUACGUGUUGGCAAGACUAUGAUGGCGACAGCUGUGACGUUGCCGAGUGGAUCUUACUCCCUUUGUUGCAGCUAUCAUGGGGGACCAUGGCGAUUGCCACUAGAUCCCUUUGGAUUCUCUCUGAUUUUUGUGAUGUCGUUAGGAUUUUCCUAUAACAUUCGUGAAAUAUUCUGAAAUAUCGAAAGAUGAUUCCGAUGAUGGUUACAGGUGGGCGACAAUCACAAGGGGAAGAUGAAGAAGAGCAGAAGUAACACGGAUGGUGAUUUUUUAUAGUGUACGACGGCUAAUGCAGAGAGAAAAUAGAGGAGUAAAUUGAAAAAGAGUAGGAUAAAAAACAAAAUAAAAAAGAAAGAAGAAAAGUAUUGUCCAUAAAAUUAAAAAUGUAUAUAUCUAAUGACUUGAAAUAUGUUUCAAAUAAUGAGAUAUGAAGUGAGGUCCCACUCUAGCCAUCUUCAAGAAAUUACUGUCUCUCUGUUUAUAUAUAUAAUACUUAAUUACUUAAUUCAUGAAGAUUAAGAAAAUUGAUUAAUUUAAUUGAUAACAAUAAAUUUAUCUUAAAUUUAUAAUUUUUUUCAAAAUUAUUAUCAUUUAUACUCCCCUCUCUCCUAAUUGUUUGUCAAUAUAUCUUUUCUCUUUCUUAACUAGGGACAUUUCUAAUAUAGAAUUAAUUAAUACAUAAAACAUUAUAGAUUACGUCUUAUAAAAAAUAAAUAUCAUUUUAAAUUUGAGUCUUAUAAAUAAAAAUGGAAUGAGUAGUCUUUAACUCUUUAUACUUGCCUUUUCCUACUAUUUGGUUAAGAAGAAUGAAAGAGAAUUGAAAGUAUACAGAGUUGAAAGACAAUGAAAGAAGAUGGUCUAGGAUGUUUGUUACAUGUGAAAAUUUGAUGAAAGUUUCAAAAAUAAUGUGAGACCCACAUGUUUUUACUUUCAUCUCAAAAAGAGAAUAAAAGGGAGGAAAAGAAACAAUAAAAAGGAUGCUAUACACAAAAUUCUUGGUUGCUAAAAUUGUUCCUCAAGCCCCUCAUUAACCUUCAGUGGAACUUUUAAAUUAGGGUAUCAUGUCACAUAUAAUAAGUUAUUCAAAUGUCAUAGUUGAUUAUGCUUAGUUUGCAAUCAAGUUUGCUUUCUAGUGGCUUUUACUCAAGAUAUAAUCAAUUAUAUAUGCAAUUUAUAUAAUUGAUUAUGUGACUUUAAUUAGUAAAAGAAUAUACAUUUUUAUCUCAUAUAUAUAGUUACAUAAACUUAUUUUUUUGGGGUAAAAUGAAUGUUUACUUAAUCUCUUUUUCAGUUAUUUUUCUUUUAUUAUUGACCUAAACACUUUAGUUUAAGCAUUUCAUUUCUUUUACACUUUUUUUUUUCCAUCUCAAUCAAAUAACUUUAUUUUUUUUAUUCUUUUUUCAUUUUUUUUUUGAAGAGAGUCUCUUCUCAUUUCAACUUUCUUUCAUUUAUUUUCAUUCCUUUUCACACUACAUACAGUUAGACUUAGGCUGCCAUUAUGAUGGAGAAAAGUAAUAUACAAAAAAAAUUAUAUAUUUUAUUCGAUGGGAUCCACAUCUCUUAUAUUUUACUUUAAUUAUUUUUUUCAUUUUUUUCCUCUGCCUUUCCUUCUUCUAAAUCAAAUGCCCCCUACACAAUUCCAUCCUAUGAGACAAAUGUGUGUUUAAAAGAAAAAGUUUAUAGAUAUGCGUCAAUUGUAACUUUUGAUGCGGAAGUUAAUUAGCUAGCUUUAACAGCAUGCACGUUUAGGAGAAAAUGCAAGAAAAUCCAAAGGGGCAAUAAUAAAGCUGGUUGGGAGUGGAUUCCAAAUCAUCAAAUCAAAUCAAAUUCUCCCAUUGCUCCAAUGAGUUGUCCUCCCACAAAUUAAGCUCCAAUCUUCUAGAAAUAAGGUUUUAAAUAGCCAAGGAUUAAGAUUAAUUGUUGAAGGACAAAUUCAAUGCCAUGUACUCCACACAACAAGACAUCUGAAUGAGUAAUUAAUGAUAUAUGAAUUAUCAUUUAUUUUAAUCAUUUUAUUUUUUAUCUAUCUGUCACAUCAUAAAUUAUAUUACACCUAUAUUUUUCCUUUUUUUCCCUAUAUGUUGAAUAAAUUUUUGGAUGUUAUCAAACAUGUUCCCAUCUAAAUUGAGCUAGAUCUGAUUCAUCCGAAAGAGGAUCCAAGUAUCCAUAAGAUGAUUUUAAAGAGAGAAAAGAAGGAAAUACCAUGAUUUGAAUCCCUUUUAUUAACAAAAUCUAACAACUAAUGUCUAAAAAAAUUAAGCAAAUUAAUAAUUACACUAAUUACACUAUUUUUUUGGUAUUCAUAUAAUUCUUAUCUCUUCCCAACAAAUAUUACCAUGCAAAAAAUGUUUUUUUGGAUCUGCAUCAAUACCCAAAGAUGUGGAUAAAAGAUGUUAAUACAUUCAGUGAAAAUUUCUUUAUUAUCUUAAAAAUAUUUUCCUUUUGAAUAAUAAAUAUAAUUUUCACAAUUAGUUGAGUGUACUUUGUUUUUCAGAGAUGGUAGAGUGGUCCAGAGAAACUGCACCUGUCAAUGGAUAUGAAUUCAACUUUGAACAAGAUCUAAACAGAACUUCUGAUUUAAUUGACGUGAAAGUGAUCCUUUCUCAAUAGCUGAAUUUUUAAUUGGAAAGCUUUUCAUUGGACAUCAGACUAUAAGAGGACAACUACAAAGGAUAAUCUCAGAUCUUUCAGUAAGGCAUGCUUCCCAUGCAUAUAUUGACAGAUAACUGAAAAUGUUUCAUAUCAUUUAAUUUCUAACCAUUUCAAAUUCUUUGGCAAAACAUAUCUGAGGUUUUCUUUUUUUCCAUUAUUAUUGUGUUGUAGGAAAUUGUAGUAUACUGCUCUCUACCAAGGUUAUCCAUUGAUGCAAGGAAGAAUGUGCUGCAGCAAACUAUACACUUCAAAUAAUUUGAUGUUUUACUUUUUUGCCAAAUAUUGUGCUGCAGCAAACUAUACACAUACUGUGUUGUUGCCAUCUCUAAUCUAGUCUUGAUACUAGUGUUCAAAAUGAGAAUGAACUGGAAGCAACAGAAUCACCAAUUCACAAAGCCUUUGAUGCUUAAGAUCAGAGUGGAGGUGGUGCUUUCAUCAGAGUUUCAUCAAGUCCGCUGAGAAACAAUCAUCAUACUUCUACAAGAGAAGCUUGGGCACCUUUGUAGUUCUGGCAAGUCAUUUUGGAUCUAGACAAGAGCCAGGGAGGUUAGAAGUUUUCAUCAGGACUAAGGGGUUUGCUCUAUGAAAUAUAAAUGGAAGACAAGUACAUUCUUGGGGUGAAACACCAUGACAGAGACUGAGUUUAUGACAGAUGGGACAUUUUGCUCUGCUUUUAGUUUAACUGAAUCUUCUGGUGAAGACACUGAACUAUGAAGUAUCUUCUGGGAAAGAUUUAUGUGGUGUCUUGCAAAAAUAACAGUGAUGUAAUAAACAUAGUUGCCCUUAUCAGAUUUAAGUUGCAAACAUUCAAAUCUUUACACUGCCACGGCCACAUAGAUUGCAAACAUUCAAGGCCCAAUGGUGGAGUCCAUGGUCGAGGCCAUCUCCAGCAUCGAGACAACUUGCCUCCAACAUUUAAAAUUGAGGGAUUGUUCGUCAGCUAUAUCUUUUCCAGGUGGUCGUCUACCUGCAUCUCUGAAGACUCUGGUUAUCAGCAAUCUUAAAAAUCUGGAAUUCCCGACCCAACACAAGCACCAGUUACUAGAAUCACUGUUUCUAUAUAAUAGUUGCGAUUCUCUCAAGUCUCUUCCAUUGGUUACCUUUCCAAAUCUCAAAAGUCUCCCAAUCGAAAACUGUGAACACAUGGAAUCUCUUUUGGUUUCAGGGGCAGAGUCAUUUAAGAGUCUGUGUUCUUUGAGAAUUUCCCAAUGCCCCAACUUUGUAUCAUUCUGGAGAGAAGGAUUGCCUGCGCCCAAUUUGACUGAUUUUGAAGUUUUGCAUUGCGACAAGUUGAAGUCAUUACCUGACAAAAUGAGUACUCUUCUCCCAAAGUUAGAAUAUCUUGACAUAUCCAACUGCCCAGAAAUUGAGUCGUUUCCAGAAGGGGGGUAUGCCACCUAACCUGAGAACAGUUUGGAUUGUCAAUUGUGAGAAACUACUGAGCGGCCUAGCAUGGCCAUCCAUGGGCAUGCUUACCCAUCUCUAUGUGGGGGGUCGAUGUGAUGGCAUCAAGUCCUUCCCUGCAAGAAUUAACCAUAGAGAGAUGUUCUUUGCUGGAGAAUAUGGUGGGAGAAAGGCUUCCUGUCUCUCUAAUAAAAUUAACCAUACAGAGUUGUCCUUUGCUGGAAAAACAAUGCCGCAGGAAGCACCCUCAAAUUUGGCCUAAAAUAUCCCACAUCCGUCACAUUAAGGUUGACCAUAGAUGGAUUUAGUGACCAAGGAUGAGCACCGGGUAAUUCUCCUUCUUUGACCUACUUCAUCGUCUUCUAAGCCUAAAAGGGACUGCCCUGGAUUGGCUAUGGCAAGAGCCUUUGGAAAUUUUUGCCUAAAAGACUAUGGUGUCGCCUCAGUCCCUGAUGUGUCUUACAGAAAUCUUACCAACGAGGAUAAGUUUGUGGUUUUGGCUUCUGAUGGGGUAAGCAUUUUCAUAUCAGGAUGUCAACUUCGAAUUUUGGAUUGUGAUUCUUGAAUAAUCAUUUACAAGAACAGAACAAUCAUUGUUAGUGUUUAAAUGAUGCUCAAUUUUCUCAUUCCUCUCAAUCCAAAUAUGUUUACAAAUAUUUGAUCAAAUAGUAUAAGAAAAGAAAUAACCAAGAAGAUUAAAUGAAUUAACAGCAUGUAGUUUUCACACAUACAUGUUUAAUUCAUAUUGGACAAAAAUUAGAUGCUGUUAGUUCUAUAAGUGCUUUCUUUGUUGUCUUUCAAUAGGAAUUGGAGUUUCACCUAGCAAUCCGUGUAAUAAAGGUUUCCAUUAAAAGUCAACAUAGACUACUAAACUGAAAAUCCAAUUUAGAUUGAAGAACAAUGUUAAAAGCACCUAUGAAACUAUAUCUAAGUUUUGUCCCAGCAUAUUUGGCACAAAUAAUAGCUUAUUUUCAUCAGUUUCCUAAGAGAGCUUUUAAGCAAUAAACAACAACCAAUUAACUUCUUAAAAAUUAUCCCAACCAAAAAGGUCUGAAUGUUCUUUCUUAGAGAUUUUAAGCAUGACUAAGAAUUAUAAACAGCAACACCAAAGUUGAAAAAUAAGUUUAAAUAUAUUUUUUUUUCUCAAUAAAUAUUUAAAUUUAAUAUUUAUUUUCUGAUAAAAAAAUUGCAGUAAGUUCCUAUAAAAAAAAAGUCAUUUAUUAUUAGUCUUUUGAAAUGGAGUCAUAAUAAAUGAAAUACAUUAUCCUAAAACAAACAUAUAAUUUUUUAAUUUAUCAUGAACUAAAACAUAACAUAAAAAACAAAAAUAUACAUUAAUACUUAAAUACAAAACUAGAAUAUUUAUUAGAAAUCAGGCCAAUAUAUUAGCCUAUAAAAAAAUAAAGGCAGACCUCCUAUAUGAGGGCAAUUUUAUCCAAAAAAAUGCAGAGUGUCCUUGCCCUUUCUAUAUGAGGGCAAUUUUAUCCAAAAAGAUAGAUACGUGGAAAGUCACACAAUGGGGUGGACCACACACAUGUCUGAAUAUGACCAUGACACAAGAUCACGAGAAACUUGAUUCAGAUUUGAUUGCUACUUGUGUAGUAGGUACGUAUUUUAUGUUCAUAUUAUGUUCAUUUUUUGUUAAUUCUCAUUUAAAUUUUCAUAUAUGUUCUACAAAUAAAUUAAAUUACAUACAAAUAUAAAUUUUAAUAUAUAACAAUUUUUAUAUUUGCGGCUAAAAAUUAAAACAAUAUAUAUAUACAAAAUUAAUAACUUAAAAUACUUACCACUAAAAUAAUUUAGCAUACAAAAUUAAUUAUUUCAAAUACGUUAAACUAUUCUAAUUUUAACAUAUUAUAUGAAACUCAUAAUAACUACAACCUACGUAAUAUAAAAUUUUUUAUUGUUAUCUAAUUUAAAUUUUUUAAUUUAUAGUAUGUAUAACUAUUCCUAAUUUUUCAUAUAAAAUAUUUAAACUAAAUGUAAUGUAUCAUAUAAAAAAUUUAAACUAAACCUAAUCCAAAAUUAAUAAGUUAUGGAACCUAAAACUAUUUUUAAUCUAUUAUAUAAAUUUUUUUAAUUAAACCUAAUCUACCAUAUAAAAAUUAAAACCAUUUCUAAUUUAUCAUAUUAAAUAUUUAAACUAAAUGUAAUGUACCAUAUAAAAAAAUUUAAACCAAUUCUAAUCUAAAAUUAAUAACUUAUGGAACCUAAAACUAUUUUUAAUGUAUUAUAUAAAUUUUUUUAACUAAACCUAAUCUAUCAUAAAAAAAUUAAAACUAUUCCAAAUUUAUCAUAUCAAAUAUUUAAACUAAAUAUAAUGUAGCAUAUGCAAAAUUUAAAUUAAACCUAAUCUAAAAUUAAUAAGUUAUGAAACGCCAAACUAUUCUUAAUCUACUAUAUAAAUUUUUUUAUAUAAACCUAACUUACCAUAUAAAAAUUUAAAGUAUUUCUAAUCUAUCAUAUAAAAUUAAUAACUUACAUUUCCUAAAACUAAAACUAUUUCUAAUCUACCACAUAAAAAAUUUAAAAUAAAUUCUAAUCUAUCAUAUAAAAUUAAUAACUUAUCUUUCCUAAAACUAAAACUAUUUCUAAUCUACCAUAUAAAAAAUUUAAAAUAAUUCUAAUCUACUAUAUAAAAGUAAGAACUCAAACUAAUAAUAUUAACAAAUGAAACUAAUAAUAUUAACAAAUAAACUAAAUCUAAUGUUUCUUAUAACACAAAUAAUAGCAUACUAAAACUAAACCUAAUAUUAUUUAAAACUAAAUCUAAAAAUAAAUGUACUCUAUAAAACUAUAAUUAUCAAAUUAAAUUUAAUUUAUUAUUUCUAACUAAAACUAACUUAACAUAAAAAAAACUAAUAACAUAUAUUACUAAUUAUCAACAGAAUAUAAAUAAAAUAAAAAACUAAUUAAACAAACUUACUUGAAAAAAUUACAAAUGAAGCAAACUUUUCACAGCUCUUCUUCUUUCUCCCACACAGCAAGCUUCUUCUUCUUUUCUGCAUUCGCGUGAAUGCUCUACGGGGGAGGGGGGGAUUUAAGCACCAUUUUGCAAUGAAGUCGCUGCUGGGGCUGGCGAUUUGGCCCAACCAAAUCGCCAUUCAGCCUGGCGACACCCUGCUGCACCUCCUUUGCACGUCGCAGGCUGCAAGCCUCCUGGGAAAUGAUCUCUGCAGUCCCCUAGGCUGAAUCGCCAAGAGCAGUGGCGCUUUCACUGUGGCGCCAACAGUGCUGGCGUUUCCCACGUCUCAAAUCGCCAGCAGUAAUGGCGCUUUCCUCCCCCCUCGACACGUGUCCGCCAUGCACGAAGUCGUCAUCAGAAAUGGCGCAUCCCAUGCUGGGGGCGUGCAAAAACAGCACCCCCUAGGAAAUACUUUCCAAACAGCCCUAAACUGGGAAUAACUUUGUAAAACAGCGCCUCGUUGGGAAAUUUGCCUCCACCCAGAUACCACGUUCAACAAGUAUCCAACCACACCGCUACACCUUGUCAAAAACCAACCCAGUUUUGUAACCAAUUUCUUUCCUUUAUCUUUCUCAUUCAGAUCAUGGCUGAGGCAGUUGGUGGUGCGUUUCUCUCUGCUUUCCUUGAUGUUGUGUUCGACAAGCUGGUCACCGAUGAUGUUGUUGACUUCAUCCGUGGAAAGAAGCUUGACCUCAAUUUGCUUGAGAACUUGAAGACCACUCUGAGACUGGUUGGAGCUGUGCUUGACGAUGCUGAGAAGAAACAAAUCAAACUCUCCAGUGUCAACCAGUGGCUCAUUGAGCUCAAAGAUGCUCUCUAUGAGGCCGAUGACUUGCUGGAUGAAAUUUCUACCAAAUCUGCAACUCAAAAGAAGGUUAGUAAAGUGUUUUCUCGCUUUACCGAUAGGAAAAUGGCCAGUAAGUUGGAAAAAGUAGUUGGCAAAUUAGAUAAAGUUCUAGAAGGCAUGAAGGGUCUUCCUUUGCAAGUGAUGGCAGGAGAGAGCAACGAGUCGUGGAAUGCUCAGCCAACAACAUCUCUGGAAGAUGGAUAUGGUAUGUAUGGUAGGGAUACAGACAAGGAGGCCAUAAUGAGGUUGUUGUUAGAGGAUAGCAGUGAUGGUGUGCAAGUGUCUGUGACCGCUAUUGUAGGCAUGGUUGGGGUUGGAAAAACCACUUUAGCCCGAUCUGUGUUCAACGAUGGCAAUUUGAAGCAGAUGUUUGAUUUAAAUGCUUGGGUCUGUGUUUCUGAUCAAUUUGAUAUUUUGAAGGUAACAAACUAUGAUAGAGCAAGUUACGCAUGAAUCUUGUAAAUUGAAUGAUCUUAAUUUACUUCAACUUGAAUUGAUGGACAAGCUGAAAAGUAAAAAAUUCUUAAUUAUCUUGGAUGACGUUUGGAUCCAAGAUUACGAUAGCUGGAGUAAUCUGACAAAAUCAUUUCUACACGGGAUAAGGGGAAGUAAAAUUCUCUUGACAACCCGCAAUGAAAAUGUAGUGAAUGUAGCCCCUUACCAUAUUGUUCAAGUUUAUCCUCUAAGUAAAUUGUCAAAUGAAGAUUGUUGGCUAGUGUUUGCAAACCACGCAUUUCCUCUCUCAGAAUCAAGUGGGGAGGAUAGAAGAGCUUUAGAAAAAAUUGGAAGGGAGAUUGUUAAAAAGUGUAAUGGAUUGCCUUUAGCAGCACGGUCACUCGGAGGUAUGUUGAGAAGAAAGCAUACCAUUAGGGAUUGGAAUAAUAUACUUGAAAGUGAUAUUUGGGAACUUCCUGAAAGUCUGUAAUAUUAUUCCCGCCUUGAGAAUUAGUUAUCAUUAUCUCCCUCCACAUCUAAAACGGUGCUUUGUUUAUUGUUCAUUGUACCCGAAAGAUUAUGAAUUUAAAAAAAAUGACUUGAUCUUGCUGUGGAUGGCUGAAGAUCUUUUGAAGCUUCCAAACAGAGGAAAGGCGUUAGAAGUUGGUUAUGAUUAUUUUGAUGAUUUAGUUUCAAGAUCAUUUUUUCAACAUUCAACAAGUAAUUUAACUUGGGACAAUUGUUUUGUAAUGCAUGACCUCGUGCAUGAUCUUGCAUUAUCCCUUGGUGGAGAAUUCUACUUCAGAUCAGAAGACCUUGGAAAAGAAACCAAGAUUGGUAUGAAGACUCGUUAUUUGUCAGUUACAAAGUUCAGUGAUCCAAUCUCACAAAUUGAAGUUUUUGACAAACUACAAUUUUUGAGAACUUUCUUGGCAGUUGAUUUUAAAGAUUCUCCGUUCAACAAGGAAAAGGCACCAGGUAUUGUAGUCUUGAAGCUCAAGUGCUUGAGAGUUUUAUCAUUUUGUGGCUUUGCAAGUCUGGAUGUUUUGCCUGAUUCAAUUGCUAAAUUGAUCCACUUGCGUUAUUUAAAUCUCUCUUUUACAAGUAUUAAAACACUGCCAGAGUCAUUGUGUAAUUUGUACAAUCUACAAACUCUGGUGUUGUCUCAUUGCGAAGUGCUGACCAGGUUGCCUACUCACAUGCAAAAUCUUAUAAACUUGUGUCAUCUUCAUAUUAAUGGUACUCAUAUAGAAGAGAUGCCUAGAGGAAUGGGAAUGUUAAGUCAUUUGCAGCAUUUGGAUUUCUUUAUUGUGGGCAAGCACAAAGAGAACGGAAUCAAAGAACUGGGGACACUUUCAAAUCUUCAUGGUUCGCUUUCUAUUAGGAAUUUGGAGAAUGUAACCAAAAGCAAUGAAGCAUUGGAGGCUAGGAUGCUGGAUAAGAAGAAUAUAAAUGAUUUAUCGUUGAAAUGGUCUAAUGGCACUGACUUCGAAAUUGAAUUAGAUGUACUGUGCAUAUUAAAACCUCACCCAGGCCUGGAAUCUCUAUCAAUAUGGGGUUAUAAUGGAACUAUAUUUCCAGAUUGGGUGGGAAAUUUUUCCUUCCACAACUUGACAAGUCUAAGGUUACGUGAUUGUAAUAACUGUUGUGUGUUUCCUUCGCUUGGGCAACUACCAUCUCUUAAGAAGCUCUAUAUUUCAAACUUGGGUUCAGUGAAGACUGUUGAUGCAGGGUUUUACAAAAAUGAAGAUUGUCCUCCUGUGACACCCUUUUCUUCCCUUGAAAUUCUAGAAAUAUAUAACAUGUGUUGCUGGGAGUUGUGGUUCACCCCUGAUUCAGAUGCCUUUCCUCUACUUAAGUCUCUCAAAAUAGUGGAUUGCCCCAAUCUAAGGGGAGAUUUGCCAAAUCAACUUCCUGCUCUGGAAACACUUAUGAUUAGAAAUUGCGAGCUUCUUGUCUCUUCUCUCCCAAGGGCUCCCAUCCUUAAGAGAUUUGAGAUAUGUGAAAGCAAUAAUGUAUUGCUGCAUGUGUUUCCUCUUUUUUUGGUCGAGGCCAUCACCAGCAUCGAGCCAACUUGCCUCGAACAUUUAACAUUGAACAAUUGUUCGUCAGCCAUAUCUUUUCCAGGUGGUCGUCUACCUGCAUCUCUGAAGGCUCUGGAUAUCAGCAAUCUUAAAAAUCUGGAAUUCCCGACCCAACACAAGCACGAGUUACUGGAAUCACUGAUACUAUAUAAUAGUUGUGAUUCUCUCACGUCUCUUCCAUUGGUUACCUUUCCAAAUCUCAAAACUCUCCAAAUCAAAAACUGUGAAAAUAUGGAAUCUCUUUUGGUUUCAGGGUCAGAGUCAUUUAAGAGUCUGAAUUAUUUUAAGAUUACGGGAUGCCCCAAUAUUGCAUCAUUCCCGAGAGAAGGACUGCCUGCGCCCAAUUUGACUUAUUUCGCUGUUAAGUAUUGCAACAAGUUGAAGUCAUUGCCUGAUGAGAUGAAUAAUCUGCUCCCAAAGUUAGAAUAUCUCCAAGUUAAGCACUGCCCAGAAAUGGAGUCGUUUCCUGAACGGGGUAUGCCAGCUAACUUGAGAACAGUUUGGAUUAUCAAUUGUGAGAAACUACUCAGAGAUCUAGCACGGCCAUCCAUGGGUAUGCUUACUCAUCUCUAUCUUUGUGGUCCAUGUCAUGGCAUCAAGUCCUUCCCUAAGGAGGGUUUGCUGCCUCCCUCCCUUAUGUCUCUGUAUCUAGAUAACUUGUCAAAUCUGGAGAUGUUGGACUGCACGGGGCUUCUCCAUCUCACAUCCCUGCAAAAAUUAACCAUAGAUAGAUGUCCUUUGCUGGAGAAUAUGGUGGGAGAAAGGCUUCCUGUCUCUCUAAUAAAAUUAACCAUAAAGAGUUGUCCUUUGCUGGAAAAACAAUGCCCAAGGAAACACCCUCAAAUUUGGCCGAAGAUUUCCCAUAUCCGUGCUAUCAAGGUUGGCGGUAGAUGGAUUUAGUGGCCUAGGAUGAGCACCAGGUAAUUCUCCUUCUUUGACCUACUUUAUCGUCUUCUAAGUUUAACCAAGCAAAACUAUUUCAGUCAAGGAUAUCUUUCAUUUCGAGUCAUUUUACCCUCACAUUUAAUUUAGUCAUUGCAUUCAACAAGUGUUAGGUUAGUUGUUCAGUUUGAUACUUGGUAGGAAUUGCGGGUGUAAACAAAAGCAAAUUCUUUUGUAUAGAUUUUAUUUACUUCAGAAAUGACUAGAUUUCUUGUGUAUGAACUGAUUCUGAAAUGGAAAUUGAUGUACUAUAUAUGUUACUGAAUCUACAGGGAAUAACAGCAUUAUUAAAGGCAAGAUAUAUGAGAAUGUUUCUUAUGAUCCUCUAGCUUCAAAGAAGAAAUAACAAUUGGGUGUACUUUGUUUUUCAGAGAUGGAAGAUUGGCCAGCAGAAACUGCACUUGUCAAUGGAUAAUUUAACAUUGAACUAUAUCUAAAUGGUGUGUAAAGCUGAUCUUCCAGGGCAAAAGGAGAAAGAAACAAGGGUCUGGUCUGAUGAUGGCAGAGUGUUUCAGAUAAGGAGAGUGGGGAACAAUGAGAAACUCAACUGAAUAAGAUUGUUCCAUGGCACCAUCUAGAGCAUAGCACCAGCAACUCCCUGAGCAUACAGGCCUUAAGCCAUUACUUGGCUGGUUCGGAUAGGUAAUAAUUACAGAAUUCACUAAGACAUUAAUGCUUCUUUGAUAGAGAAAGAGGGGUGCAGCAAGUAACAGAGGUGCAACAAGCAAACCCAAGACAGGGUACAAACAGCAACACAGAGACCCAAACAGAAGGCAGAGCAAAGAGGGUGAUUAACAAACCUUCAUACCUGAAGGAUUUUGUGUGAUGAGGGAUGAGCUGGCACUAGAAAAAUCUGCAAGGAUUUGUUGUCGAGAAUCAGGAGGCAACCAUAACAAAUUUCCAUAUUUUGUAAUCUUUGCACCUAGCACAGAAUCACAAUUCUGUUAGGAAUUUCAUUAUAAAUAUGGACUCAUUGUAAUAAGCAGAUUAUGAAUGAAAUACUUAGCUUUGAAUUUCUUCCCUUCUUUUCCCUCUGGAGGAACUGGUCCUCGAAAACAGCCAAUUCAUACCUAACAUUUGGUGCUCUCGUUCCCCAUGGCCGAUCAGCCUCACAGCACCUCAUCCUCUCCGCUCGAAACCGCCAUCCUCAAGCUUACCACCCGACAGGUCUCCCUUGGGGAAACUGUUCAUUCCAUGGCCCAGAAAUUCGAUGAGCUCUUACUCAGGCUACCCUCCACUUCCCCUUCCCCAUCACCUCAACCUCCACCUUCCAUCUCCCCUGUACCUGCGCAUCACCACAGAAUGAAAUUAGACAUUCCACGCUUUGAUGGUACUGACCCCUUCGGGUGGGUAUUCCAGAUUAACCAAUAUUUUCAGUAUCACGCAACCCCCGAACACGACAGACUUACCAUUGUGUCCUUCUACAUGGACGCCCGGGCUCUUGCCUGGUUCAUGGAUGGCCACGAACGGCCAACUCACUUCCUGGCCUGCCUUUAUUCAAGCUCUUCAGACCCGUUUCGCACCCUCUCAUUAUGAUGACCCCACUGGUAGCCUUUUCAAGCUCACUCAACGUGGUUCGGUGACUCAAUAUUUGUCGGAAUUUGAGGAACUCGCUAACCGUAUCGUCGGUCUUCCUCCCCAAUUCCUCCUCAGCUGCUUCAUAUCGGGCCUGACUCCCGAAAUCCGCCGCGAGGUGCAAUCGUUGCAGCCUCUGACUUUGGUGCAGGCCGCCGGACUUGCGCGUCUUCAGGAGGAGAAGCUCCUCGACACGCGUUCAUCCUUCCGCAACCGCGCUCCUCUGGUCCUUUCGGUUCCUCCACCGCGACAGAGCUCCACACCUGCUCUUCUCCAAGCCCCUUCGUCUCCUGCUACAUCCUCACGACCUCCUCCGGUGAAGCGUUUGUCUCCAGCUGAAAUCGCUUCUCGCCGAGAACGCGGGUUGUGCUUUACUUGCGAGGAGAAGUACCAUAGAGGUCACAUAUGUGCCUCUAGGGUUUUCCUCCUGGUGGCUGCUGAGGACGACAACUCUGACCCUCUUAUAGAGGACUUGGACCCAGGACCCAACCCACCCGACAGUCCGAACCCAACCGCGGCCCAAAUUAGUUUUAAUUCACUCUCGGGUAAUCUAGCACCCAAAACUCUCCGUUUAUUGGGCCUGGCUUCCGGCCACCAUGUUGUCGUUCUCGUCGAUGGGGGAAGCACCCAUAACUUCAUUCAAGAAGAAUUGUUGUAGAGCCUUGGCCUUCCAACCCAGACCACCACCCCUUUACGGGUCUUAGUGGGUAAUGGACAGCAUUUAGCCUGCUCAAGCUGGUGUCCGCGUGUCAUCCUCACCAUUCAGGACCUCACUUGUGACGUGGACCUUUAUGUAUUACCCAUUGCAGGAGCCAACAUUGUCCUUGGGGUACAAUGGUUAAAGACAUUGGGACCCGUGCUUACUGAUUAUUCCCUCAUGACUAUGAAGUUUUUCUAUGACCAACGUUUAAUUGAGCUUCGCGGUGACACUGACCUCAUCAUUAACAUGCUCACUCCACCUCAGCUUCGCAGAUUUUUGAAACUCAAUGAACAUGCAUCCUGCUUCCACAUCGCGGUCCUCACAGAGGCAGUUCCUGACGAGCCUUCACAAUCACUGGACCCUCAAAUUCAAGCAUUAAUUGAUCAUUUUGGGCCUUUGUUCCAGACACCUACAUCCCUUCCGCCGGCGCGAAUAACCGACCACCACAUCCAUUUACUUCCCCAGGCUACUCCUGUUAAUGUAAGGCCCUACAGGUACCCCCAUUACCAGAAGCAGGAGAUUGAACUCCAAGUCGAAUCCAUGUUGCAGAAGGGCUUGAUUCGACCCAGCACCAGUCCUUUCUCCUCUCCGGUGCUUCUUGUCCGCAAACAUGAUCAUUCAUGGAGGUUUUGCGUGGAUUACAGAGCCCUUAAUGCCAUUACCAUCCGUGAUAGAUUUCCUAUUCCUACAAUUGAUGAAUUGUUGGAUGAAUUGGGCCACGCAUGUUGGUUUUCGAAACUCGAUUUGCUCCAGGGGUAUCACCAAAUACGAAUGCAUUCCUUAGACAUUGCAAAGACGGCGUUCCGCACGCACCACGGGCAUUAUGAAUUCAAGGUUAUGCCCUUCGGGCUAUGCAAUGCUCCCAGCACUUUUCAGGCGACGAUGAACAUGCUUUUCCGGCCAUUCCUCCGCCGGUUUCUCAUUGUCUUCUUUGAUGAUAUAUUAAUAUAUAGCAUCACUUUUACUGAUCAUGUUCUACAUUUACAACAAGAUUUUCAGGUUCUAUUGGACAAUCAAUUCGUCCUCAAACUUUCCAAAUGCACUUUCGCUCAGCCAGAGGUAGAAUAUCUUGGCCAUGUGGUGUCUCAGCGAGGUGUUGAACCAGUCUCUUCUAAAGUGGAUGCAGUCCGACAAUGGCCCUUGCCUCAGUCCGCCAAAGCUCUCCGUAGCUUUCUGGGUCUCGCCGGAUUUUAUGGAAGAUUCAUUAAAGGUUACGCCACCAUUGCGGCCCCUUUAGUUGCGGCCACCAUUAUAGAGCCCUUUCAGUGGACCCCUUCAGCCCAGGUGGCCUUUGACCAACUGAAACAAGCCUUGUCUGAAGCCCCUGUGCUUACUCUUCCUAACUUUCAGCUGCCAUUCACGGUCGAGACGGAUGCAUCCGACAUUGGGAUGGGCGCAGUUCUCUCCCAAAAGGGACAUCCCAUAGCCUAUUUCAGUAAACAAUUUCCACCCAAGCUCCGCCAUUCCUCCACCUAUGUUCGUGAAUUAUUUGCAGUGACUUCAACGGUUAAACGGUGGCGUUAGUAUCUUCUGGGUCAUAAAUUCACGAUCAUAACGGACCACCGCAGUUUGAAGGAGCUACUCACACAAGUGGUGCAGACCCCUGAGCAACACACAUACCUGGCUCGUCUAAUGGGGUAUGACUUCCAAAUUCAAUUUCGUUCCGGCGCCACUAAUCAGGCAGCAGAUGCGUUAUCACGAAUCUCCGAGGAAGAGUCCUCUUUGUCCCUCAUUUUGUCGGUCCCUUGUUUGACAUUUAUGGAGGAAUUGAGGAUGCAAUUGGCUCAGAAUGAGUCUUAUUAGUCCAAACUUCACGACAUUCAAGCCACUCCCACCAAAUUUCCUGAUUUCAGUAUUUCAAACAACCUCAUCUUACGCAAAGGCCGCAUCUGGCUUCCUCCUCACCUGCCAUUGCUCCCUACACUCCUCACUGAGUAUCAUGCUACUCCUACAGGCGGCCACCUUGGCGUCACAAAGACCAUAGCCCGACUAACGGACAAUUUUUAUUGGGACGGGUUGCGAGAUGAUGUAGCACGAUUUAUCUCUACUUGCUUGGACUGUCAACACUCCAAGUAUGAAACCAAGCGCGCCGCCGACCUCCUGUGCCCUCUGCCGGUUCCUCACCGUCCAUGGGAGGAUCUCUCUCUAGACUUUAUUACUGGUCUGCCUGUCUUUCAGGGGAACACCACCAUUCUUGUGGUUGUCGACAGGUUCUCUAAAGGCAUCCAUUUGGGAAUGCUUCCCACCUCACACACAACCUAUACCGUCGCAGCUCUAUUUAUGAACAUUGUCGGUAAAAUUCAUGGUCUCCCUCGUAGCAUGAUUUUUGAUCGUGAUCCCCUGUUCUUGAGCAGGUUUUGGCAGGACCUCUUCCGUCUCAGUGGCACCCAUUUAAGGAUGAGCUCCUCUUACCAUCCUCAGAGCGAUGGUCAGACAGAAGCCCUAAAUCGCGUCAUUGAACAAUACCUCAGAGCUUUCAUUCACCGGCGACCAAGCUCAUGGGGCAAGUUAUUAUUGUGGGUGGAAUGGUCCCACAAUACUUCUUGGAAUGCUGCUACUGGUUCCACUCCAUACGAGAUCACAUUUGGAAAAAAGCCCUUUAACUACCCUGACUAUCUUGCCGGAGAUUCAAAGCUCGACGUUGUUGAUGAUAUGCUCACGAACAGAGAGGACACUUUUCGCUUGAUUCGUAAAAAGCUUCUCAAAGCUCAAGAAUUGAUGAAGAAAUAUGCAGAUGCUAAACGCAGAGAUGUGGAAUACCAGGUUGGUGAAUGGGUUAUGGUCAAACUCCGACCCCAUCGUCAAACUUCGGCCAAGCCUUCUUCUAGCUCCGGGAAACUUCAGAAGCGCUUUUACGGUCCAUUUGAGAUCACUGAACGAAUUGGUCCUGUGGCCUAUCGUUUGAAACUCCCUGAGGGUGCUCGUAUUCACCCCGUGUUUCAUUGCUCUAUAUUAAAACCUUUCAAAGGGUCACCAGCAUCUGCAGAUUCUGUUUUUCUUCCUGACCAAUUUGCUCACGAUCAACUCACUGUAUCUCCUUUGGCCAUUUUGGAUUACCGCUACAAUUCAGAUAACCCAGAGUCCCCGUGGGAGGUACUGGUGCAAUGGGAAGGCUUAGAUCUUGAUGAGACAUCAUGGGAAUCCUGGACCCAGUUAAGUCGUGACUAUCACCUUGAGGGCAAGGUGAAUUUCCAAGGCCCGUGGGAUGAUAGAGAAAGAGGGGUACAGCAAGUAACAGAGGUGCAACAAGCAAACCCAAGACAGGGUACAAACAGCAACACAGAGACCCAAACAGAAGGCAGAGCAAAGAGGGUGAUUAACAAACCUUCAUACCUGAAGGAUUUCGUGUGAUGAGGGAUGAGCUGGCACUAGAAGAAUCUGCAAGAAUUUGUUGUCGAGAAUCAGGAGGCAACCAUAACAAAUUUCCAUAUUUUGUAAUCUUUGCACCUAGCACAGAAUCACAAUUCUGUUAGGAAUUUCAUUAUAAAUAUGGACUCAUUGUAAUAAGCAGAUUAUGAAUGAAAUACUUAGCUUUGAAUUUCUUCCCUUCUCUUCCCUCUGGAGGAACUGGUCCUCGAAACCAGCCAAUUCAUACCUAACAUUCUUCCUCUAUGAGGGUUCAUAUAAAAUUAAUAAGGGUUUAGAUCUUUCAAGUAAUAACAAAUAUUCGAGAACCUACUUAACAAUCCUACCUUGGAUUAUUUGAAAUAACAAAAUAAGUUGCAGUUCCUGUCUAAUAUUUCUAGGACAUUUCCAAAACAUAACUUCAACAGUGAAUAAAAAGAAGAUAGAAAAAAAUAAGACAAUGUUGUUUUCUUCUUAAUCUUAUAUUUUAUUGUUUCUCCCAUGCCUUACAUCAAUUUUGUAACCUAUGUGAAACUUGGAUGAUUUAAAACACAAUAAUAACAAUGAAUAAGGAAUAGAAACUAGAGGGUCUUAGGUAGGAGAUUGUGGUCUAUCUGAGAAGCAAAGUCCUGAUUUCAUUCUUUACCUAUAAUUCAUCAAGGUUAUAAUUCUCUAAGCUGAUUUAUUAGGCAAUUGUCUUUGUUCUUUCUCAUUCUUGUUUCUUAUUUCCCUCUAAAUUGGGCUCAGAGCUUUGUUCUUACUUAUUGUUUCUUAUUUUCCUUUCGAUCAUAUUUUCAUUAGUUGUUCAUGUCAAUGAAUGCAAUGUUUGCUUUGACCCAGAGGGGUGGCUUUGUUCAACCUGACAAGGAUGAUCCCAACCUACCUCUAGAUACAGCUCCUAUUAAGCAUGUCACGCAGGUAUGCUGACACAUAAUUGAAAAAUGUUAUCCUGCCUCUAACUACUUGUUAUAAAUUCUAUGCCACUACAAAUUUUCAUCCGAGUUGGGUUAUCAUCUUUUUGGUCUUUCAUCUUUUGUGAAUUUUUGCUUUUAGUUUCAUAAUUUUUUUAUCCUUUUUUAGUCUAAUUUUUUUAAAAUUUUUUGUUCUGAAUAUUAUUUUACUAAUAUUGUGCUACAGGAAACUAUAAAUUUAUAAUUUAUAUUAUAAUACAAAAAUAUUUAUUUUUAUUUAUAUUCUUUUGAAAAUAUUGAAAUUCAAUUUAAAAAUAAGUAUGAAAAUGAAAAAUUAAAAAGAGAUAAAAGUUUAAUAAAAAAUUUAAAAUACAUCGUUGAAAAAACACUAAAAUAAUACUUUAGUUGGAGAAUAACUCUUAAAAAUAUUUUCCGCUACAGGAAACUCAUAUCAGAUAAAACUAUAAAAUUUACUAUAAAAGAAAGCAACUAAUGUGUUUAUCCGUUACUCAUGCAAUUUUUCCUUCCCUUGUUUUCUCUAGGACACAAGUUAUCACAGCGCACACGUGACAAUCUACCCUCAAGUGAUGUCAAUGUCAAUAUGAUGCUAAUGCUACAAAUGGUGGCUGUCAUAGUGAUGUCAAUGUUGAGGAUAGCCUAACAGGUAUAACUAGACCUUCACAAUUACGUUACCUUCUUGUCAAUCUUGCUUUUGCAACAACGUCUUUUUAUAUUUGUGAAUACCUUGUUAGUAUAGAGUAAUAAAAGAAGAGAAAGAAAUAAAGGGAAGAAAGAAAAAGACACACAGUUUAACGUGGUUCAGCACACAAUGUAUGUGCCUACGUCCACGGCUACACUAGGAGAACUUUUUAUUACUUGCACAUAAAAGCUUACAAGGUGUCUCUAUAUAUAAUACUAGUGAGACACAAGUUUUUACAAACCAAGCGAUGUGGGACUAAGCCCACACAAGUUUUACAGACCAAGCGAUGUGGGACAAAGGAACUAAGACCACAAACUCUAACAAUUCUCCCACUUGGGGUCUAAGUUCCAAACUCUAGCAGCUCCUUGUAAGCAACGAGUUCAUCGACUCUUUACCUAGUGUAGCGCCUUCAUCUUCAAUUAUCCUUGAAGGCCAACUGAGGCAAUGCAAAGCCUCAGUUUGUCAGUUGUAACAGCUUUAGUCAACAUAUCUGCUGGAUUCUCUGAUCCUAAGAUCUUUAAUAAAGAUAAGUCUCCAUCAUUUAUCAACUCCCUGAUAAAAUGGUAUCUUAAUUGAAUAUGCUUGCAUCUAGAAUGGAAGACUGGAUUCUUAGCAAGACUUAUAGCACUUUGACUAUCACUAAACAUUGGAGCAUCAUCUUGUUCUUUCCCCAAUUCAUUGAGAAAAUUCUUUAGCCAAAUCAUCUCCUUAGUUGCUUCUGAGAUAGCUAUGUACUCGGCUUCCGUGGUUGAGAGAGCAACUCUAUCUUGAAGUUUAGACUUCCAACUCACAGCAGUACCUCCCAAGGUAAAAAUGUAGCCUGUGGUGCUCUUCUUGGUAUCAAAAUCUCCUCCCAAGUCUGCAUCUGAAAAUCCCUGUAAAGUGAGAUUGCAUUUUCUGAAGCACAAACACAUCUCUGAAGUACCCUUCAAAUAUCUGAGUAUCCACUUUACUCCUUCCCAAUGCUCCUUUGCUGGAUUUGAUAGGAACCUACUGACAACUCCCACUGCAUGUGCUAUGUCAGGUCUGGUACACACCAUAGCAUACAUCAAACUCCCAACUGCUGAUGCAUAUGGUACUCUUGACAUGUAACAUUUUUCUCCAUCUGUCUGCAAAGAUUGCUUCUUUGAAAACUUCAAAUGAGAUCCCAAAGGGGUAUUCCUGGUCUUAGAAUCUCCAAGGUAAAACCUGUCAAGCAACUUGUGUAUAUAUUUCUCCUGAGACAGCUUCAAAAUUCCUUCUGAUCUGUUUCUAAGAAUUCUCAUACCAAGGAUUUGUUUAGCUGGACCAAGAUCCUUCAUUUCAAAGUUUUCUGCCAACUGCUGCUUCAACCUGUUAAUUUCUUCCAUACUAGAUCCUGCAAUCAACAUGUCAUCAACAUACACAACAAGGAUAACAUAACUAUUAGUAUAUUUUUUAACAUAGCAACAAUGGUCCAUGUCACAUCUUUUGAAUCCUGAGUUGCUCAUAAACUCAUUAAACUUCUUGUACCACUGCCUCGGUGCUUGUUUCAAGCCAUACAAACUUUUGUGAAGCUUGCAUACAAGAUUCUCCUUGCCUGACACUUCAAAACCUUCUGGUUGGGUCAUAUAGAUGUCUUCCUCUAAAUCCCCAUGCAAGAAUGCAGUUUAAACAUCUAACUGCUCCAAGUGAAGAUUCUCUGCAGCUACUAUGCUCAAAAUAACUCUGAUGGUAGUCAUCUUUACAACUGGAGAGAAGAUCUCUGUGAAAUCAAUUCCUUGUUUCUGCUGAAACCCUUUCACCACAAGUCUCGCCUUGUAUCUUCUUCUACCGUCAGAUUCUUCCUUUAGCCUAUAGACCCACCUAUUCUGUAAUGCCUUCUUUCCUUCUGGAAAUUUAGUUAAAGACCACGUCUUAUUCUUCUGAAGGGAUGUCAUCUCAUCUUUCAUCGCUAUCUCCCACUCAAUAGUGUCAUUCCCCUGUGUAGCCUCAUUGAAACAUUCUGGCUCACCAGCAUCAGUUAACAACAAAUAAUGCAAUGAAGGGAAAUACCUAUCUGGUGGUACUGAAAUUCUGCUAGAUUUUCUUGGAGGAGUUGAUGGUUUUGGUUCUGACUCAACCUCUACGCCUGUACUCUGGUUUCUGUUGGCUACAUCACUUUCUGAGAUUUCUUCAAGUGUUGCUUUCUCAGAAAUUUCUGACAGUUUACCUGCACAUGUAGAUUAUGCAGAAAAUUUGUCCUUAUAAAAUAAGUUCUCAUUAAAAGUAACAUUUCUGCUUCUGAUAACUUUCUUGGUUUGGUCAUCCCAAAACCUGUAGCCAUACAUGUCAGAUCCAUAACCAAUAAAAUAACACUUCCUUGCCUUCGGAUCCAAUUUAUCUCUACUAUUAGAGUCUGUCAGUAUAUAUGAAACACAACCAAAAAUUCUCAAAUGUGAAAGUUUUACCUCCUUUCCAGACCAUACUUCUUCAGGCAACUGAUAAUUCAAAGGAACUGAUGGUCCUCUAUUAAUGAGAUAUGCUGCUGUGUUUAUUGCUUCUGCCCAGAAUGCUUUAGGCAAGCCAGAUUGGAUCCGCAUACACCUUGCUCUCUCAUUCAAGGUUCUAUUCAUCCUUUUGCAACACCGUUUUGCUCAGGUGUUCCUGGUAUUGUCUUGAUCAUUCUGAUCCCAUGUUCUGAACAGAAGUCUUUAAACUCCUGACUAUCAUACUCCCCACCAUUGUCAGAUUUCAGACUUUUAACCUUUAGAUCUGUCUGAUUUUCAACUUCUGUUUUCCACCUUUUAAACACAGAAAACACAUCAGAUUUAUUUUUAAGAAAAUAAACCCAUACCUUUCUGGUAGAGUCGUCGAUAAAGGUGACAUAAUAGCGUGAGUUUCCAACAGAUUUCACUGGGGCUGGCCCCCAAACAUCUGUGUGCACCAAUUCUAGCUUUUCAGCUUUCAGAGUCUUCCCUGCCCUUGAGAAACUGACCUUUUUCUGCUUUCCAAGGAUACAAUGUUCACAAGCACUAACAUCAACAUGCUUGAGGCUUGAUAGCUUACCCUUUGCCGCCAUAAGCUUCAUUCCUUUUUCACUAAUAUGUCCAAGUCUUUGAUGCCACAUGGUUGAAUUAUUGACAGCCUCAGUAACUGCUACCAUAUCCUCAUCUGCAAUCAUGUAAAGAGAUCCUCGCUUCUUUCCACGAGCCACAAUGAGAUUUCCUUUUGUUACCUUCCAAGAUCCAUCUCCAAAAGUGGUGUGAUGUCCCUCAUCAUCCAACUGCCCUAUAGAUAUUAAAUUUCUCUUUAAGGCAGGAAUAUGUCUGACAUUGUGCAAUGUCCAUAGGGAUCCACUGGAGGUCUUGAUGUUGAUAUCACCUCUUCCGACAAUGUCAAGAGAUUUUCCAUCUGCAAGGUAAACUUUUCCAAAUCUUCCAGAAACAUAGUUAGACAAUAAAUCUUUAGAGGGAGUAGUGUGGAACGACGCACCUGAGUCCAUGAUCCAUGAAUCAACAGGACUAUCCAAACUGCAAAUUAAUGCAUCAUCAAGUUCAUCAGUUGCUGCAUUUGCGGAUUCAUCAUCAUCGCGCUUCUUGUUUUUGUGCGACUUGUUCUUCUUUGGUGCCUUGCACUGAUUGCUAAAGUGACCUCUCUUGUCACAAUUCCAACAAGUAACGUCACUUUGAAAUUUUCUCUGACCUUUCCCUCUUGACUUUGAUCUGCCUCGACCAUUCUGACCCUUCUGGGUAGUCCUUCCCCUGUCUUCAGUAUUCAAUGCUGAAUUGGAAACAUGACUGGAAGAUUCUCCUGAAUCUCUCUUGCGAACAUCUUCGCUCAAGAUCAAGUCACGGAUGUCACUAAGCUUUAAUGUGUUCUCCCUUGUAGAACUACUAACUGCAGUAACAGUUGCAGCCCAACUAUCCGGUAGUGAUGACAAUAGAAUCAAUGCCUUCACCUCAUCCUCAAAUUUAAUCUGCACAGAUUCCAAUUGGGCAAGAAUAGUAUUAAACUCAUUAAUAUGAUCAGUUACAGAGAUACCUUCUCCCAUCUUGAGGUUGAACAACCGGCGCAUCAAGUAUACUUUUGUUGGCUGCUGACGGCUUCUCGUACAUAUCUGAUAAUGCCUUCAUUAAGCCUGCAGUAGUCUUCUCGUUCACGAUGUUGAACGCGAUGUUCUUGGCUAAUGUCAAUCUGAUCACGCCAAGAGCCUGUCGAUCUAGCAAGUUCCAUUCUUCUUGCUUCAUGUCUUCUGGCUUAACCCCUGAUAAGGGCUGAUACAGCUUCUUCUGAUAUAGAUAAUCCUCUAUCUGCAUCUUCCAAAAGCUGAAAUCUCUGCCAUCAAACUUCUCGAUCUUCACCUUCCCCUCUUCUAAUGCCAUUGCUCCCACUGCCUCCUCUAAACUGAGAAGACUCCCACUAAUUUCUUUAAACUAAGGAAAUCCCGUGGAGUAACCAAAAGCUCUGAUACCAGUUGUUAGUAUAGAGCAAUAAAAGAAGAGAAAGAAAUAAAGGGAAGAAAGAAAAAGACACACAGUUUAACGUGGUUCAGCACACAAUGUAUGUGCCUACGUCCACGGCUACACUAGGAGAACUUUUUAUUACUUGCACAUAAAAGCUUACAAGGUGUCUCUAUAUAUAACACUAGUGAGACACAAGUUUUUACAAACCAAGCGAUGUGGGACUAAGCCCACACAAGUUUUACAGACCAAGCGAUGUGGGACAAAGGAACUAAGACCACAAACUCUAACAUACCUUUGCAACAAUGUUAUUACCACAUCUUUUUCUCCCUUUAAAUUUCAGGGUGACCAAGUAAUAAUUGGCAAUGUGGGGGAUUCUCGUUCAACUUACUGUUCUUUGUAGAAGACCACCUGACAAUCACCUUAUUCCUGUUCAACUUACUCUUGACUUGACUCUAGAUAUUCCAAGUAUGUUUUGGUAUUACCUAUUCUUAGUAUCCAAAUCUUACAACCCUGAUGAGUGUGUUCGUUUAAAUUGUCUAAUUAAGCCAUAUUCAUUAAGAAAUUAUUAGACGAGAGCUUCUUUAAGGACUUGUUUGGGUAAGCUUAUCCAAAAGCACUUAUGCACAUACUAGUUUGUAAAAGCUCUCUCAUCUUUUAGAGAAGCUAUAUAAGAGAGUUUCUACAAUUUAGUUUACAAAGAAACUCAUUUCAUCUUUUCUUGUUAUUUUUUUUCUCCAAAAUAUGCUUCUAGAUAAGUUUAUCAAAACAGACCUUAAAAGCUUGAUUGUAAAACUUAGUAAAUAAGCUAACCAAACUUAUUUUGAUAAUUGUUGGUGAAACUUAAUUGAAAUAAGCUAAAAAUAUCCUACUGAAUGGUCAUAAGCUACUUCUACAAGCCAAAUAAGUUUUAUAAAAUUCUUCUAAAUGUCCCUUGGUCUGUGUCUAACUAGCUUUUCUUCCUCAAUGACACUCAGGAGAAGCUUUCAGAAUUUUUGCCUAAAAGACUAUGGUGUCGCCUCAGUCCCUGAUGUGUCCUAAAGAAAACUUACCAAGGAGGAUAAGUUUGCGGUUUUGGCUUCUGAUGCGGUAAGAAUUGCCAUAUCAGGAUGUCAACUUCGAAUUUUGGAUUUCGAUUCUUGAAUAAUCAGCUACAGGAACAGAACAAUCAUUGUUAGUGUUUAAAUAAUGCUCAAUUCUCUUAUUCCUCUCAAUCCAAAUAUGUUUGCAAAUAUUUGAUCAAAUAGUGUAAGAAAAGAAAUUACCAAGAAGGUGAAAUGAAUUAACAGCAUGUAGUUUCCACACAUACGUGUUUAGUUCAUAUUGGACAAAAAUUAGAUGCAGUUAGUUUUAUAAGUGCUUUCGUUGUUAUCUUUCAAUUAGAAUUGGAGUUUCACCUAGUAAUCCGUCAAAUAAAGGUUUCUAUUAAAAGUCAACAUAGACUACUAAGGUGAAAAUCCAAUUUAGAUUGAAGAACAAUGUUAAAAGCACCUAUGAAACUGUAUGUAAGUAAUCCCAGCUUAUUUGGCACAAAGAAUAGCUUAUUUUUAUCAAUUUCCUAAGAGAUCUUUUAAUCAAUAAACAACAACCAAUUAACUUCUCAAAAUUUAUCCCAACCAAAAAGGUCUAAAUUUUAUUUCUUGCAGAUUUGGGAUCUGCUAACAAACAGUGAAGUAAUAAACAUAGUUGCUUCAGCACCAAAAAGGUCCGUGGCAGCCAAAUUGUUUGUAAACCAUGCUGUUCGGGCUUGGAAAUAUAAGUAUGGUUUCAAGGUUGAUGAUUGUUCAUCCAUAUGCUUAUUCUUAAAGGAUUAGCCUCCUUUAACCCAAUCAUGAUCCAAAGUGAGUGGGAACAAUAGACAUCCCUUGAAGCACCUGCAUUUCUCAUAAUCUAGACAUGUAAAUACUGAAAUUGUAGAUAUGGUAAUAGUAUGGUAGAAUCAAAACGAAGAAUGGGAUGCUCUUGGAGGGUUCUCCAGAGCCAACUUUGAAUCAUAGAUUGCAAUCACCUCAGUACCUCAAGGAGGGUUGAAGCUGAUCACUAACUCAGCCAGAAACUCCCCGAAUCCAAGGGCUAGUGCUACUAACAAGUUAACAAUUGUACGGCCAGAAGAUUUUGCUUUUGACACAAUCCCAGAAGAUGGCUAUUAUUUUAGCCUUCUAAUUCUGGUGUGAUUACGUGCAAGACUUCUUUUCUAUCUGCCUAAGACCAACAUUGUUCAGUUUUAGCAGUCUAUAUUAUGGUACCAUAAAAGUUUUCUUUUUUCUGGCUUGGGUUCUAAAGAGUUCAAUGAAGAACUAAGCAGCACCUACUUUUCUAUUUAUCUUCAAUUAUUUCCUAGUGUGCUGUGUUGACACUAACAUUCAGCAUAAAACAUUACUAGACACUAGAACCAGAGGAUUUUGGAAUUUUACAUACCAAGAAUAUAGUAUUAAUAGAUUGCCGAUAAUUCAGAGGGGGUUAUACUAUUGCUGAGCAUUUUGAAGCUUAAGAAUGAAUCUACAAAAGUAAAAAGUGAUCCAUUAACAACCCCGAGUAAUGUUUAUUCUUUUAAAGCCGAAGGAAAUGAAAUUUUAUUAAUAACUUCCAGAACUUCUGGAAAAAGAUUACAAAACCAAAAAAAUACUAUUUGGCCGAAAAGCAUACCUUAGAAUUAUAAACGACACCACCAAAAAAAGUUAAAAUAUAUUUUCUAUUUUUAAUAAAUAUCUAAAUUUUAUAUUUCUUUCCUGCUAAAAAAAAUUGCAUUAAAUUCCUAAUAAAAAAAUCAUUUGUGAUUAGACUUUUCAAAUGGAUUAAUAACAAAUGAAAAAAACGCAUAAUUUAUCAUGAAUUAAAGCAUAAUUUCAAGAAAAAAAAUAAAAUAUUUUGUAUUUUAUCAGAGAAAAAAAAAACAAAAAAAAUUUUAAUACUUAAACAUAAAAUUAGAAUAUUUAUUAAAAAUCAUACAAUUAUAUUAGCCUAGAAAAAAAAUAAAGGCAGGCCUCCUAACAAAUUAACACAUGAUGAAAAGAUACAUCUUUGAAGGACCACCAUAUGUAUUUUGCCUCACCACGUGGAGCUUCUACAAUUCACCAGCUGAGUGUCUUCAUAUAAGCAGCGCCAUGAUACAUCAGUAACAAGCAUGAGAAAAGAUAAAGAAACCCAAACCCAUCUUCACUGCUCCCAGCAUCUUUAAUUGAGUAGGUUAAUAAUAAAGAUAAAUUUCAAUUAAAGGAAUACAUGUAGUCAAGAAAGGGGCGUGGCUAUUUUGCAGCGUUUUUUUAGUUUGGCUCAAUUCCAUUGGAACAUUGGAGGGUAAAGUUAAAAAAAUAUAGUUUUAAUAAAAUAUCGGUGUACGAAUGAGAAUUCAUAUACUACUUUGACUUCGAACAAAUGUAAUUGUUAUUAUUUGCAUAGAGAUAUUUUUUCAUGUAUUUUUGUGUGUUUGUCUCAACUACUUCUAUUUUUCAAAACAUAGUUUUCUACUUAUUUUAAGAAAUAAAUCCUAUAUACUUCUUAAAAAAUACUUAUAUAAAAAGUAUUUAUUUUAAAAUUUAAACAAACUCAUCCUAAAUUACACCCAUUAAAAAUGCUUUUAAAGAAUUUGACUGGUGUGGUCUACUUUUCCUUCCCAAUUAAUCAAAUUUUUUUCAUCGAAUACAAAAUCUUAUUUUUAGGAUUUGAACUUAGUUUUAUAUAGAUUAUAGACAAACAAUAUGUUAAUAAUAUACCAAUAAAUAUAUAUUAGAAAUUUUAAUGUUAUGUAUAAGAACAUUAUUUAUUUUAUAAUAUAAUUGACUUAUUAACUUAGUUGGUUAGAGUCUUGUGCUAGUAACCUAAAAGUCAUAUGUUCAAUUCUUGUUUGGGCCAUUAAAUGAAAGCUAAUCCGUGGACCUUAUACAAAUCAGUUGAUUCGUAUUCUUUUAUAAAAGGGUAAAAUGGGAAAAUACAAAAUUAUUGGGUGUACCAGCAAUUUCACCCUUUGGUUAGGUGUCACGUUGGGCCUUAGGCUAUCUAUGGGUCAACUGAUCAAGGGAAUUACUUCCUACAUUCCAUUUUUUGUUUCUUGCACCUCCCAAAAAUCCAAGGCAAAACUACCUCUCCAACACCACCACUACCACUGUAGCCCCACCUCCACCCAACCACCAACAUGCAAAUAGCACCACCCACCACCAUCAUUGAUGACUUUGGUGCAAGGAACCAUGUGAAAAUGGAAUCGAAGACCAACGAAGAGGUGUAAAGCACAACCCCAUUCUAGAUACAUGAAUUUGUAAGACACUAAUUUUAUAUACAUUUCUAGAAUACCUAUUCCUGCAGAAUAAUAUUUUUCAUAUUUCAGAAUUUGUAUUUUAGAAUACAUUUUUUGGAUUACUUAUUUCUAUUUUGGAAUAUGAAAAUCUUAUUCCAUAAUAGGUAUUUCGCAAUAGGAAUAAGUAAUCCAAAAAGGUAUUCCAAAAUGUUCUGAAAUAUAAAAAAUCAUAUUUUUAGAAUAGGUAUUCCGAAAGUGUAAAAGGCCAAAUUUCUAUUUUUCGCACAAAUGGCAAAUCUCACACCCCAUUCGCAUAUGCCCUACUUUAUCCCCUCAUUUCUCACUACAAAUUCCACCAACACCUUCUUCUCCUUCUCCCCUCAUUCCUUUGUUCAUUGAGAUCCAAGGUAUAGACCAAGGAGCACUGCCAGCUACAAAUCCCAUGAGGGCACGAUGGUGUUGGGUGCACAAUGGUGUUCGGGGUGUGAUUGUGUUGGGGAACAAUGGUUAUGGAGGCUUCAUGGCUAGGAAUUUUUGGGAGAGGCAAGGACACAAGAUGUCUUGGUGAGGGGUAUUCUUGUUUUUUGGGAGAUGUAGGAAGAAAAAAGUGGUGCAAGAAGUAAUUACCACUAAUCAACUAUUAACUUGUGAAAAACUUGUGUACAUGUUUCUGUUGCGUUUAGCAAUUGGUAGCAAUCACUAAUUUGAAGCUAUUUAAAAAAAUUAGAGACUAAAAUAAAAUCUCUAAAACAAACAAUCAAACUAAACCAAAACUAAAACAUAAGAAGGAUAAUAUAUGUAAUUUAGAAACAAGAAAAAUUCACUUGACUACAUAAUCAUUUUUUUAUCACACUCAUCCAAACAUGUAAAGAUGUACUUAAUUUGUCACGGAUUCAUAUCCAUUUACAACAGUACAAAACAGUACAUGAUCCAUUGUAAAGGCCCAGCAGCUAGUAAAUUUAAAUUAUCAGUGGUAGGCAAAAAAUUCAACCAAAAAUCGUUCAGAACAAUGCGUUGCCAUUAAGUCUUCUAUUAUGGCGAAAAUAUGCGAUACCUUUCAUUUACUGAAGAAUUCUGCUGUACUUGUUAUCAGAUACAAUGAAUGGCAAUUUUUCAUAUAACGAGUUCCUUUUCCCAUGUCAAUGCUUCCAAUAGUGGUUUGAAUUAAAGGUGUGGUGUACAAUUGUCAUUUGUCACAGCAAACUACUACAAUCAAUGCACACCCUAUGAUGAGAGGACAUUGUGUACUACUCCAAUUGCAAAACAACAAAUACUCCAUUCCAAUGUAUAUGGUACACAAUUUGGAGACAUUAUUUAUCUUGAUAUUUACUCUCUUCUCUUUAGCCUGUCCCUUCAGUACUGAAAUAUAUUAUUGAAAAGAAAAAGGAAUGUAAGAAAAUUAAAUUAGAGUUUCAUUAGGAGGUAGUGAUGUGAAAAUGAACCUUCCAACAUGCUUAACACAAUAAUUGGUUCACCACAUGCUUACUAAUAAGUAAAGGUCUUAUUAACCACAGCUCUUUAGAGAACUUGGUUAAUUUUUUAAAAAAAAAAAAUCAUAUAAAAGUGCAUAUAAAGAAUAUAAAAUAAAGAAGAGCAUUUUAAAACAUCUAAAAAAAAUUCUUUUCAUUCCAAAAUUUGGCUUAAUUUAAGUUUAAGAAAAUCAACUUGACGCACCUAAAUUAGUGAGUUGGCGGAUAAACCUACAUACUCACCUUAUUUUCAUAAAAAAAAAACACACAAAAGAAAAAUAAAAAAUAAGAUAAGUUUAAUGUUUCAAGUUAAACUACAAAAUGCAGAUAACUAAAUUUAAAAUAAGUCAAAUUAAAUAUAAGUGCAAGUCCAAUAUUUAUUAAUUAAAUAAAAAAUAUUAAAAUAAGGAACAUGUUAACCCAAUUUUAACCCAUCUGAACUCGCAUGUUAAAUAAAUUGAGUUCAAAUAGCCCCAAAAAAAAGUAAAUUGCUUUUUAGCCAACCAAGCACCCAAAAUCAAUGUGUAUGCAUAAAAGGUAAAAUGGAGAGGGUUGAAAGGGGACCCAAUUAAAAUAUCAAAGUUAAAUGGUUACCAAACCAGAAUGGAUGUUACUAUUGCUGGUGCACCCAACAUUUUUUUAAAAAUACUAAAACUGUUCCAGCGUUUUUUUCGUAUUUGUACUAGGUGUGCAUGAGGAUGAUAUGUAAAUCAUAUGAAUCAAGUUGAUCAGAUUAAUACGGAUUAAGUUGAUCCGUAAGUUUUUCACGGAUCAACUUAAAAGACUUACCGAUUAGAAGUAUUUCAGUCUUUUCUCUUAACCCAAUCUUAACCCUCUGAACACGUUGUCAGUCACUGCCCGUGACCUAUUCCUGCUUCUUUCUUUGGAACUCUCGUCACCCUCCAAUUCCAUACAUUGAUUAUAAUAAAAUCUAUUAUUUCUAUACAAAGUAACCAAACCAAAAUCCCUCUCUUACAAUGCACAGUCCUGUCAAUAACCAAACCAAGUCCAAAGGGGCAAUAAUAAAGCUGGUCGGGUGUGGAUUCCAAAUAAUCAAAUCAAAUCAAAUUCCUCCAUUCCUCCACUGAGUUGGCCUCCCGCAAAUUAUGGUCCAAUCACUAGAAAUAAGGGGCAAAUUUCCCCAUUUAGUCUCCUUUUGCAAACUUAUUCCCCAAAUGGGGCCGUUUUGAAAGAAUUUCCGCCAUGGUGCUGUUUUGUACGUGGUCUGCAUGGAUUUUGCAUGGAAAAUGCAAGCUUCAAUGGCGAGUUCGUGAGCACAGGACACGUGGAUGGCAACCCGCUGCUGCGGCUGGCGAUUUCAGGUUGAGGAGCGUCCUGCCGGUGAAGCUGGCGAUUUCAAGCCUGUGCUGAAAUCGCAGCUUUGACUGGCGAUUUCAGACAGGGUACGAGCCUAGGGUUGCAGGACUUUGCAGGACGUGCAGGACUGGGUUUUUUGACUUUUUGGGCUUAGGGGAGAGUUGCCAUUUGGUCUGGCGAUUUGCACACAAGGAAAUCGCCCAUUCCAAUGGCGAUUUGCACCUGCUCAGUGUUUAUAAAACCUGCUCAAUGUUUAUAAAACUUACCACCAUCUGAGUGCUUCGAGUUUCAGUGCCUUCUUCACAAGUUUUCAAAACUUACCACCAUUUAAAUUAUCAAUCUUCAAGGUUUGAAAGUCCCAACCAAGCACUGUUAGCAAGCAUUUUGUUGAAAGUCCAAGCACUGUUAGCCUCAUUUAAAUUUGCUCCAAUAUUUUGUUGAAUUAAUUUUUGUAUAAUUAGUUUUAUAUGUUAUAUGCCUAUUCGUGUGUGUUGAAAACUUUGUUUAUGANNNNNNNNNNNNNNNNNNNNNNNNNNNNNNNNNNNNNNNNNNNNNNNNNNNNNNNNNNNNNNNNNNNNNNNNNNNNNNNNNNNNNNNNNNNNNNNNNNNNNNNNNNNNNNNNNNNNNNNNNNNNNNNNNNNNNNNNNNNNNNNNNNNNNNNNNNNNNNNNNNNNNNNNNNNNNNNNNNNNNNNNNNNNNNNNNNNNNNNNNNNNNNNNNNNNNNNNNNNNNNNNNNNNNNNNNNNNNNNNNNNNNNNNNNNNNNNNNNNNNNNNNNNNNNNNNNNNNNNNNNNNNNNNNNNNNNNNNNNNNNNNNNNNNNNNNNNNNNNNNNNNNNNNNNNNNNNNNNNNNNNNNNNNNNNNNNNNNNNNNNNNNNNNNNNNNNNNNNNNNNNNNNNNNNNNNNNNNNNNNNNNNNNNNNNNNNNNNNNNNNNNNNNNNNNNNNNNNNNNNNNNNNNNNNNNNNNNNNNNNNNNNNNNNNNNNNNNNNNNNNNNNNNNNNNNNNNNNNNNNNNNNNNNNNNNNNNNNNNNNNNNNNNNNNNNNNNNNNNNNNNNNNNNNNNNNNNNNNNNNNNNNNNNNNNNNNNNNNNNNNNNNNNNNNNNNNNNNNNNNNNNNNNNNNNNNNNNNNNNNNNNNNNNNNNNNNNNNNNNNNNNNNNNNNNNNNNNNNNNNNNNNNNNNNNNNNNNNNNNNNNNNNNNNNNNNNNNNNNNNNNNNNNNNNNNNNNNNNNNNNNNNNNNNNNNNNNNNNNNNNNNNNNNNNNNNNNNNNNNNNNNNNNNNNNNNNNNNNNNNNNNNNNNNNNNNNNNNNNNNNNNNNNNNNNNNNNNNNNNNNNNNNNNNNNNNNNNNNNNNNNNNNNNNNNNNNNNNNNNNNNNNNNNNNNNNNNNNNNNNNNNNNNNNNNNNNNNNNNNNNNNNNNNNNNNNNNNNNNNNNNNNNNNNNNNNNNNNNNNNNNNNNNNNNNNNNNNNNNNNNNNNNNNNNNNNNNNNNNNNNNNNNNNNNNNNNNNNNNNNNNNNNNNNNNNNNNNNNNNNNNNNNNNNNNNNNNNNNNNNNNNNNNNNNNNNNNNNNNNNNNNNNNNNNNNNNNNNNNNNNNNNNNNNNNNNNNNNNNNNNNNNNNNNNNNNNNNNNNNNNNNNNNNNNNNNNNNNNNNNNNNNNNNNNNNNNNNNNNNNNNNNNNNNNNNNNNNNNNNNNNNNNNNNNNNNNNNNNNNNNNNNNNNNNNNNNNNNNNNNNNNNNNNNNNNNNNNNNNNNNNNNNNNNNNNNNNNNNNNNNNNNNNNNNNNNNNNNNNNNNNNNNNNNNNNNNNNNNNNNNNNNNNNNNNNNNNNNNNNNNNNNNNNNNNNNNNNNNNNNNNNNNNNNNNNNNNNNNNNNNNNNNNNNNNNNNNNNNNNNNNNNNNNNNNNNNNNNNNNNNNNNNNNNNNNNNNNNNNNNNNNNNNNNNNNNNNNNNNNNNNNNNNNNNNNNNNNNNNNNNNNNNNNNNNNNNNNNNNNNNNNNNNNNNNNNNNNNNNNNNNNNNNNNNNNNNNNNNNNNNNNNNNNNNNNNNNNNNNNNNNNNNNNNNNNNNNNNNNNNNNNNNNNNNNNNNNNNNNNNNNNNNNNNNNNNNNNNNNNNNNNNNNNNNNNNNNNNNNNNNNNNNNNNNNNNNNNNNNNNNNNNNNNNNNNNNNNNNNNNNNNNNNNNNNNNNNNNNNNNNNNNNNNNNNNNNNNNNNNNNNNNNNNNNNNNNNNNNNNNNNNNNNNNNNNNNNNNNNNNNNNNNNNNNNNNNNNNNNNNNNNNNNNNNNNNNNNNNNNNNNNNNNNNNNNNNNNNNNNNNNNNNNNNNNNNNNNNNNNNNNNNNNNNNNNNNNNNNNNNNNNNNNNNNNNNNNNNNNNNNNNNNNNNNNNNNNNNNNNNNNNNNNNNNNNNNNNNNNNNNNNNNNNNNNNNNNNNNNNNNNNNNNNNNNNNNNNNNNNNNNNNNNNNNNNNNNNNNNNNNNNNNNNNNNNNNNNNNNNNNNNNNNNNNNNNNNNNNNNNNNNNNNNNNNNNNNNNNNNNNNNNNNNNNNNNNNNNNNNNNNNNNNNNNNNNNNNNNNNNNNNNNNNNNNNNNNNNNNNNNNNNNNNNNNNNNNNNNNNNNNNNNNNNNNNNNNNNNNNNNNNNNNNNNNNNNNNNNNNNNNNNNNNNNNNNNNNNNNNNNNNNNNNNNNNNNNNNNNNNNNNNNNNNNNNNNNNNNNNNNNNNNNNNNNNNNNNNNNNNNNNNNNNNNNNNNNNNNNNNNNNNNNNNNNNNNNNNNNNNNNNNNNNNNNNNNNNNNNNNNNNNNNNNNNNNNNNNNNNNNNNNNNNNNNNNNNNNNNNNNNNNNNNNNNNNNNNNNNNNNNNNNNNNNNNNNNNNNNNNNNNNNNNNNNNNNNNNNNNNNNNNNNNNNNNNNNNNNNNNNNNNNNNNNNNNNNNNNNNNNNNNNNNNNNNNNNNNNNNNNNNNNNNNNNNNNNNNNNNNNNNNNNNNNNNNNNNNNNNNNNNNNNNNNNNNNNNNNNNNNNNNNNNNNNNNNNNNNNNNNNNNNNNNNNNNNNNNNNNNNNNNNNNNNNNNNNNNNNNNNNNNNNNNNNNNNNNNNNNNNNNNNNNNNNNNNNNNNNNNNNNNNNNNNNNNNNNNNNNNNNNNNNNNNNNNNNNNNNNNNNNNNNNNNNNNNNNNNNNNNNNNNNNNNNNNNNNNNNNNNNNNNNNNNNNNNNNNNNNNNNNNNNNNNNNNNNNNNNNNNNNNNNNNNNNNNNNNNNNNNNNNNNNNNNNNNNNNNNNNNNNNNNNNNNNNNNNNNNNNNNNNNNNNNNNNNNNNNNNNNNNNNNNNNNNNNNNNNNNNNNNNNNNNNNNNNNNNNNNNNNNNNNNNNNNNNNNNNNNNNNNNNNNNNNNNNNNNNNNNNNNNNNNNNNNNNNNNNNNNNNNNNNNNNNNNNNNNNNNNNNNNNNNNNNNNNNNNNNNNNNNNNNNNNNNNNNNNNNNNNNNNNNNNNNNNNNNNNNNNNNNNNNNNNNNNNNNNNNNNNNNNNNNNNNNNNNNNNNNNNNNNNNNNNNNNNNNNNNNNNNNNNNNNNNNNNNNNNNNNNNNNNNNNNNNNNNNNNNNNNNNNNNNNNNNNNNNNNNNNNNNNNNNNNNNNNNNNNNNNNNNNNNNNNNNNNNNNNNNNNNNNNNNNNNNNNNNNNNNNNNNNNNNNNNNNNNNNNNNNNNNNNNNNNNNNNNNNNNNNNNNNNNNNNNNNNNNNNNNNNNNNNNNNNNNNNNNNNNNNNNNNNNNNNNNNNNNNNNNNNNNNNNNNNNNNNNNNNNNNNNNNNNNNNNNNNNNNNNNNNNNNNNNNNNNNNNNNNNNNNNNNNNNNNNNNNNNNNNNNNNNNNNNNNNNNNNNNNNNNNNNNNNNNNNNNNNNNNNNNNNNNNNNNNNNNNNNNNNNNNNNNNNNNNNNNNNNNNNNNNNNNNNNNNNNNNNNNNNNNNNNNNNNNNNNNNNNNNNNNNNNNNNNNNNNNNNNNNNNNNNNNNNNNNNNNNNNNNNNNNNNNNNNNNNNNNNNNNNNNNNNNNNNNNNNNNNNNNNNNNNNNNNNNNNNNNNNNNNNNNNNNNNNNNNNNNNNNNNNNNNNNNNNNNNNNNNNNNNNNNNNNNNNNNNNNNNNNNNNNNNNNNNNNNNNNNNNNNNNNNNNNNNNNNNNNNNNNNNNNNNNNNNNNNNNNNNNNNNNNNNNNNNNNNNNNNNNNNNNNNNNNNNNNNNNNNNNNNNNNNNNNNNNNNNNNNNNNNNNNNNNNNNNNNNNNNNNNNNNNNNNNNNNNNNNNNNNNNNNNNNNNNNNNNNNNNNNNNNNNNNNNNNNNNNNNNNNNNNNNNNNNNNNNNNNNNNNNNNNNNNNNNNNNNNNNNNNNNNNNNNNNNNNNNNNNNNNNNNNNNNNNNNNNNNNNNNNNNNNNNNNNNNNNNNNNNNNNNNNNNNNNNNNNNNNNNNNNNNNNNNNNNNNNNNNNNNNNNNNNNNNNNNNNNNNNNNNNNNNNNNNNNNNNNNNNNNNNNNNNNNNNNNNNNNNNNNNNNNNNNNNNNNNNNNNNNNNNNNNNNNNNNNNNNNNNNNNNNNNNNNNNNNNNNNNNNNNNNNNNNNNNNNNNNNNNNNNNNNNNNNNNNNNNNNNNNNNNNNNNNNNNNNNNNNNNNNNNNNNNNNNNNNNNNNNNNNNNNNNNNNNNNNNNNNNNNNNNNNNNNNNNNNNNNNNNNNNNNNNNNNNNNNNNNNNNNNNNNNNNNNNNNNNNNNNNNNNNNNNNNNNNNNNNNNNNNNNNNNNNNNNNNNNNNNNNNNNNNNAAAAUGUAGUAGAUGUGGAGCUGAAGGGCAUACAGACGUCGCUGUCCAAUGCAAUCUGAGCAUGGGAGUUGUUCAAAUCAUUGAUUUAUGUAUGUUACUGAAUUGACUUGUAUUUUUUUAAGUUCUCUUAAAUGUAUUGAAUUUGUCGGGUUGAAUGAAUUUGUUAGUUUAUAACAUUACUUAUUUUGAUUUGUGUACAUUACUUAUUUUGGUUUGUAUACAUUACUUAUUUGUAGGGUUCAAUGAAUUCAUUUCCCUAAGCGCUAACUGUUACCACUAACCCAAAACCCUAAGCAGUAAACCCAAAUCACUAGAACCUAAACCACAAACCCUAACCAUAUACCCUAAAGACUAAACCCCAACCCCUAAGCAAUAAACCUUACCCCUUAGCCUUCAUGGUGAACCCUAAACCCCAAAACACGAAACCCUAACCCUACACAAUACACCUAAACCCUAAACCAUAACACGCCAACCCUAAACAUAGGUAGAGUGAAAGUGGGGAGUCCAAUGCUUUAGUUAAGGGUAUUCAAAUUGAUACUAAAGGAGAACUAUCUACAAUGAUGAACUAUGGACUUUGUCAAUGUGGAGUAUCUGGACGUUUGACUUUAGUUAGUAAAAGUACUUAAUUUUCGUUAGUGUACUUUAUUUUUCUAGACGUUUGGCUUUUCUAGAAUGAAUUUCAUAAUUGUUGACUACACGUUUGGCUUUUGUAGAACGAAUUUGAUAAUUCUCUGCUUCAUUUUUCGCUCCAGUUGUUCCAACUCGUCAAUAAAUUUGUAUGACCAUCGAGGAACUUUUUUACGCAUUUCGUUUAUUGUAAUACACUUUGUUCUAUUUCCAUUUACUAUUGUUUUUUCUUUGAAAUCAGUUCUAAUGCCAUCAAAUAAUAUUUUUAUUAUUUGUUUUAUUUGUUCUUCAUAAUUUCUUUUUAUUAUUAUAGUUUCAUGCGCCACAUAAACUAUACAUUGGUAAUAAAAAUUGAUAAUAAAAAAUAGAAAAAUAGAAAAAUUUAAAUUAAUAAAAUACAUAAUAUUAGUAAUAAAAAUUGUCACAAGUCCCUAACCCUAACCCUCACCCUAACCCUAAACCUAACCCCUAAACACAACCCUUAAACCUCAACCCUAAACCAUNNNNNNNNNNNNNNNNNNNNNNNNNNNNNNNNNNNNNNNNNNNNNNNNNNNNNNNNNNNNNNNNNNNNNNNNNNNNNNNNNNNNNNNNNNNNNNNNNNNNACGAGACUUGCUCAUUGUGGGCAGCCCUGCAUUUGGCCCCUUACCAUAGACCUAACCCCUAAACCCUAAACUUGGCCUAAACCCUAACCCUGACCAUAACCCCUACACCCUUACCUUAAACCUAACCCCUAAACUAUAAACUUAGACAAUAAACCUAAACCCUAAACCCUUACCCUAAACCUAACCCCUAAACCCUAAACUUAAACCUCAACCCUAAACCCCCACCCUAACCUUAACCCUAACCCCUAAACACUAGACUUAGAUAAUAAAACUAAACCCUGAACCUUUACCCUAACCAUAACCCUAAACCAUAAACCUAAUAGUUAGUAACAACAGUUACAUUCGUUAAUACAUCGUUAGUUAGUACCAAUAGUUAGAUGCUGGACAAAAAGUGUACACAUUAGUAAACCUUAAUAAAUAUGAUGUCAUACAUUAAGUGUCAAAGUGAAAUUACAAACAUAAAACAACAAAUAUAAGCAGAGACAUUAAAAUCAUUCAUUAUCAUGUCUGUGGUGACGUGAGGAUGUGCCACAUGGUCGAUCCCAUCUUCGUGCUUGACGAUCGGGAUUUCUUCUGUCAUGAUGCCUCGCCGGUUGUACUUCCUCAGCCUCAGCAGAGAACUCCUGACGCAAAUCAACACCUAAUAAGUCACCCAUAUCAGGUAUUGCUCCGGGUACAUUCCAUUGCGGAGCUAAUGGGGCGUCAGGUGUCACCAUUGGGGCAUCAUGUUGCUGUGUAGGAGUCAUAGUCGGCCAUGAAAAAUGAGGUUGUGUUUCCGCAACACCACCAAACGAAUGUGAGCUUGCAGACAUAUCAGUGUGAUGACCUUGGAACGGAUACUGGUACAUCUGUGAAGGAUACUCCGCAAAUGUUGGUGGCGUGUAAUACAUUCCAUGGCCACGCUCCUCAAUUUGUUUCUCAUAUUCUUGCGCUUCCACAGCCUCCCUUCGUCUGUCAAAACCGCGAGUUUCAACACUUGACUGAAGCAUGUGAAACUGCUGCGGUGGGAAUCGACGCUCUGAUGUUGGACCAUGUGCCGCCGGCUCAGUGAUUCUCUCUUGCUCUUCUGAUAAAAUCGUGAUCUUCUCCACAUAAGGCACGAGAUCAUCCACUGUCCAUGUGUUCCUCCCUUGCGGUGACACCAUAUACUGUAAUGUCUCCGCAACUUCAGCCUGCAAUUAUUAGGGUUCACACAUUAAUUCCCAUGCUUUCAAAAAUAAAUUGAAGUUAAAAAUUGAAAAAUAAAUUAAUACCAAUGUAGCUGUCUUAGCAUUGUUUGGGUCGACAAACAUCUUUGUUUUUCGCCUAUACCACACCAUGUAGUCAGAGUUAAAACUCAAUAGGCCCUCCUGUCGAGGAUACACGUCGACCCUAAACUCAGCUCGAUUAUUCCAUUGGCUGAUCAUUGGGGCCAACAGCUGGAACCAAUUUUCAGAUUGUUUGCCUUUCAGCGUUAGCCCAUGGAUAUUUAGUGGUUGCGAAGGACACUCGGGAAUAGGUUGUUGCAUCCCAAAUUGUCGCAACACUCUAUCGGGUUGGUGCCACUCAACAACAUGGAAACAAAUUAGUGGCACCACCGCGCAACACGCUACGCUACCAACCAAACAUAUCGGAGGCAACGACGACAUAACAGUUGCUGUGUAAGGCUCCCACAGAAACUGCAUACAAUAACAAAGUUGUUAAUUUUCACUUAAACAUGACAUUGUAUUAAUUGUUUAACGAAUUCAUUAUGAUCUUCUUACCUCAUGUCUUUUCAUGAUAUCCAACUUGCGACGAAAUACAAUCAGAUCAUCAUUCCCAAUAUGCUGAUUUCCACGUCGCAACCACCUAACAAAAAUAUGAAAUCAUUAGUGGACACGCGUUACAUUAUUAGACCUAUUCAAAUGAAAUCUUAUUUUUAAAACAACUAACCUGUGUCCGAGUGGCUUAUUUUGGAUCACGGGAGGAGUCCUCUUUGGAGCCAAAGUCGUGCAUUGUUCCCAUGCCCACAUUUGGAUUAAGAUGCACAUGCCUCCGAUUGAUUUUAUUUUGUAAUCGGUAGCACUGCACAUCUCUCUAUAUAAAUAGGCAAGCACGGCAGGUCCCCAUGCAUAAGUGCUGCACUGCUCAAAGUCCCGUAAAAAUUGUAGGUACCGUAGGGAAACUUUGCUGCUGCUUUUAUCAACAAAUAGGACUCCUCCUAUGAACCUAAGAAUCCAUGCACGGGUAAACCUUUGUAAUUGUUCUACAUUCCCGUCAUGGUUAUUGAUGUGUGAAAAAUGAUGAGAUAGCCAGCUUAAUUUAACGACACUGCCUUGGAGUUCACCUUCUUGUGGUCUGACUCCCAAUAAUUCUUCACACAAUUCAGCCCAAUCCAGAUUCGUUUGACCAAUUAAUGGUGCCCCAUCAACACGCAUACCUAAUAAUACUGAGACAUCUUGAAGAGUAAUCGUACACUCUCCACAUCUCAUGUGAAAUGUAUGUGUUUCGGGCCUCCAUCUUUCAAUCAAAGCAGUAAUUAAUGAAGCAUUUAUUUUUAAAUAGUCCAUCUUGAUUAUCCAAUAAAAACCGCAUUGCCGAAGAAGAGGAAUAAUUUCCUCUGGAAUUUCUUCUUCCCCUUGAUACGUGGGGACAGAUCGUCUUAUGUGUAAUUUGCGGUCUUCUUCUCCGUUCCAAACAUGUUCUGAAACAUGUUUAGCUUGCAUCCAUAGUACGUCUCCAUCAAUCGGACUAGACUUAAUUUUAAUAUUUGAUGAAGAUGAUGACGAAGAUGCCAUUGAUACUGCAAAAAAAAAUAAUACAAUAAAUUCGCAUAAUAAUUUAUACAUUAGUUAUAAAGAAAUAAAACUAACUACAUUUACAAUAAAAUAAUUAAUUAUAUAUCCCACACAAUUUAAAUUUUAAUAAAUAACAAAAUAUAUAAAGAAUUUAUUUAAAUAUAUAACAAAAUUUAAAUAUAUAAAAAAUUUAUUUAAAUCUAUUGCGUAAAUAAAAUAAAUUACAUGCAAUUUUUUUUUAAAAAAAAUAACAUCAUAUAUAUAUAUAGCCAUAAAUUUAUAUAAUAUAUAUACAAAAUUAUAUAACUAACCUAGCAUAGCAAAUUUAAAUAUAUGUAAUUAAAACUAAACCUACACUAAAUAAUUUAAAUUAACAAAUUAAACCUAAUUUAGCAUUUCAAACUAAAACUAACUAACACAAUUUUUUUUUAAAAUAACAUCAUUUAUCAUUUUUAAUUAAAACUAAGUAAACAUAAAUUUAAAUAAAUAACAUAGAUUACCAUUUAAAAAUAAAACUAACUAAAUAUAAAUAUAUAACGUAAUAUAUAUAUUUACCUACAAAAACUAACUAACUAUAACUUCACAUAAUAUAUAUAUUUAAUGUAAUCUAAUAUAUAACGUAAUAUAUAUAUUUACCAAAAAAAAUUAACAUAAUAUAUAUACAAAAUUAAAACUAAACCUAAUAUCAUAUAAAUCUCAUAUAGAAAACUAAUCUAUCAUACAAAACUAAUCUAACAUAAUCUAUCAUCAAAAAUUUAUAUAAUGUAUCACUAAAUUACCAUACAAAAUUUAAAUAUAUUUCACUAAAACUAAACUAAACUAAACAUACGACUAAUGUAACGUAAUCUAACAUAAAAAAUUUAUAUCAAACUAAACCUAAAUUAGCAUACAAAAUUUAAAUAUAUUUAACUAAACCUAAACGUAAACCUAAUAUUAUUUAAAACUAAAAAUAAAUCUAUUGUACAAAACUAUAAUUAUCAAACUAAACAUAAUUUAUCAUUUCUAACUAAAACUAACUUAAAAUAGGAAACUAAUAACAUACAUUAUUAAUUAUAAUCAAAAUACAAAUAAAAUAAAUAUAUUUAACUAAACCUAAUAUUAUUUAAAACUAAAAAUAAAUUUAUUGCACAAAACUAUUUCUAACUAAAACUAACUUAAAAUAGGAAACUAAUAACAUACAUUAUUAAUUAUAAUCAAAAUACAAAUAAAAUAAAUAUAUUUAACUAAACCUAAUAUUAUUUAAAACUAAAAAUAAAUUUAUUGCACAAAACUAUUUCUAACUAAAACUAACUUAAGAUACAAAACUAAUAACAUACAUUACUAAUUAUAAUCAGAAUAUAAAUAAAAUAAAAUUUUAAUUAAACAAACUUACUAUAACUGAAUUUAUUUUAGGAGAAAGCUUCUGAAACUUAAGAACCAGCUUCCUCUAACUUCCUUUUUCUUUUUAGCUGAAUGCUCUAAGACACCCCAAAAGCAAAAAACACCCACGUUCUUCCUUUUUCUUUUCUGCUGAUCCUCUAACACUCACGUUCUUCCUGCCUUUUUUUUUCCGCGUGAUGGUCUACGGGGGAAAGGGGGGGAUUUAAGCAAAGCAAACCGCAGUUCCCAUUGGCGGUUUCGGGAAACACCAAGUCGCCGGUCCUGUUGGCGACUCCCUGCAGCUGCAGCUUCGUUCAGAGCCUCGGAAAUGGCUUCUGUGGCUUCUGUGCCUCUGCACCCUACGUUCGUAGCCUUGGAAAUCGCCAGUCAAAGUUGCGAUUUCAGCACAGGCUCGAAAUCGCCAGCUUCACCGGCGGGACGCUCCUCAACCUGAAAUCGCCAGCCGCAGCAGCGGGUUGCCAUCCACGUGUCCGUUGCCCACGAUGUCGCCAAUAAAGGUUGCGUUUUGCAUGCAAAAUCCAUGCAAACCACGUACGAAACAGCACCAUGGCGGAAAUUCUUUCAAAACGGCCCCAUUUGGGGAAUAAGUUUGCAAAAGGAGACUAAAUGGGGAAAUUUGCCAGAAAUAAGGUUUAAAUAACCAAGGAUUAAUUAAGAUUAAUUGUUGAAGGACAAGUUCAACACCAUGUACUCCACAGAACAAAACAUCUGAAUGAGUAAUUAAUGAUAUAUGAAUUAUCAUUUAUUUUAAACAUUUUAUUUUUUAUCUUCAUGUCACAUCAUAAGUUAUAUUAUAUCUAUAUUUUUUCUUUUUUUUUUCUCCCUAAAUGUUGAAUAAAUUUUUGGGUGUUGAUCAAACAUUUUUUCAUCUAAAUUGAGCUAGAUCUGAAACAGGAUCCAAGUACCUAUAAGGUGAUUUUUAAAGAGAGAAAAUGAGGAAAUAUCAUGAUUCGAAUCCGUUUUAUUAACAAAAUCUAACAACUAAUGUAUAAAAAAAUUAAGCAAAUAAUUACUCUAUUUUUUUUAGUAUUCAUAUAACUCUUAUCUCUUCCCAACAAAUAUUAUCAUGCAAAAAAUGUUUUUUGGAUCUGCAUCAAUACCAAAAGAUGUGGAUAACAGAUGUUAAUACAAUCAUUCAGUAAAAAUUUCUUUAUUAUCUUAAAAAUAUUUUACUUUUGAAUAAUAAAUAUAAUUUUCACAAUUAGGUGAGCGUACUUUGUUUUUCAGAGAUGGUAGAGUGGCCCAGAGAAACUGCACCUCUCAAUGGAUAUGAAUUCAACUUUGAACAAGAUCUAAACAGAACUUCUGAUUUAAUUGACGUGAAAGUGAUGCUUUCUCAAUAGCUGAAUUUUUAAUUGGAAAGCUUUUCAUUGGGCACCAGACUAUAAGAGGCCAACUACAUAGGAUAAUCUCAGAUCUCAGUAAGGCAUGCUUCCCAUGUAUAUAUUGGCAGAUAACUGAAAAUGUUGCAUAUCCUUUAAUUUCUAGCCAUUCACAAAGCCUUUGAUGCUUAAGAUCAGAGUGGAGGUGGUGUUUCAUCAAGUCUGCUGAGAAAUAAUCAUCAUACUUCUACAAGCGAAGCUUGAGCACCUUUGUGACUGUGUCGUUAACUAUAAUUGGACUAGACUCAUUAACAAUAUGGUUCUUUUUAGAUAAAUUUCUUUAAAAACACUUACAGAAGAAAAAAAACAAAAUGCAUUAAGGUCUUUUACUUUUUAUAAAUUAAAGCCAACUUGCACACCUAAGAAAAGUAAGAAGUAAUACAAAACAGAUAUAAUACAACUUUCAUUUAACCAGACUUCAAUCUAAACCAUUGAAUUUUUAAUCAAUAUAUCUACGGUGAAUUUUGAUGGUAGGUACUUCCCCCAGAUUCCUCGAUCAAAAAGCAUCCAACCAAGAACAUUGUCUUCCAAAGAGGACAAGACACCUACUACCACUACACUUUUUAAAGUAGCCAGACUUCAAUCUAAACCAUUGAAUUUUUAAUUAAUAUAUUUAACGGUUAAUUUUGAUGGUAGGUACUAGCGCAGAGCGAGUUAAAAGUGAAGAGAGUUGACCAGAAUCAAAUCUCAUCACACCAGUUAACCUUAUCCAAAACCAACCCAGUUUAUUGCAACCAAUUCCUUUCCUUUGUUCUUGACAUCAUGGCUGAGGCAGUUGGUGGUGCAUUCCUCUCUGCUUUCCUUGAUGUUGUGUUCGACAAGCUGUCUACAGAUGAGGUUGUUGACUUCAUCCGUGGAAAGAAGCUUGACCUCAAUUUGCUUGAGAACUUGAAGACCACUCUGAGAGUGGUUGGAGCUGUGCUUGAUGAUGCUGAGAAAAAACAAAUCAAACUCUCCAGUGUCAACCAGUGGCUCAUUGAGGUCAAAGAUGCUCUCUAUGAGGCGGAUGACUUGCUGGAUGAAAUUUCUACCAAAUCUGCAACUCAAAAGAAAGGUAAGUAAAGUGCUUUCUCGCUUUACUGAUAGGAAAAUGGCCAGUAAGUUGGAAAAAAUAGUUGACAAAUUAGAUAAAGUUUUAGGAGGCAUGAAGGGUCUUCCUUUGCAAGUGAUGGCAGGGGAGACGAGCGAGUCAUGGAAUACUCAGCCAACAACAUCUCUGGAAGAUGGAUAUGGUAUGUAUGGUAGGGAUACAGACAAGGAGGGCAUAAUGAAGUUGUUGUCAGAUGAUAGCAGUGAUGGUGUACUAGUGUCUGUGAUCGCUAUUGUAGGCAUGGGUGGGGUUGGAAAAACCACUUUAGCCCGAUCUGUGUUCAACAAUGACAAUUUGAAGCAGAUGUUUGAUUUAAAUGCAUGGGUUUGUGUUUCUGAUCAAUUUGAUAUUGUUAAGGUCACAAAAACUAUGAUAGAGCAAAUCACGCAAGAGUCAUGUAAAUUGAAUGAUCUAAACUUGCUUCAACUUGAAUUGAUGGACAAACUGAAAGUUAAAAAAUUCUUAAUUGUCUUGGAUGAUGUAUGGAUCGAGGAUUAUGAGAAUUGGAGUAAUCUUACAAAACCAUUUCUACAUGGAAAAAGGGGAAGUAAAAUUCUCUUGACGACCCGCAAUGCAAAUGUAGUUAAUGUAGUCCCUUACCAUAUCGUUCAAGUUUAUCCUCUAAGUAAAUUGUCAAAUGAAGAUUGUUGGCUAGUGUUUGCAAACCAUGCAUUUCCCCCCUCAGAAUCAAGUGGGGAGGAUAGAAGAGCUUUAGAAGAAAUUGGAAGGGAGAUUGUUAAAAAGUGUAAUGGAUUGCCUUUAGCAGCACGGUCACUUGGAGGUAUGUUGAGAAGAAAGCAUGCUAUUAGGGAUUGGAAUAAUAUACUUGAAAGCGACAUUUGGGAACUUCCUGAAAGUCAGUGUAAAAUUAUUCCAGCCUUGAGAAUUAGUUAUCAAUAUCUCCCUCCACAUUUAAAACGGUGCUUUGUUUAUUGUUCAUUAUACCCUAAAGAUUAUGAAUUUCAAAAGAAGGACUUGAUCUUGUUGUGGAUGGCUGAAGAUCUUUUGAAGCUUCCAAACAGAGGAAAGGCGUUAGAAGUUGGUUACGAGUAUUUUGAUGAUUUAGUUUCUAGAUCAUUUUUUCAACGUUCAAGUAAUCAAACUUGGGGCAAUUAUUUUGUAAUGCAUGACCUCGUGCAUGAUCUAGCAUUAUACCUUGGUGGAGAAUUCUAUUUCAGAUCAGAAGAACUUGGAAAAGAAACCAAGAUUGGUAUAAAGACUCGUCAUUUGUCAGUUACAAAGUUCAGUGAUCCAAUCUCAGAUAUUGAAGUUUUUGACAAACUACAAUUUUUGAGAACUUUAUUGGCAAUUGAUUUUAAAGAUUCUUCAUUCAACAAGGAAAAGGCACCAGGUAUUGUAGCGUCGAAGCUUAAGUGCUUGAGAGUUUUAUCAUUUUGUCGCUUUGCAAGUCUGGAUGUUUUGCCUGAUUCAAUAGGUAAAUUGAUCCAUUUGCGUUAUUUAAAUCUCUCUUUUACAAGUAUAAAAACACUGCCGGAGUCAUUGUGUAAUUUGUACAAUCUACAAACUCUAGCGUUGUCUCGUUGCAGAUUGUUGACCAGGUUGCCUACUGACAUGCAAAAUCUUGUAAACUUGUGUCAUCUUCAUAUUGAUCAUACUCCGAUAGGAGAGAUGCCUAGAGGAAUGGGAAUGUUAAGUCAUUUGCAGCAUUUGGAUUUCUUUAUUGUGGGCAAGCACAAAGACAACGGAAUCAAAGAACUGGGGACACUUUCAAAUCUUCAUGGUUCGCUUUCUAUUAGGAAUUUGGAGAAUGUAACCAGAAGCAAUGAAGCAUUGGAGGCUAGGAUGCUGGAUAAGAAGCGCAUUAAUGAUUUAUCCUUGCAAUGGUCUAAUGGCACCGACUUCCAAACUGAAUUAGAUGUACUGUGCAAAUUAAAACCUCACCAAGGCCUGGAAUCUCUAACAAUAUGGGGUUAUAAUGGAACCAUAUUUCCAGAUUGGGUGGGAAAUUUUUCCUACCACAACAUGACAUAUCUAAGUUUACGUGAUUGUAAUAACUGUUGUGUGCUUCCUUCACUUGGGCAACUACCGUGUCUUAAGUACCUCGUUAUUUCAAAAUUGAAUUCACUGAAGACGGUUGAUGCAGGGUUUUACAAAAAUGAAGAUUGUUCUUCUGUGACACCCUUUUCUUCCCUUGAAACUCUAGAAAUUGAUAACAUGUUUUGCUGGGAGUUGUGGAGUACCCCUGAGUCAGACGCCUUUCCUCUACUCAAGUCUCUUAGAAUAGAGGAUUGCCCCAAACUAAGGGGAGAUUUGCCAAAUCACCUUCCUGCUCUGGAAACACUUACAAUUACAAAUUGCGAGCUUCUUGUCUCUUCUCUCCCUACGGCUCCCACCCUUAAGAGAUUAGAGAUAUGUAAAAGCAACAAUGUAUCGUUGCAUGUGUUUCCUCUUUUGUUGGAAUCGAUAGAAGUAGAAGGAGGCCCAAUGGUGGAGUCGAUGAUCGAGGCUAUCUCCAGCAUCGAGCCAACUUGCCUCCAACAUUUAACAUUGAGGGAUUGUUCGUCAGCCAUAUCUUUUCCGGGUGGUCGUCUACCUGCAUCUCUGAAGGAUCUGCAUAUCAGCAAUCUUAAAAAUCUGGAAUUCCCGACCCAGCACAAACACAAUUUACUGGAAUCACUGUCACUAUACAAUAGUUGUGAUUCUCUCACGUCUCUUCCAUUGGCUACCUUUCCAAAUCUCAAAAGUCUCGAAAUCGAUAACUGUGAACAUAUGGAAUCUCUUUUGGUUUCAGGGGCAGAGUCAUUUAAGAGUCUGUGUUCUUUGAGAAUUUUCCGAUGCCCCAACUUUGUAUCAUUCUGGAGAGAAGGAUUGCCUGCGCCCAAUUUGACUCGAAUUGAAGUUUUAAAUUGCGACAAGUUGAAGUCAUUACCUGACAAAAUGAGUAGUCUUCUCCCAAAGUUAGAAUAUCUCCAAAUAUCCAACUGCCCAGAAAUUGAGUCGUUUCCAGAAGGGGGUAUGCCACCUAACCUGAGAACAGUUUCGAUUGGGAAUUGUGAGAAACUAAUGAGCGGCCUAGCAUGGCCAUCCAUGGGCAUGCUUACCCGUCUCACUGUUGCGGGUCGAUGUGAUGGCAUCAAGUCCUUCCCUAAGGAGGGUUUGCUGCCUCCCUCCCUUACGUCUUUGGAGUUAUAUGAGUUGUCAAAUCUGGAGAUGUUGGACUGCACGGGGCUUCUCCAUCUCACAUCCCUGCAAAAAUUAUCCAUAUGGAGAUGUCCUUUGCUGGAGAAUAUGGCUGGAGAAAGGCUUCCUGUCUCUCUAAUAAAAUUAACCAUAUUCGGAUGUCCUUUGCUGGAAAAACAAUGCCGCAGGAAGCACCCUCAAAUUUGGCCUAAAAUAUCCCACAUCCGUCACAUUAAAGUUGACGAUAGAUGGAUUUAGUGACCAAGGAUGAGCACCGGGUAAUUCUCCUUCUUUGACCUACUUCAUCGUCUUCUAAGUCUAACCAAACAAAACUAUUUCAGUCAAGGAUAUCUUUCUUUUCAUGUCUUUUUAUUCUCACAGUUAAUUUAUUCAUUUCAUUCAACAAGUGUUAUUACCCUGAAGAAAUGUUAUUAAUCAAUGCCAUUGUAUUUGAACUUUCUCAAUAUAUCGGCAAUCAUGGUGGUUGUUUCAUCUUGUUACAUUCUCUGUCGGUGUUCAAAGUGUAAUUGGGUGUACUUUGUUUUUCAGAGAUGAUAGAUUGUCCUGUAGGAACUGCACCUGUUAAUGGAUAUGAAUUCAACUUUGACGUGACACCAGAAAGCUCAUAUUUAUGCGUGUAAAGCUGAUCUUCCAGGGCAAAAGGAGGAGGAAGCGAGGGCGCAGUCAGCUGAUGGCAAAGUGUUUAAGAUUGUUCCAUGGC
Molecule: long non-coding RNA, 128017 nt
Filed under: Glycine max (soybean)
Lineage: Eukaryota; Viridiplantae; Streptophyta; Magnoliopsida; Fabales; Fabaceae
Description: long non-coding RNA (GMAX_LNC000523)
Rfam family: tRNA (bases 66925-66999)
Source: RNAcentral